AAGAAGACAAGUAAUGGUAACACAUUGAAGGAUUUCGAGUCGAAGCCCGGCUCCUUUCUCUGGGGGUAUCAAGGCAACGAGGCUGAGUCUAAGUCUAAGGAGGAGAAGCCUCUUAUGAAAGGCUUUGAGUCGAAGCCCGGCUCCUUUCUCUGGGGGUAUCAAGGCAACGACGUUGAGUCUAAGUCUAAGGAGGAGAAGCCUUUUAUGAAAGGCUUUGAGUCAAAGCCCGGCUCUUUUCUCUGGGGGUAUCAAGGCAACAAUGCUGAGUCUAAGUCUAAGGAGGAGAACCCUCUUAUGAAAGACUUUGAGUCGAAGCCCGGCUCCUUUCUCUGGGGGUAUCAAGGCAACGACGCUGAGUCUAAGUCUGAGGAGGAGAAGCCUCUUAUGAAAGACUUUGAGUUGAAACCCGGCUCCUUUCUCUGGGGGUAUCAAGGCAACGACGCUGAGUCUAAGUCUAAGGAGGAGAAGCCUCUUAUAAAAGACUUUGAAUCGAAGCCCGGCUCCUUUCUCUGGGGGUAUCAAGGCAACGAUGUUGAGUCAAAGUCUAAGGAGAAGAAGCCUCUUAUAGCCCGGCUCCUUUCUCUGGGGAUAUCAAGGCCCUCUUAUGAAAGACUUUGAGUCAAAGCCCGGCUCCUUUCUCUGGGGUAUCAAGGCAACGACGCUGAGUCUAAGUCUAAGGAGGAGAAGCCUCUUAUGAAAGACUUUGAGUCGAAGCCCGGCUCCUUUCUCUGGGGGUAUCAAGGCAACCACGCUGAGUACAAGGAGGAGAAACCACUCGUGAAAGAUAAUUAAUGUCCAGGGAAGCCGCAACUUUACCUCUGAAUGGACCACGGACAUAUAUGUCUUCUAGCUGGUCUGAUUUUCUGCAUUUUCUUUAUUGGCAUGAACAUGUGUGAUAUGUAAUAAAUGCAGUUCUUCUUUCAACCAAGCGUUCUGUAUAAUUAAUUAAAUGAAAGUCAGUAGCGUUGAGUGCAUUUCUGUUUCUUUGUUUGUUGUUUCUUUUUGCCAUUUACCAUAGACAGGAAGCGCACAAAAAAGAGCACUAUUCAAGCAUGACAAGAAUCAUAGAGUGAGCGAACCAACUAUACCUUGAUAAUCUAAAAAGAGUUCUGCAAACUCGUACUCUUGUACGAAACCAGGACCAUAUAUAUAUAUAUAUAUAUAUAUAGAUAUAUCGAUUCAAUUUUCUAAUGAUGUGUGUGGUACGAACGCACAUUAGAAGUACAGAAAAUUCUAGUGUAAACUUUCACAAAAGAAGAGAAAGAAUGGAGAACUCUUGAAGCGUGAUUGAUCGCUAUUCUUAAGAAUUUAAUUAUCCAUACUACACUAAGUAUUUGCUGUAGAGAUAAAGGUAAUUUAACUUUAAGAUACAACAAGAGAAGAAGAAGUUGAUAGCAAUAUCAAGUUUCUCAAACUAAGAAAUGAUCAAAUAAUUCUAGCUAGUUUUGACAAUAAAAGGCUUGUUUUUUUACAAGUAACCUGUUUUCCACUCGUCUCUAAGUAUCCUUCGAUACGUGGCACUUAAUCCCAAUUAUUUGACUUUAAACUUCGUUCUGUGAUGUGGAUUCUAUGUGUUAGUAUAUACAAGACUGAUCUUAAACAUUACUUGAAAAUCAUAUUAUAUGUAACUGAGUACCGCAUAACUUGCAAUUAUCCACUUACGCUCUCAAUAUUAUUGGGAAAUUACAUGGAUUUUCGUUUCGGUAACUCUAAUUAUAUAGUCUCACGAUCCAUCUUAACUGAAGGGGCCAUUAUGAAUUAGAUGAACAUGAAGUUGUAUUUCGAUUCUCAAGCUAUUCCGUUCCUCUUUCUUCAUUGUAAGGAUUAGAGUCUCUUUUGGAGGGAAAAAAAAACACUCUAAUUAUACAGGAUUAAAGCAAAUAGCAAUGGUCUAUAAAAGGAUAAAAAGUAAGCAGGCUGGGGCAUAUUUAUUAAAACAUGAAAAUAAUAUGAAAUUUUAUAAUACACAUGAUACGAAAAAUAAACUGUAUGUAAAUAAUGCAAAUAUAUUCGAAAAGUACAAAGCUGAAAAUACAGCUUCAUUUACCAUGUGCAUAAUAGCUGUGUGCACAUUCCAGUGAAGAUUUUUUAUUUUUAGUGUAAGUGAGAAAUUUCGAGUUCUAAACCUUUCAUUUACACUCUCUUGUCCUAUAUCAUCCAAUCCAUCCCUUCCUAUAUUUUUAUGAAGAUGAGUACAUAAUGUGAGUUUUUAUUUUUUGAGGUGAAUAACUUGUUCACAAAAAAGUUUUCUCGAUUUAGGUAAAGUUUAAACUUUACGUUGUCUAAACAACGCAAGCAGAUGCCACUAGGACAGAAGUCAUUAUGAUGACUUCAUCCAAGGUAACAAAAAAAAGGCGUACAAUUGCACUUAAAAUUUGUGAAUUUAUAGUACUAUUUCAUGGUUUAUCGCCUCAAAGUUAACAAUAAAUAAUGUUUUGAACCCCAUUUAAACAACUUAUGAGUGUAAUUCAAAUUUAUUGCUCUAUUAUGUGUGUACAAUGUAUCAAAACAAAAGAGUAGCAAAUUGUGUUUUAUUGCACUUUUUGUUUAGCUAGCUUCAUGCAAAUUAACCUUCGUAGAUUAUAGGUAAAGAAUUGGUUUGCCAUUCAAUGUAUCCAAGAAAUAUGUGUUAGUACAUAAUGUUUAUUUUAAUGGAUGUACUGGUGUAAAACAAAAUUACAAAUUAUUAAGUUUUAAACUUUACAAGUACUUAAAGGACAAUAAUUUUUUAUUAAAUUAAAAUUUUCCGUUCUGUGAUUUGGUAGUUUAUCUUAUAACCCCUCUAUAGUUUAAAAAUCUGUAAUCAACCUCCUCAUAAUCUGGGUUAACAUAUCAUCAUUAAUUUUUCUAAAGUUUAAGCAAAUUAAUAUAUUGAAAAAUUCAUCCUUUCACUAAUUCUUUGAGGUAGUUACAAAAGUAUUACAAUUAUUAUACACCUUAAACUAUGUAUUUGUUUUCAAGUAAACACAAAAGAUGCAGCAAACCAUUUUUAGCCAAGUUAAUAAAAUUGCAAAUGUAACAAUAUAAAGCACCUUAUGAAAAGUUACUCUAUAUGAUUAAGAAAAUAAUUUAUAUUUAUUAGAAUGGGAAAAAGUUGCCAGAAGAGGGAGAGACCAUAAGAAAAAUAGUUUAGAGUGAACUGCAUCAAUCAUGCCUUCCAUCAGGGAAAAAAAGGGGUUAAAUAUCAAAAACCGCCAUGGAGUUUGCCUAAUGUUUACUUUACCUCCCUAUGGUUUGGCAACCUACAAUUUGACUUCCUGUAGUUUCAACUAAAGUAAAAGUCUGACAGAAAACAUCUAAACUAACGUCUGAAAGGAAAAUGUCAAAAUUGCCCCUCUAUAAGGGUUUUGGGUUAAGCACCAAAAAUCCCCCUGUGGUUUGUCAAAUGUACACUUUACCUCCCUAUGGUUUUAAAACAUACAAUUUAACUCCCUGUCGUAUCACCUAAAGUGAAAAUCUAACAAAAAUUCCGUUAAAUACACUUUAGUUGAAACGACAGGGAGUCAAAUUGUAGGUUUCCAAAUUAUAGGGAGGUAAAGUAAACAUUAGGCAAACCACAGAGGGGUUUUUGGUAUUUAACCCAAAAAAAUGAUAGAUGUGCGUGUAUAUAGGUGACGGGACUUUUAUAUCAAUGCAAGUUUAAAUCCGAUUUUAUACUCGUUGACUACAAAUAUACAGGCCGAAAUCGUAAUGUAAGGUGUGUAUCGGGUCAAUCCCACGAGGAGCAAAUUAAAUAAGUACUAGACCCUUAUUUUUCUCUAUUAUUUAGACUUACAAUAAAUUUGAGUAAAAAAUUUAUAAUGCUAUUGUCUACAACUCUGGUUUAAUCAAUGUUAAAUGCAAAUGGAGAAAUUUCACAAAAGAUUGAAUCUUGGGAUGUAGAUUCCACUUAUGGCAUAAACAACACAAAUGAAUAGAUUUACCUUUUGUUAUUUUUCUUGUUUAACCAGGGAUUCAUUUCCAAUAUUACCAAAUCUCAUUCUCAUGAUGAAAUGGCCUAGAGCAAUAUAGUUUUCCCUAUUUUCAUGGUGAAAUACUAGUUCUACUCUGUUUUCCUUCAUGAAAUGCUAGAAAAUGCACUUAAGUGUACAUCUAUUUUCAUGAACAUACAACUCAAGCUCUACUCAUGUUUUUCCAUUGUUACUAUCAAUUUUCAUUGACUAAUAACAACUAUGAACAUGCUAUUGGUGAUCAAACAACCACAAGUAAUUACAACUGCACAAAUAGACAAGUUAAUACAAGAUAUAACAAGUGUAAAUCACAUUCAAUUCAUAUUAUUUAGCCAUAAGUUUUAUCUACUCCCUAGAUAAAGAAAAUUAACUACUCAUGAAUGAGAUAAAAAUCAAACUCACAAGUUCAUUAAUGCAAAACAUCACAAAGUACAAUUACAAGAAAGAUAAAAGAAAGCUUAGCCAAUUAAUGGUGAAGCCCUCAAAUUUCUGCUAUGUUCUUGUAAAAGAUGAUUACAAGAUGAGUCUCCAAUUGCUUCCUCAAGAACUCUUCACUAAAGAGAAACUUGUUGCAAGAAGAAAAACUAGUUAUGUAUGGUCAUCUCUAGCUUCUCCAUUCUAUCUCUGCAUAAAAGGUGGUAGAAAGACAUUUUUUUUUCUCCUUCAUGACUUCAACCACUUAGAUUUUGUAAAGGAAGUCAAAAGAUAUGUUGUUUUGAUUAGUCAAUAACUCAUUUGGUCUUCUCUUUUGUUGCAGAAGCAUGUGCCACCGAAUUUUCUCUCCCAAGAUAGCUGGAACGUUGUGUGAAAAGUGAGAAAAAACAGCUGCGCCACUUGCUGAAGAGAGAGGCGGAUCCGAGCCUUGGAUCAGAAGGGUGAAGAUCGAUCCGAGAACUUUCUCUGAUGGAUCCGAGCUCGGAUUGUAUGACUUCGGAUACACUGCUCCAGAAGUACAGACGAGAGCUCGGAUCGCCCUUUACUCACACGGAUCUGACCUCGGAUCUGUGCUGAUGAAUUUCCAGUUUUUUACUUCUUCUCUUUUCUCUUCAUGUUUGUUCCUAGUUUCUCUUGUACUUUAUCCUCGGGACAAUUCUUACAAUUCCUUCAUCUCGUGCAUGAAUUCUAUAUAUCAAUGUCCUUCAUAAUUUCACAAAAAUUAACACAUUAAUCCACUUACUUAUCAAAUUUUAAACACUUAAAUAAUAUUUAAUCAAUUAUCACCAAAAGAGUUCAAAUAUGGCUUUAAUCUUCUCAAAACAUACCAAAAGUUUAUGCCAAACUUGUACAAAAUAUACGUUAAAUAUUCACUUAUUAAAUUCCCCACACUUGAAUCAUUGCUUGUCCUCAAGCAAUUUCACACAUAACUUACCAUAAUGAUUCAAGAGAUAAAACAAUAUACGUACUCUUGUCAAAUUUAAUUUCUCAAAAACCUAGAAAUCAAUCAUUAUGCCAUUUCUCAGAUUAUACUAAAUACUCAUAAUAUCAAGUUAAAGAAAGAUAAUUAUGCAUUAAUUUUAACAACUUCAAAUCAAUCUCUCAUUCUAUCCUAAUUUCACAAAUAAGUAAAUCGCAUAGUCAAUUCUAUGGCCUUCCUGAUCCCAUGACCAUCAAAACUUAACAAUUGAGAGGGAUUUAUUCACACUUCAUUAUUUUUAAAUAGUGAAAUCGCCUUUUUAUGCGAAAAUCGACACUUUUAGGUGAAGAUUCCCGGUUACUCAACAUUUCACUUAUUCAAAUUGCUAAGCAUACUCUUAAUUCCAAUACCUUUUUACGCGAAUGUUAAUAUUUGUAAAUGCCAACCCCCGGUUACUUAGUAUGUGAAUCAUUAGAGUAGAAAAAUAAUAUCAAUAUAUAUAUAUUUUUUUAAUAUUUUUCUUUUCCCUCUAAGCAUAAUUAAAGGAAGAAUCUAGCCUUGUCUUGACUAUAUCAAUCACUGAUAGGGUGUUAAUUGUUAGCAAUUUUAUUGUUAAUUUUUCCUUUUAUCCUUGCCAAAUAAUGUUUUAAUUAUUAAUAUUUACUUAUAUUUGGUUUGUGGACUUAAAUCGAAUGAACCAUCUUCAAAUGGCUGAUUCAAUGCAUCAGCCACUUCAAAAGAUAUCUGCUACGUAUGUUAUAGCAGCUGUUACGAAAAGGAAGCAACACUACUGAUCGAUCUUCAUAAUGUAUAUAUAUUACUUGGAACUUGCAAGCAAGUUCCGAGUCAUUUUACUAAAUUUAUUUGAAAUAAAGAUUUCAUCUGAAUUUAAGACUUGACAUAAUCAACAUUUCUAUAUAUAAAAAAAUUUUCUAUACGCUAGCAUACUUGAUGACUAAUCUUAAUUUGACUUUGAAACUUAUGCUUUGCACAUAUGAUAUGCAUUCAAAUCCAAUAGUGUCUAAGUUGUUAGUUAGUCUAUAGAGGUUAAUCAUAUAUAUUUAUAGAGUAAAUGGCAAAAAGUGUGACUAAACAAUUAACCUUUUAUGUCUUCUGGUCACUAGACUAUUUUUUAGUUUAGGAUUUUAACAUAAUUCAGUUAAAGUCCCUAAUUCUGUGAUUCAUGUAUUUUUACCCUCAAUUGGAUAUUUUUACCCCUAUAAGCACGCUAUUUCUUGUCCCGGGACUACCUUUCCAUUUGUUCUAACUCCAAAAUUUGACCAAACACAAAAAAGCUACAAUUUUGUUAGUUGACUAAUAUUUUUGGCUAAAAAAAUAGUUUAGUGAGUAAAUGAUGUAAAAGUUAAUAGUUUAGUAAUAUUUUUUGCCAUUUGCUCUAUAUAUAGAGUUUUUCUCUUUCCAAAUAAUAGUUAUUUAUGGAUCAUUUGGAACUCAAGUUAAACCUAUUUUUGUAUAUAAAUUUGAUAAAGUUCAGUCAUAAUUGGCACUACAAGAAAUUUGGCCUUUUGUGACAACAGAAAAGUUGUCACAGUUGAGCAAAUUUAGUGACGACUUUAGGUGUUGUCAUAGUUGACCGAGAGUACACUCAUCAUCAUUUCCAACACGGGAUUAAUUGUCACAAUAUGGGUGGCGUGCAACUGGCCUGUGUGGUGGGAAAUCACCAUUGUGAUGACUUGAAAAAAUAUUGUCACUGAAAUGGGCUCUACAAUGACUACUUACAAUGUUAUCACAAUGUGGUUACCGGUUCAAAGUUAGUGACAACAAUUAGUUGUCACUGUCUAAAGUAAUUGGUCAUAACUCACUUUCAUUAAUUCUACUAUGCCACCCUAAUUUUUUCAAUAUUUUCCCAUAUGUUGUAAAUAAAUUUUAUUAAUUCUAUUAUGGCACCCUAUCUUUUAUAUUUUAGCCCCGUAUGCAGUAAACUAAUUUCAUUAACUCUACCAUAACACGUUAUCUUUUGCAAUUUAGCCUCAUGUGUAAUAAACUAAUUACAUUAAUUCUAUUAUGGCACCCGAUCAUUUACAAUUUAGCCUAUGUUUUUCAUUAGUAAAAUGGGGAAGGUAUUGUAAUAAAAAUGUAUACAUAUUUUAUAAUUGUUCCAAACUUAGUUAGUAACUUGUUAUGAAGGUAAAACAGUAUCAUGGACUCCCUAUCUAGUUCUCUUGGCAACACAUGAAAAAUUAGUGAUCAGAAAAUUACUUGUGUGAUGACCUAGGAAAAUGUUGUCACUAAAUGGUCCAUAUAGUGACAACUUCCAACAUCGUCACUGUCGCUCAACCGGUUCAGAGGUAGUGACAAUAAUUAGUUGUCACUGUCUAAAGUACUUGGUCCUAGAUCAUUUUCAUUAAUUCUACUAUGUCACCCUAACUUUUGCAAUUUAGCCCCAAAUGUAAUAAAAAAAUUUCAUUAAUUCUACUAUGACACUAUAACUUUUGUAAUUUAACCCCAUAUGCAGUACACUAAUUUCUUUAAUUCUACUAUUACACCCUAACUUUUACAAUUUUGUCCCAUAUGUAGUAUACCAAUUUCUUUAACUCUACCAUUACACCAUAACUUUUGCAAUUAAGCCCUAUAUCUAAUUCGCCAAUUUCAUUAAAUCAACUAUGGCACUGUAACUUCUGCAAUUUAACCCUAUAUGUAAUAUACAAAUUUCAUUAUUUGUACUAUCACCCUAUGGUGUUGCAAUUUAGCGAUUUUUUUAUUAGCAAAAUAUAUAAGUUAUCUUAAUAAACUAUAUAUGUAUACAUAUUUUAAAAUUUUCCCAAACUUAGGUAAUAAUUUGUUAUAAAUGUAAAAAAAUUCAUACAUUCCCCAUUUAUCCAAAUGACAACAUGGUGAAAAAUUAAUAAUUUGGAUAACCUAAAAACAGAGGUAGUCAAUAGUAGAAUUUAAAAAUAAAACUUAAUAUGAAAUUAAGUCUAAUCCUAACAUUUGCAUGAUCAAAAGGUUGUUAUUAAUUAUAGAAGCCACAUUUAUCAUUCAUGAAUUAGUACAUAUACCAAAUAGAUAGAUUUAGCAUUUCAUACAUGUAUUUGUAAACUAUUUUAAUUGUUCAAUCAACUAAUUCAAUUGUCAGGUCUUGUUAGACUGCAAGUCAUACAUAAUUGAUAACACCACAAAAUGAGUACCAAAAAGAUUUUAAUUAAAAGAGUGUUUAUUUUUUUGAAUCAUAAACAUAUUUCUAACAAUAUUUUUUAUUUUUUGAACUAUUUUAUUGUAUAAUAAAUUAGAAAAAGGCCUAUAUUAGUUAAAAUUGGUAAAAAAAAAUCCGCCUAAAUACACUAAAUUGUCAUAUUCUAUUAUUUUAACACAACCUAAGAGUAAAAAUAAUAAUAAAACUCAAAACAAUAGAAAAACUUAAUUACAUAAAGAUGAGAAAAAGAAAAGAGAGAGAGAUAGGUGAAAGGACAAAGAAAGCAUGCACUUCUUGCAUCUAAAUAAGGAAAAGACGUGCUUUUAUAUGUACGGAACUAAGAGCGGCAAACUAAAAAAUUCAAAUGGUGUGGCGGGCUGAAGGGAUUUUAGGGAAACGACACCGUUUGAUUCUAUGUCCUAAUAACUUAGGCAAAAUUUAAGACUUCUUCUUCCUCUUUUAUUGUCCUCCUUACGUCACCGAGAAUGCCCUCCUUAUGUAUCAAACUUGCACUACCAAAUCCAUCCAUAAACCAAUUAGUGCAACACUUUGAAUUUGGGCAACUUUAUUGAACUUGCACUACCAACAUCCCUAAUUCACCUAUUGCACUGCCUUGGUGGCAAGAAAUCAGAAAUUAGGCUUACCUGGUUCAGAGUCACCCGAGAGAGAAACAGGACAUGGUGGAGAAGAUAAGAACGGGUACCGACUUGGUGUACUUAAGGGUUUUGUUUCAGGAGCCAAAAGGGGCUUUUUUGACACCAUUAACGGUGGUUCUGGCAAGUGGGUUUAUCCUGGGAGUGGUGGAUCUGAGGUGAACUUGGCUAAUGGUGGUGGCUUGUUCUCUCCCAAGGGUGCUAAUGGCGCUGCCAAGAGUAUUGGUGCUGGUGGAGUUGAGGGUGGAAGUCAGCAAACUUUUGUGGGUUCUGGGGUUGGAAAAGAAACUGUUCCUCAGUCACCUAAGCCGUUUAGGAGAAGAAGCCUUAGGUUUCUGCUGUUAAUGGUCAUGCUGCAGCCCCUGCCGCUAAGUAAAAUUUUCUGCUUUCCUCUGUUGUUUGAGAUUAAAACUACCAUGCUUCCUUAAUUCUUUUAAAGUUAGAGUAGCAGCAUGAUUGUAGAGUUAGUUGUUUUGGUCCUCUAGGUACCGUUGCCGUUCAUGUCUCCUUUGUUGAUUUUUGACCUCGUUAAUAAGUAGUUAUUACUCCAUUCAAUUUUUUUUUUCUUCUUAACUAGCUGAUACAAGAUAAUUCUUUGGUUGUUAUUGUUAGGACCGGUCCAAGAAUAAACAAACUAAAGUUAUAACAAAAUAGGCGGUAUAACCGAUCAUAUAAAGAUUAGGCAGUAGACACUAGCCAUAUAAUAAUUAGACGGUAAAACCGACCAUAUAAAAGGGUUAUGACAACCCAAUAAAGACAAAUAAUAAAGCAAAAUAAAUAACACAGAAAUUUAUGUGGUUCGGUCAAAUUGACCUACGUCGACAGGCGAGGGAGGAGUAAUAUUUCAACUAUGAAGAAAAAAUACAAAAGCAGUAGAAAAGUGGUUCCUAGGCCAAAAUGACACUUACAAAAGAUUUAGAAAAUAUUUCUAAACUUAAAAUAAGAGAGUCUAAAAUAUUUGACUAUAAAUGGGUUAGAUGACCCAAGAAACUAAUAGCCCAUAUAAUGCUCUCUUGAGUGGUGCAUUUAAAAUCUUCAUAAGCCUUCUAUAUUUAUAGGUGAAUUUAGGAGGCUUUCCUUAGGCUUCAUCCGAUGUAGGAUAAAAUUUUUCCACACACAAGUCAAAGAUUGCGGUUUGAAAAAUCAACAAAUCUCCACCUUGGCAUAAUUUUAGUUCCACCAUCGACAAUAGCACAACUGUUCCACCUUCUCCACAUAAGCCCUGAUGGGCCUAAAUCACUAACAAUGAACACCAACCAAGUCCAAGCACUGUUUGAACUUAUAAACUAGAAGAGGUUUCGUAAACAUGUCAGCAAGAUUCUCCUUGGUACUGAUUUUCUGAACAAGGACUUUCCCUUCAGCAAUGAUAUCCCGUAUAAAGUGAUAUUUCACAUCAAUAUGUUUCGUCCUCUCAUGAUACAUCUUAUCUUUAGUCAAGUGUAUGACACUUUGACUAUCACAAUGAAUAACAGUAACACCUUGACGUAGACUAAACUCGCUAAACAAACUCUUCAACUACGAGACUUCUUUGAUUGUCUCGGUCACAGCCAUAUAUUCUGCUUCUGUAGUAGACAAAGGUACGACAGGUUGUAGAGUAACUUUCCAACUGACAGCACAAUCGCUAAUGCAAAAUACAUAGUUUGAAAGUGAUCUUCUCAUGUCAAGAUUCCCAGUGUAGUCUGAGUCUACAAAACCAACCAAAGUGUUAUUAUUUUUUCCAAACCCCAAGCAUGCAUUUGAACUACCUCACAAGUAUCUAAAAAUCCAUUUCACUGCCUGCCAAUGUAUUUUUCCAGAACAAAAUAUAUAUCUGCUAACAACACUGACUGUUUGUGCAAUAUCUGGAUGAGUACAAACCAUUGCAUACAUAAUACUGCCGACUGCAUUGGAAUAACGAACCUGUACCAUAUAUUCUUCCUCUUCAUCUGAUUUUGGUGAUUGAGCAGCAGAUAGUCAAAAAUGGCUAGCAAGAGGAGUAGAUAUUGGUUUAGCAUCUUUCAUAUCAAAACGUUCCAAGACUUUCUCAAGGUAAUUUUUCUGAGUCAAGAACAACUUCCCUACUUCUUGAUCUCGGUUGAUAUCCAUGCCAAGAAUUUUCUUAGCUGCUCCCAAAUCUUUCAUUUCAAAUUCACUAUUUAACUGCAGUUUCAAAGUGUGAAUUUCUGACAAAUUCUUGACAACAAUGAGCAUGUCAUCAACAUAAAACAGCAAAUAAAUAAAAGAACCAUCAUUUAACUUCCGGAAGUAAACACAAUUAUCAUAAAUGCUCCUUGAAUAACCAUGACCCACACAUAAAGGAAUCAAACCUUCUAUACUAUUGUCUUGGAGAUUGUUUCAAUCCAUAUAAGGAUUUCUUUAAUAAACAAACAUGGUCUUCCUUACAUUCAAUUUUAAAACCCUGGGGUUGUUUCAUAUAAAUUUGUUCUUCAAGUUCGCCAUAUAAGAAAACUGUCUUAAUGUCGAUCUGUUCUAACUCCAAAUUAUACAUGACAACUAAAGCAAGCAAAACACGAAUAGAACAAUGUUUAACAAUAGGUGAAAAAAUUUCAUUAAAAUCAACGCCUUGUACCUGAUUAUAACCCUUUGCAACUAAUCGUGCUUUAUACCUCGCAUCUUCAACCUCUGGAAUACUUUCCUUCUUCUUGAAAAUUCAUUUGCAUCCAAUAAUUUUCUUAUCUGAAGGCGGCUUUACAUGAACCCAAAUUUCAUUCUGAUGAAGAGAUUCAAUUUCUUCAUUCAUUGCAAUCAACCACUUUGCAGAAUCACCACAAGAAAUUGCUUCUGAAUAGGUGGAAGGCUCACCAACUGCAUUAGUUUCUUCUGCAACAGACAAAGCAUAUACAACUAAAUUUGCAUAUAUUUGUGAUGGUCGAAUGUCUCUCUUUGGUCUAUCUCUGGCUAUGGAAUAUUUCUCUUCAUCUAAACUAUCUUCAACAGUAGAUUCAGGUGUAUCUACAGGCAUUUGUUGAAUAGAAGAUUUGGUCUGAGAAGGACUAGAACUGCCAAUAUCAAACUCCACCUGCUUCUGUGUACUAUCAGUAGUACAAGAACUAGAAGACUCCUUUUUAGAAGAUAACAUAGACAAUUCAUCAAAAGUAACAUAUCUACUGAUCACAAAUUUUAGAGAUUUGGGAUCAGGAUACCAUAAUCUAUAUCCUUUCACUCCAGAAGCAUACCCAAGAAAAAUGUACUUUUUAGCUUUAGACUCCAAUUUUCCAUCAUUCACAUGCAUGUAUGUUGGACACCCAAAAACUUUUAAAUUGAAGUAAUCAGCAGGAGUACCUGACCAAACUUCUUCAAAAUUUUUGAAUUCAAGAGAUGCAGAAGGAGAACGGUUGACAAUAUAACAGCCCAUAUUGAUCGUCUCUACUCAAAAGUCAUUUGUCAAUCCUGCAUUGGAGAUCAUACAUCUUGCUCUCUCCAAAAGCGUUCUGUUCAUACGUUCGACCACACCAUUUUGUUGAGGUGUCAUUCUGACAGUACGAUGCCGAACAAUUCCUUCAUUUUUGUAAAAUCUAUCAAAUUCACCUUCACAAAUUUUCAUGCCAUUAUCUGUUCUCAACCGCUUAACAUGUUUUCCUGUUUGUUUCUCAAUCAAAAUUUUUCAUUACUUGAAAGUUAGGAAAACAUCAUUUUUAUGUUUAAGAAAAUAUACUCAAACUUUUCUUGAAUAAUCAUCAAUGAAAGUUGUCGCGCCCCAUUUUUCGCGAUGGAAAAGAAAGUGUUUAUAAAGAAAGUGUUUAUAAAAAGAUGUGAUUUAUUAAUAAUAGAUAAAAAAAAAGGACCUAGAAUGGGACUUAAAAAGAAUGCGACAAUUUGGGUCCAAAAUUUAGUCUAAAAGGGUUUUUAAGAAAAAAUAGGAGUCGCCACUUGGUAUGGGGUUUUGGUGUACCAAGUCACCCAAAAAAUAUUUUUGACAAAAAUAAAAUAAAACCCUUUUCGACAACUCCAGGUCUUUGAAAACAGAGAAAAUGAGUUCGGGAGUCACGGUUGAAGAAAGGGAAGGCAAAGGUUCAAUUAAUUCAAACCUAAGGCACCCUUUCAACCUAGUCUAAGCUAGUUGCGAGGUUUAGCCAAAAUUUUCCUAAUCUAACCCUUGAUUUUAUCAUAUUUGGAUGUUUCUUACAUAGAUGCAAACCUAAAUUUAUAAAAUAUCGAAAAGAUCAAAAUGUUCAUUCAAGGGUUUAAUUGAACCAAUCACAUUAAUUGCGAAGGCCAAAAUAAUUCCUUGAAUGUGUCACGAGUAUGCAAAUGAUGAAAUUAAAAGAAAAGAAAAGAAAAUUAAAUUAUAUACAUAAGGUAUAAGUGAGCAAAGAAAAAUGAAUGCAAGCAUAACGGGUAUGGGGGACAAAAAUUCGUGACAUGAUUUUCUUAUGUAGGGAUUAAUGGAGUAUUUAAACUAAAAAAUUAUAAUCACCCCAUUUCCCAUAUUCAAAGAAUAAUUCUCCUAAUAUGAACAGGCAAAUGAACUAAUUUAAAUGAAAUGCAAUUCUAAAUGACAUGAUUAACACAUAUAGAGGAUAUGGGAUAAUAAAAUAGGGAAUAUCAUGCAAAUGAGAAAAGAUCCUAAAAAUGAAAAUAUGCAUGAAAAUGUGGUGAAUAGUAUACAAUGAUGAAUCUAGCGCAAAAUGACCUAAAGGGUCUAGCGUUGGACUAGCCCAUUUCUAAAAAUCCUUGCUAGCGUUGGACUAGCAAGUAAGCGGAGGGAGAAACCACAACUAGCGUUGGGCUAGUGUGGUGACGUCAUGCAUUAACAAUUCAUAGUGAAACAAAUAAAGCAUAAAUUAAAACAAAUAAACACAUAAGAGCACGUAGCACGUAACACGUAAGCAUAAUAUCUAGAUGCGAAAAUCCUAAGGAAAGCGGAUAAAACACAUAACACAUAAGCCACAUAAACACGCAACCUAUCUAUUACAUCGGGGAGCGCCUAACUACAAUCUAGAAGGGAAAAAUAUAAUAAAACAAAUCUAAUUAUCCUAUCUAUUACAUUUUUGAGGUAAUUAAAUGCCUCUUGAAUCAUUAUAAAAAAUUAACUAAACGAAUAUAAUAUAAGAAAAUUUAAAUGAACAUUUAAAUGCAAUAAAUAAAACAUAUAAAAAUAGAUAAACACAUAGGAGCACAUAGGAGCACAUAAGAGCACAUAAUUGACAUUGAAACAAUAAAAAUAGGGGUACCUCCCGUUUGAAGUGGUGACUAAAUGGAGUCAAAUUGUCCUAUUUAUACUCACAAUGAACAAAAGAAUCAUGGCACCACUUUAAUUGAAAAUAAUAAUAAUGUUAAAACACUAAAUUCACAUUAACACGUCAAACGCAAAGAAAUUUAAGAGCAUCUAAAAAUUGCAAGUUAAAUAUAUUCAAAAGUAACAUAAUUAGCUAUUAAAGAAAAGAAGCAAUCACAAUAAAAAAAAGAGUCAAAAUUCAUUAGGGACUGAAUUGCAAAAAUUGAAAAACUUUUGGGGACAAAAAUUAUAUUUUUCUAAAGUUCAGAGGUCAAAAUUAAAUAAAAGAUAAAAUUCAGGGACCAAAAUGCAAUUACUAUAAGGACCAAAGUGAAAGAAAUCAAAAUGUUCUGGGCCGAAGUGAAACUACUCCAAAGAUCAGGGGCUAAAGUGCAAAUUCGUUAUCAGAUCUUCUUAAGAAAACAGGCCACUGGGCCAUCAUUUUUAUUUCUUUGGGCCAAACAUUACCUAAGCCCAGCCGAAAGUCCAAGCCAAAACACAAGGCCAGCCCGUCUUCUAUCACUCAGACCCAACCAAAAUAAAGGCAUGGGCUCUGACCUUCUAGCCCAACCGAAAUUAAGAAACAAAACCAAAACCCAUUUACAAAACCCAACCAAAACUAACUCUUGGCCCAUCAGAAAAAUAAACAUCAGCCCAAAUCCUUUUUUUUUUUCUUUCUUUCUUUUCUUUCUUUUCUUUUCUUUCUUCUCUUCUUCCUCUUUUCUUUCUUCUUCUUCCACCGAGAAGCUGAAGCUUCUCCCUGCUGGCGGCCAUGGCGGCUGCCGGUGGCGCCGCCGCCGCCGACCGCCACCGCCGGUGACCUCUCCGGUCACCAAAAAUCCUCAAAAUACACCCCCUCACUCGAUUUUUCGCGUAGACUCCAUUUCCGGAGUUAGUUUUUACAAAAAAUGAGUCGAAAGCGGUCAAAAUGCCAAGAAAUCAGUUCAGUUUUUUAUUUUUUAAAACCUUCACAUCUUCACCAAAAAUCAUAAAAAUUAUGCCAAAACCCUCCUGAUAACUUCUACAUUACAACUAUAAUCUUAGUUUGACAAAUAAACAACAACAAAAUAAAGCAUUAAGUCAAAACAGCCCCAAAAAUGAAGAAAAUUAUUCUAAUGCUUUGAAGGCUCAAAAACUCCCAAAAUUUUGGAUAACCAAGCAUUUUCAGAUCUUUGCUAGCUAAUGGUCAUCCAUUUAAGCAAAACAUACACACCAAAUUCACUCCUUUGAUUCAUUUUUUCAUUCAAACAUUUUUUCAAACAUUUGGCAUGCAUUCACAGCACCGUUUCUUUUUUCCUAAUUUUGUUCAUGACCCAUCCCAAAAUUUCAUCCAUACAACACCAACAAAAACCAGCAAAAAUAAGCAAUAAAAAAAGUAACCACACAUACAUUCAAUCUAGUUAAUUAAAAAAAGAAAAGCUGGAAAAAAGGGAGAUAAAUACCUCAAUGAAGAGUUUGGUCCCUUUGCCAAGAUUUUUGAUGAAAUUGCCAAGCUCCAAUCCAACCGAUUGCUGCCUUGUUGUGUGCAAAUGUGUUUGGAUUUUGUGGAAGAAAAUGUGUAGAGGGAGCCCCCUUUUUUUUUUUUUGUUCCUCUUGUCUGAUGAGGGAGAGAGCCGAGAGAGCAAAUUGAGCCAAAAGGGUGGAGUCUUUUUUUUCUUGUCCUCUGUCCGUGAGAGCCGAGAGAGGAGAUUGAGGAAGUAGUUUUUUUUUUCUUUUGUUUGGUUUUUGUUCUCGUCUGUUAAGAGCUAGCCGAGAGAGGGAGGGAAAAUUUUUUCCUUUCUUCCUUCUUCUGUCCUGGAGAGAGCCGAGAGAUGUCUUGUAGCCAAAAUGGAGCUUGUGUGCUGAAUCUUCCAAAAUGAUGAUUUCUCAAUUAAUGAAAAGACAAGUCCAUGGCCAUUGAGUGUGAAAUGGGUUAAUAGUUAAUUUGGUGAAACAAAAUGAUCAAAAUGAUUUUUUGAUUUUUUUUUUGAUUUUUUUUGAUUUUUGUUGUUUUGUUGUUUUUUUUUUCUCUUUUUGUAAAGCAAACCUGCAAAAAUGAGAAAAUGUACAUUAAAAUACAAGAAAAUAAAUAACUUAUUAAAUAGAAAAAUCCUGGAAAAUAUUAAAAAUUGACAAAAAUUUGGUGUCUACAGCUUGCCCCUCUUUGUCUAGAGUUUCAAAGAAACUCAAGACAAAGACGUAGACACCAAAUUGCUUAUCUGUCUCUUGUAGCUGCACCUGAACUAAAAUAAACAAACCAACACUUGGCUGAAAUUAUUGGACAAAAUGAUGCAAUAACAUUGCAGAAAAUGUGACCGGACCCAUGUAGAGUUGCCUACGUAUCCCACCAUGGGAAUCAGGUCAAACGUAGUUCGAAUUACAAGUGAAUCACAAUGAAACAAGUGCAUUGACCAACUGUGGUCUUUGCAAAGUCGAAAAAGUCUGAGCUCUCAGAACUUCUAAACAUGAAACACCAAAUGAAUGAGAAAGCACAACAAUUAUUGGUCAAAACAGUCAAGAAAAGUAACUUGUCAUAAUUAGAAAAAGAUGCGCGGAGGGACGCGAUUACGCUCCAAGAAGGGGGAUAGAAGGGUACGCGGCGGACGCUGAGACUCACCAACAAAAAUUAAAUUGAUCUUUUUAGAAAAAGAUGCGCGGAGGGACGCGAUUACGCUCCAACAGGAAAUUAAAUUGUCAAGAAAGGGGAUAGAAGGGUGCGCGGUGGACGCUGAGACUCACCAACAGAAAUUUAAAUUGUCAAGAAGGGGAAGUAGAAGGGUGCGCGGUGGACGCUGAGACUCACCAACAGGAAAUUAAAUUGUCAAGAAGGGGAGGUAGAAAGGUGCGCGGUGGACGCUGAGACUCACCAACAGGAAAUUAAAUUGAUGCGCGGAGGGACGCGAUUACGCUCCAACAGAAAAUUAAAUUUGUCAAGAAGGGGGAUAGAAGGGUGCGCGGUGGACGCUGAGACUCACCAACAUGAAUUUAAAUUGUCAAGAAGGGGAGGUAGAAAGGUGCGCGGUGGACGCUGAGACUCACCAACAGGAAAUUAAAUUGAUGCGCGGAGGGACGCGAUUACGCUCCAACAGAAAAUUAAAUUUGUCAAGAAGGGGGAUAGAAGGGUGCGCGGUGGACGCUGAGACUCACCAACAUGAAUUUAAAUUGAUGCGCGGAGGGACGCGAUUACGCUCCAAUAGACAAUUAAAUUGAUGCGCGGAGGGACGCGAUUACGCUCCAACAGAAAAUUAAAUUUGUCAAGAAGGGGGAUAGAAGGGUGCGCGGUGGACGCUGAGACUCACCAACAGGACGUUGAGACUCACCAACGCGCGAAUUUAAAUUGAUGCGCGGAGGGACGCGAUUACGCUCCAACAGAAAAUUAAAUUGUCAAAAGGGGGAUAGAAGGGUGCGCGGUGGAACGCUGAGAACUCACCAACAGGAAAUUAAAUUGGCAUUCUUUUUCAACAAUUUGAACAAAGGCUCACAGGUAGAGGUUAACUGUGCAAUGAAUCGGCCAAUGAAAUUGAUCUUUCCAAGAAAACUUUCACAUCUUUUUGACUUUUUGGAAUGGGCAUAUCUCGAAUUGCUUUUAUUUUCGCAGGAUCUAUCUCUAUACCCUUUUUGCUGACAAUAAAACCCAAUAACUUACCAGCCGGAGCUCCAAAAGCACAUUUUGCAGGGUUCAACUUCAAAUUAUACUUCCUCAAUCUUUCAAACAGCUUCUUUAAAUCAACCAAAUGGUCCUCAACCUUCUUGGAUUUAAUUAUGAUAUCAUCCACAUAACCUCCAUCUCUUUGUGAAUCAUGUCAUGGAACAGGUAGUCAUGGUCCUCUGAUAAGUGGCUCCAGCAUUCUUCAACCCGAAAGGCAUCACUCUAUAACAAAAGUUCCCCAUGGGGUGAUAAAAGAGGUUUUCUCUCUGUCUUCUUCUGCCAUUAAAAUUUGAUGAUACCCAGCAAAACAAUCACCAAAAGAUUCAAUUUCGUGUCCAGCAGUAUUGUCCAAAAGAAUAUGAAUGUUUGGCAAAGGAAAAUCGUCUUUCGGACUGGCCUUAUUCAGAUCUCUGUAAUCAACACAUACUCGCACCUCCCCAGAUUUCUUAGGCACUGGCACAGGAUUCGAUAACCAGAUGGGAUAAUGAGACACCAUGAUUAUCUUAGCAUUGAGCUGCUUCACAAUUUGUUCCUUUAUUUGAGACUCAUUUCUGGUUUGAAUUUACGUGGCUUCUGCUUUACAGGUAAAAAAUUUGGAUCGUUGGCAACCUGUGAACCACUAUGUCUGUAGAGAUCCCUGGCAUAUCAUCGUAUGACCAUGCGAACACAUCUUGAAAAACAUUAAGAAUUCAAUCAUUUCCUCCUUUGUUUCCUAUUCAAAUGAAUGCUGACUUUAACUUCUUUAACCUCCGUCUUAGUGCCAAUAUUGAUGAUUUCUGUUUCUUCUAAGUUGGGUUUGGGUUUCUCUUCAUACUGUUUUAAAUCCCUUGAAAUAGACUCAAAUUCUUCCUCAGUAUCGCUCUCGCUUUGAAUUUCAGAUUGCAUGAUUUCAAGUUCAUGAGAGAUAUCGAGAUUGCAGCCAUCGAAUUCCAAAAUGGUGACAUCCAAAGGGUCAAAGGAUUUUAUUUGUGGCCAUCUGAAAAUAGAAUAGAACAUAAGUAAUAAACAAAUAGCAAAUACUGGAGAAGUUUUCAUUUCAUUAAAUUCAAAAUGCAUCGAGACUUCACAAAAAGAUAAAUAUACAGACAUGAUUGCUAUUUAAAGACAUAUUUAACCCAAACCUUUAUUUUCGUUUCAGCAAUUUUCUUGAACAAAGCAAGUUAUAUUAACUGAAACAAGAAUAAAGGUUUAAAAGAUGAAAGCAAUUUCUUUUAACAAAAGAUCCAGACUACUGUCCUAUCUGGAUGUGAUCUAGACAAAAGACAAUCCCCUUAAAUUUACCGAAAUUCCCUUCGAGAGGGAAGAUAAUCAGCAGUCCAAUUCUGAAUAGCUCCUUCGGUAAUUGGCAAAAAUUCUGCAUUCUCUGAUGGCUCCUCCUCACAAGUGCCCCGACAAAUAAUGAGACAGGUCCACUUCAAUCUCCUCCACAGGAUUCUUCGUUUCUGGCAUAAUCACCUCUGAUGGACGAGGAAAAGUGUGAUAUAGCGGGGGAUAUUUAAGGCAGUUUGCUUGCCCUUCUUUUCAGCUUGUUUCGAGCUUGCAUUUCCUUCUAUCCUUAGCAGUCGGAUGAAAUCCCAGUCCAAAUGUAUCCUUCUGCGUCGGGAUCUCUAUUGGCUCCAAAAUUCCUUGCAAUUCCCCCAAGACCUUUUCCUAUUUCAUAUCCGCCUCGGAUCAUCUCCCUAGCCAUCAUAAUACUGGCCUCUGGCAAAUCUGAUUGAGUCAACGACUUAUCCCUGAUGCCCAUCCUACAGAGACUAUGUCAGCAACAUGAUGAGAUGAAAUUGGAGUCCUUUUUGUUUCACCUUGAAUUUUGCAUCAACGAUCAUGGUACAGUCAUCCUCAGCAAACACAGUAAUGAGUGAUCAUUCAAUAAACUCAACAUUUGAUGCAGAGAAGAUGGCACUGAAUUGGAAGCAUGUAUCCAAGGUCUUCCAAGAAAAUGUUGUAAACACUGGAGAAGUCCAUGACUUGGCAAGUAACUUGGAAUUGAGCAGGGCCUAUCUCCAAUACCAGAUCUGCUUCACCCAUAGAUUCCCUCCUUGAACCAUCAAAUCCUCGAACCACAGUUGCAGAUGGACGGAGUUUAAUAUCAAGAAAUCCAAGCUUGGUGAGAGUGUUCCAUGGACAGAUAUUCAACGCUGACCCAUUAUCCACUAAAACCCUCGGCAACAGCUUUCCAUUGCAACGGACUAUAUAUACAAAGCUCUGUUAUGCCCGAUCCCUUCUGCAGUCAGAUCAUCAUCGGAGAAGGUAAUAUGAUUAGCAGCAAGUACAUUCCCCACAAUGUUAGAAAAUUUAUCCACCGGAAUAUCUUUAGGGACUUGAGCUUCGUUCAGAAUUUUGAGCAAUGCUUCUCUGUGCAGCUCGGAAGUCAAGAGAAGAUUCAGAAAAGAAAUCUGAGCAGGCAUCCUAUCCAACUGCUCCACUAUUUUGUACUCGCUUCUCUUUCAGCAUCUUUCAGAAAAUCUACAGCUUCAUUUUCAGACACACGAGGCUUGGGUGUCGGAGAUUUAACCUUGGCCUGGAUUGAACAUCAAUAUCAGUUUUUCACAAUUUCCCAGACUAGUAAUAGUAGAUAAUCUUCCUUUAAGCAUUUUAUCUCCAACAACAGAAUAGAUUCCUCGUAGUUCCAUGGUACCUCUUGCAAGUUAUUGACAGGCAUUUGUUCGGAAAUUCGAGAAUGACAGGCUCUGAUAUAUCCCAUUCAAAAGAUGGUAGAUCCAGAAUAAAAGGAGAUUGUCAACCUCAGAAACUCCCCUUUCAUAUAAAUGGCUCCUCUUUUUCAAAUACAAAAGAUUCAGUUUUCCUCAACAUUAUCGUUGGCAUGGACUUUUCAGACAGACAUUUUCUCAUUCUGCAUGGUCAGCUUCCAUUACGCCAAACGCCUCAGUUUCAUCUACAAUGUACUGAGUGGGAUCGAUAAAAUCUCAUCAGCGAUGAUAACUCCCACAGUACUCCCAUGCUCAGGUAAAGGAUUCUUACUACAUUCGGUCCUUGUUCUCCUUUCUUCUGAGAAGGAUGUCUCCAGAGUCAAUCAUGUCCUGAAUCUUAUGUUUUAGCCCAACAAUUGCCAGUGGUAUGACCUGGACUUCCAGAAUGAUAAGCACAAAUUGCUGCGUAUCAUAACCUGGAGGAAUGCCUUUGGGAUAAAGUUUGGGAGGAACGGUGCCAAUUUUUCCAGCUGCUUUUAACUGCUCAUAUAAUUGAUCAAUUGGUCGGCCCAAGUUGGUGAAAGUUCGAAAUUGUUUCUGGUUUGAAUCCAUUGGUUUGAAAGGAUUUUGAGAGGGUUAUUAUUUUGCAGGGUUGGUCUGGAAUGGUAAAUGGGACGAGUGUGAUUUUGAAAAACGGUUGUGGGUUGGAGGUAACGGUGAGGUAUUCAAGUGAUUUGGUCGGAAUGAUGGAAUUGGGUAGUGGUGUGGUAGACUGGUUGAGAUUGGUGUAAUACGGGUAAGGAAAAGAAUAGGUGGGAUGGUUUUGGGUCUGAAAGACGGGCCCUGAUCCCAUAUAAAAGCAGUUUCUCCUUCUUUCUUCUUGAAUGGGGGUUUUUUCCCAUUGUUGCUUUGAUUUUGUAGAGCAUCUAAUUGCAACUUUAAUGCAGACACAUUAACAAUCUUCCUGCUUUGACAAAUUCAUCGUAUCCUCCAAUUGUUAAUGAUAGCAGCAAAUGAACUUCCAGUCAUGCGAAAGAUCUCUUCAAAGUAGGGUGGAUCGUGAGCUUUGAUGAAAGUACGAACAAUCUCCUCCUCAGUCAUAGGAGGCUCCACUUUGGCAGCUAACUUUCUCCAUCGCUUUGCAUAGGUCUUGUGAUCUUCCGAUGGUUUUCUUUUGUACCCUCCAGUGUCGUUCGUGUUGGCGCCAAUUCACAAUUAAACUCAUAUUGCUUCACAAGGCUGUUGACAAAUCCAACCAGGUUUUGACCUCUUCAGACUUCAAAUUUGAAUACCAAUCUAGAGCAUCUCCCUCCAAACUUUCCGGAAAUAACGCAUAGGCAAACUCUCAUCAUCCACAGGUUUACCUAACUUGUUGGCAAACAUUUUGAGGUGCGUCUUAGAAUUUCCAGUUCCAUCAUAUUUGCUGAAUUUAGGGGUUUUGAAUCCCAACGGUACUGAAUAUUGGGGAAAAGACAUAAUUUAUCGUAGUCCAAACCACCAUGCCUGCUCAAAACCUUGAUUCUUUUUCAUAAAGUCGUCGAAUCGGUCCAACCUUCUUAACAGAUCUUUAUCAACGGGGUAGGUUGUUUCUUUCCAUCGCCGCCUUCCCUUGAGAUGCAGUAUCCAGUACAAAAGGCUCUGCAGUAUGUGGUGGGCCCCUGAGGUUGGGGGAAUGUUCAGAUUGGUUUGUGGAUGGGUUUGAGGAUUUGACUACUGGUUGGGUUUACCAAUACAUAAUUUGGAUGCAUAUAUGAAAAGUCUGAAUUUAAUCGGGCAAAGUAUUUUCAAGAGGGUUACGAAAGGAGGAAAGAAAGGUGCUUGGGUAUUGGAUGUGUGGGUGGUUGAUAGUCUUGGGCAGGUGGUGAUUAUCGAUAGGUUCUUGGUCGUUUGGGACCCCCACCAUUGUUGCUGGCGACCAGCUGAUCAAUUACACGCCUUUGUGCGGCCAUUUCAGCACUUAACUCACUGAACUUGCCAAGUACCUCACUUAACUGAGCUCCCAAUGCUGUGAAGUCCGGUGAUUAACCAUAGCANNNNNNNNNNNNNNNNNNNNNNNNNNNNNNNNNNNNNNNNNNNNNNNNNNNNNNNNNNNNNNNNNNNNNNNNNNNNNNNNNNNNNNNNNNNNNNNNNNNNNNNNNNNNNNNNNNNNNNNNNNNNNNNNNNNNNNNNNNNNNNNNNNNNNNNNNNNNNNNNNNNNNNNNNNNNNNNNNNNNNNNNNNNNNNNNNNNNNNNNNNNNNNNNNNNNNNNNNNNNNNNNNNNNNNNNNNNNNNNNNNNNNNNNNNNNNNNNNNNNNNNNNNNNNNNNNNNNNNNNNNNNNNNNNNNNNNNNNNNNNNNNNNNNNNNNNNNNNNNNNNNNNNNNNNNNNNNNNNNNNNNNNNNNNNNNNNNNNNNNNNNNNNNNNNNNNNNNNNNNNNNNNNNNNNNNNNNNNNNNNNNNNNNNNNNNNNNNNNNNNNNNNNNNNNNNNNNNNNNNNNNNNNNNNNNNNNNNNNNNNNNNNNNNNNNNNNNNNNNNNNNNNNNNNNNNNNNNNNNNNNNNNNNNNNNNNNNNNNNNNNNNNNNNNNNNNNNNNNNNNNNNNNNNNNNNNNNNNNNNNNNNNNNNNNNNNNNNNNNNNNNNNNNNNNNNNNNNNNNNNNNNNNNNNNNNNNNNNNNNNNNNNNNNNNNNNNNNNNNNNNNNNNNNNNNNNNNNNNNNNNNNNNNNNNNNNNNNNNNNNNNNNNNNNNNNNNNNNNNNNNNNNNNNNNNNNNNNNNNNNNNNNNNNNNNNNNNNNNNNNNNNNNNNNNNNNNNNNNNNNNNNNNNNNNNNNNNNNNNNNNNNNNNNNNNNNNNNNNNNNNNNNNNNNNNNNNNNNNNNNNNNNNNNNNNNNNNNNNNNNNNNNNNNNNNNNNNNNNNNNNNNNNNNNNNNNNNNNNNNNNNNNNNNNNNNNNNNNNNNNNNNNNNNNNNNNNNNNNNNNNNNNNNNNNNNNNNNNNNNNNNNNNNNNNNNNNNNNNNNNNNNNNNNNNNNNNNNNNNNNNNNNNNNNNNNNNNNNNNNCAAUCUUCCUUCUACUCGCUCAAAUCUGUCUGAAGUAACUUUUGCGAGCUUUUCCACUGCCAUCUCCCAACCAGGUUUAGUUUCAACUUGUUGUUGCCUUGAUUGAAAUCCCGGUGGAUUGGCUGGCCUUGGUUGAUUUCCUUGAUCCUUCCAUCCAAAGUUUGGAUGAUUUCUCCACCCCGGAUUGUAAGUAUUCGAGUAGGGGUUAUUUUGAGCAUUACGAUUGUAAUUAUUAACGAAUUGUACCUGCUCAGAAUCAACACACUCAUUAGUAUCAUGUUCACCUCCACAUAUAGAACAACAUGCUACAUGUGCAUUAGAUGAACUUGGACCAACUCCACUUUGUCUACUUAGCAACUUCAUCACAUUAUUCAUUUGAGUACUCAGCAUAUUGAGAGUGUCCAUUUCUAUCAUACCUGCGUGACGUCUUGUAUUACCUCUCUCAUUGGCCCAUUGGUAGUUGUUUGCAGCCAUUUCUUCUAUCAAAUUCUGAGCUUCUUGGGGUUAUUUACCCAUUAAAGCUCCACCUGCAGCUGCAUCGAUCAUAGUUUUAGUAGAAAAACUAAACCAUUAUAGAAGGUUUGUAUGAUUAACCACUCCGGCAGUCCAGAUGUGGACAUUUCCGAAGCAAAUCUCUAAACCUUUCCCAUGCCUCAUAUAAUGAUUCACUUUCUAAUUGGCAAAAACUAGUGAUAUCCAUUCUAAGUUAGCAGUCUUUACCUGGUGGAAAAUACUUAUUUAAGAAUACUCUUGAUAACUCAUCCCAUCCAGUGAAAGUAUUAGGAGCAUGAGAGUGUAACCAAAGUUUGGCCUUAUCUCUCAAUGAAAAUGGGAACAAUCUUAGCCUUAUAGCAUCAUCACUAACUCCAUUCAUUUUAAUUGUAUCACAAAUUUCCAAGAAUGUAGCUAAGUGUGUAUUAGGGUCUUCUACUGCAUUACCUCCAAAUUGAGAUUGUUGAACCAUUUGGAUAAGUGCUGGUUUAAUCUCAAAAUUGUUAGCAUUUACCGUAGGCCUUACUAUACUCGUUUGAGAUCCUUGUGUUCCCGGUAGAGCAAAAUCUCGUAGAACUCGCCUAUGUGCUUCGUUUUCUGCCAUGUCUUCUUCAAAUGGAAGCUCUAUUAAGAUAUCUUAUUGGCUGCCAAACCUCUUUUUCUCUUGAUGUGAUGUACUCCUCCUUUGUCUGUGUAAUGUUCUUUCAAUUUCAGGAUCGAAAUGUGCAACUUCUCGAUUUGAUCGGUGCAUACACUACAGACAAAAACAAGAGAAAUUUUGCAGUUUAAAUUCAACAACUUGAAAUAAAAAAAAAUGAAAAUAUCUAAAGUAAUAGAGAUGAUUAGGCCCUAAUAUUGCCGCUCCCGGCAACGGCGCCAAAAACUUGACGGGAUAUUUUGUAUCUAUACAAGUUUAAUUCCGAUUUUACACCCGUUGGACUGCAAGUAUACAGGUCGCAAUUGUAGUACAAGAUGUGUAUCGGGUCGAUCCCACGAGAAGCAAUUUAAACAAUUACUAAGCCCUUGUUCUCUCUAUUAUUUAGACUUACAAUUAAUUUGAGCAGAGAAAGUCUAAUGCUGUAAUCUACAAAUCUGAUAUACAAAUCUAGUUUAACAAAUACUGAGUACAAAUAGAGAAAUUUUACUUAAGGAAGAUUCUAGGGAUGUAGAUUCCACUUAUGGCAUAAACUACACAAAUGAAUGGAUUUACUCCUUGCUAUUAUUCUUGCUUAACCAGAGAUUUAUUUCCAAGAAUACCAAGUCUCAUUUUCAUGAUGAAAUGGCUUAGAGCAAUAUAGAUUUCCCUAUUUUCAUGGUGAAAUAUUCUACUACUCCGUUUUAUUUCAUGAAAUGCUCAAUAAUCCACCUAAGUGUAUCUCUAUUUUCAUGAACAUACAACUCAAGCUCUACUCAUGUAUUUCAAUUGUUAUUACCAAUUCUCAUUGAAUAAUAACACUAUAAAUAUGCUAUUGGUGAUCAAUCAACAACACGUAAUCACAGCUACACAAGUAGACAAGUUACUACAAGAUAUAACAAGUGUAAAUCACAUUCCAUUCAUAUUAUUUAACCAUAAGCUUCAUCUACUCCCUAGAUUAAGGGGUUUAGCUACUCAUGAAUGAUUUAAUAAUCAAACUCACAAGUUUAUUAAUGCCAAACAUCAUGAAGUACAAGUACAAGAAAGAUAAAAGAAAGCUUAGCCACUUGAAGGUGAAGCUCUCCAAUUCCUGCUAUGCUCUUGCACAAUAUGAUUACAAGUAAAAACUCCAAGUACUUCUCCAAGAACUCCUAUCUAGAGAGAAACUAGAUACCAGAAAGAAAACUAGUUACGUAUGGUAAUCCCUCUUCUCCCCAUCUUUCUGCAUAAAAAUGUGGUAGAAAUUCCAUUCCUCUCACUUCAUAAUUUCUUCCACUCAGAUUUUGUAAAAAGAGGUCAAAGAUAUGAUGUCUCCUUUUGUCCACAUUCAUUUGGUCUUCUCUUUUGUUGCAGAAGCAUGUGCCACCGAUUUCUGUCCCUCAAAAUAGCUGGAAAGUUAUGAAAAAGGUAAAGAAAAACGGCUAUGGCACUUGCUGAGGAGAGAGACAGAUCCGAGCCUCGGAUCCGAGGAGUGAAAAUUGGAUCCGAGCUCGGAUAUUAGGAUCUGAGGGCUUCCAUGAUGGAUCCGAGGUCGGAUCGUCCUGACCUCGGAUACACUCCGCCAGAAGUACAGACUAGGGGUCGGAUCCCUCUUGUACACACAGAUCCGUGCUCGGAUCUGUGUUGAACAAUUUUCCAGUUUUUCACUUCUUCCCUUUUUCUACAUUUUUGCUCCCAAUUUCUUGUGUACUUUGUCUUCUGAAUGACCCUGACAUUUCUUUCAACUUGUGCAUGAAUUUCAUACAUCAAUUACCUUCACAAUUUCACAAAAUUAACGCAUUAAUCCACUCAUUUAUUAAUUUCUGAACUCUUAAACAAUAUUUAAGCAAUUAUCACCAAAAGAGUUCAAAUAUGGCUUUAAUCUUCUCAAAACAUACCAAAAAUUCAUGCCAAAUUCGUACAAAAUGUACGUUAAAUAUUCACUUAUCAAGGAACCUCUUUAGGAAUUUGAUUGGUAUUAGGAAACCAAUCAAUUAAGCAAUUUGGCAGGGAGAAUUCAGCAUAUAGCUCUUGCUUAGGAACAAAGCAUAGUUAUUCUUGUUUUCUUGACCGAUUGACAAGAAGACAAUUGGAAAGCUUCGAACAGAUUUUUGCAUGGCUUGUUCUCCAUUAAUGGAGAACUAAUUUCAUAUUUCUAGUCAAGGGCGACAAUUGAAGAUUUGGUUCAACAAUAACUGUGAUCUAAAUUAUUUUAAUUGCUUCUUUCAUUCAUUGGUAUUUAUAUGUUUUUGCUUUAAUGGCUAUGACUACUGUGUAUGAUUGAAUAGUUGCGCAUAUUUAAUUAUUCACGUAGUCUAUUUGCUAAUUGGGGGUAGUUGAAUCCGUAAUUGUUUGAUUACUCCAUCCCGGUAGCAACUAGCAUGAUUGGUUUCAUGUUAGGAAAACGUAUGAUAUAACUUAAAUGAACCCUCGUAGUGUGUUUGUUGGUUAGAGUUGGGCUUUUCCAAUUCUUAUUGCAAUCGAAAAAUGAAAUCCUAUGAUCGUAUUUAGGGUUAUUUCUUGUUUGGUGAAAUAGUUAAUGAUCAUACCUUAACUAUCGAAAAAGUAAGGAAAGGCUGGUUGUUUAUCGCAUGCAUGACAACUAUAACCAAUCUAUUAAUGAGUAAUUGAAUUAUCUUUGCAUCGAUGAUCAGUUGAAUGAACCGUGUCUGAAAAGUGCACCUUUGAUUAGAAUCGUAUUGGUUAUUGAUUAAUUCAUGUUUAUUUCUGUUAGUUGUUUCAUUAGUUAGUUAAUUAGUUAUUUUAUAUUCUCCAAAAACCCCCCAUACUUCAGACCCUGGAAGAAACGAAUUAUCCCCAAUCCCUGUGGAUUCGACCCUACUUGCCCAAUAUACAAAUUAGAGAUUUUUCGUGAAUAAAUUCUGGUAUAUCGGAUUUAGCAAACUCUUCGGAACCAGGAUGAAUCUAGUAACCCAUUGCACAUCUAGAGUCCCUGCUCCAGUACCAGAAUUGACACGAAGUUGCUUCCGUUGGCAAUUAGGAUUAUUAAUAUUAUUAUUACACAGACUCGAUACCUGUCAAUACUCACCUAACAAACCUCCACCCGAGGAAAUUUUUUUUUAAAAAAAUCUACAUUAGGGUAUACAUUAGCAGAAAAUGAAAAAAAAAAAAAACUUUAGACUGCAAUCUAGUAACAUGUGUCCCAGGUGCACAAAGAAAUUGAAACAUAUAGAGCUUUGAUUGUCAAAAGUAGCACUAGUACUCCUCGGAGUUUAAUUCAAAUACAGAUGAUCAAAUAUGAGUGACGCCUUGCGCAUAGCGGCAAUAGAAAACUAUGAAAGGAUAUGCCACGGUGUGUCAGCCAACCGUCUUUAGAGUUGAAAUUCUUUCAGGAGCUUCUGUGAUUGUAUGGUUUUGUAAUCUAGCAGCAUCAGAUUUUGUGAGGCGAUGCGUUGAUGAAACUUGGGUAUUGGUAUUCAAUCCCAAGAUCUUUCAUGUAAAAUGACUCGGAUGCGGCAAAAGCCUUGGAUUCUCUGCUCCGGUCAACUUGAAAUUGGACUAGUCCCAGCACUUUAGGAAGUUGGUUAUUAGCACAUUUAAAUUUUUAUACUAAUUGUAGUAAGUAAUAUUUGGAGGGACCAUAAGUUCAGGUUGAAAAGAGGCAUGGUGAAAAUCUUUCCAAAUACAGACCCUACUACUUGUACAAAUAAAAGAGAGAACAAAAAUAUAUAACCCAUUAACACAUACUAAAAGUUUUUACAGCAAUUACAUGGUGAAUUCAUUAAAUUAGGCAUUUGGUUGACUUUGACAUGUGUGUCAAGUCAAAACAUUGUCAAAAAUUGCAACUUAUUGUAUACUGAUUUACUCGGCAAAAAUAAAUUUAGUUAAUUAUUUAUUGAUAGGAAAAAACUUUUAAAAUUUUGUUUUUCUUAAUAGAUACAUCGAAUGCCAUUGUUAAUCUCCACGUACUUUGAGGCACCAUUAUUGCCAACCUUGCGUCUAAGCAUUUAUCCAUACAAAAAUAGGUGAUUUUAAAAGCUAAAGACAUUUUUCAACCUUUAAAUGUAUUUUAAUAUGCAUAAACAACACGCUUAACCGCAUGUAUUUAUAAACUUUGCCACUGGAUAAUGCCUAAUUGGCCGUAACAAAUGAAGUUUCGGUACUUGAGGUGACGCACUAGUGAAACCAUGCAUUCCAGGGAUAAGAAUUAAACUUGGAAAUCUGAAAAAGAUAACUAAAGAAUAAAUAUUAGAAUCAAUAAUAUAAAAAAAAAAGUUUCCAAAUCAAAUCAAAAUUAUUGAAAAUUGACCAAAGCUCAAAUCCAAAUCAAAUAAAUCCUUACACGUUAAACCCACGAGAAACCUGUUAUCAAGAGGUGCAAUUACCACUUGAUAAAACUCCAAUGUAGCUAUCACCUCGUGGAUCACACAUAUGUUGGGUCCUCUUAAUUAUUUUCAGUUGGUACGAAAUCAUUCAGAUAUGAUUUCCGUGACAAAUUCUGAGUGUAACGCAAUAUUCACCUCAACCAGUUGAGACAUUGUCUGAUAACCAUGAAAUUUGACUCUCCAAUUCUUGGGUUUUGCCUCUCUCUUUAUAAGGUGUAGAAUGUGGGUUUUCUUUCGAAUGAACCUGGUUCUAAAGAAUGCUAACUGGCUGACAAUUGCGGAAGUUUUUGUGCAUAUCUCUACCAUGAAGCCAAUCAAAAUGUGAAUGGACUAGACAUAAAGGGCAGUAGUUUAAAAUUUGUAGUGAAAUUAACUUAAUUACCUCAAUGGGAUUGAACUAAAAAAUGCAAUCUUCUAUUCAGACAAAAUUCAUAAGUUCUAAGUUCAUUAAGAAAGAUCAAUGCCUGUCAUAUUAAUGCAAAAUUAUUGAUAACAACAAGAAGGAUACUUUUAGAGGUGAUAUAGUCUAGAGUCCAUGCAUCUAACCCACUCUCUUGACAUAGAUCGGAGUUCAGUGAGCGUUAAACUCAAGUCCAUUGGCCAAAAAAAAAGAAAAAAAAAAAAAGACUCAAGUCUAUUCAAAAAACCAAACAUUGGACUCCAAACCAGUGAUGUCGAAUUGAUUAUCCAUGGACGCUAAAACCGCCAGAAACAAGUCAUCAAGAGGUGAAACUACCACAUACGACAAUACCCAAUUAUUUAGCAAAUCAAGGAUAAGGAUUAGGACUGUCAAUGGGGCUGAGCCAGCCCGAGCUCGGCUCGUUCGGCCCGACAGAAAACCCGAUGAGCCCUAUCAUUUAGUGAGUCGGUCUGAGCUUGAGCCUAAAAAUUAGGCCCGAAUUAAAUGUGAGCCGAGCUUGGGCCUUAUUAGGCUCAAACCCGAUAUAGGCCCGACCCUUUAAUUACCUAUAUAUAUAAUAUUUAUAUUUUGAUAUUAUGUAUAAUUAUAUAUCCAAAUAUAUUUUUACUAAAUACUAAAUAUAUAUAUAAAUUACAAAACACAAAAAUACAUCUAAAGACUCUUUCAUGAGCUUUCUUGAGAGCCAAUAUUAGUAAUGCAUAACUAAAUCUCUAAUUUUUCUUAUUGGUUGAGUAAAUUUUUGUAUUGGCAUAUUAUUGGUUGAUUUUUUUUUGGUCUACAAACACAAAAAUCAUCAAGCAUGUUCGGAUUUAAAUCACAAGAUUAUAAAAAAAAAGUUUCAACUUUUAAAGAUGCAUUGGCUUAUGAUCGCAUGUUUUAUUACUAUUUUUCAUGCAUUUUAAACGGAUUAAAUAUAAAUAUUGUUGAAAAUUUUUUGGUUUAUAUACUUUUUAAGAACUAUUAUUUGUUCAUGUUUAGUUUUAAUAUUAUAGUCUUGUAUAUGUUAAAUUAGUUUUACAACUUAAUAGUUAUAGUAAUUAUAUUAAGAAAAUUAAGGAGUAAUAAGUGAGCAUGGGCUAAACCCGAUUAAGGCUCACAACCCAAAUAUUAUAUGAGCUAAGUAUGAGUUUCACAUUUACGAACCCGAAACUCAUAGCCCGAAGCCCAAAAAUGUUUCAAAUUAAAUGAGUUAACUUGAACUCAUCAAAGCCCGGCUCAUUAGGCCCGAUUGACAGGCCUAAUAAGGAUCAGACAAGUAUCAGGGUAUUAAUAGUCCUCUAUAUUAUUUAUUUGCAGCUGGUACGAAGUCAAUUAAUCAGAGAUACCCACCAAAUGACACAACUUAAGACUUGAAGGAAAAAUAUGAUUGCUGAAGAAUCGUUAUCAGAAUCAAAUCAUUGCACCUUAAAUACAACUUUUUGGAUUCGUUAGGUUUGCAUCGAGGUGGAGAAGAUCUCAAUUACAUACAAGCAAUUAACAGCAGAAGAAACAUAGCUUUAAUAUCUGAUUCUAGUAAUGGUUUCUGGCAAAGAAUACGUUGUCCUUCACGAGUAAUGUUUCUAGAAACAAUCUUUAUAUUUUUGUGUUUAAAAUAACUUGAAGAAUACGGCAAAAGUAAGCUUUGGUUUGUGGACUGAUGAGUAAACACUAUGAAAUGAUGAGUAAACAUCAACACUAUAUGUCUGGAAAGAGAGGAAUUACAUUAUUUUUAGCAACAAGGUUACUAAAAUUGGGGGUUAUUAUAACUUUAUCCCUUUAAACUAUAGUGCUAAUAUCAAUUUACCUUUUUAACAUUAUUUUGCAGGCAUUUGACCUCGCAGUUAUUCUCCUUUUUCAUUCUAAAGGACCAAGAAAAAUGUAAAAGGGUUCCCUUUUUUUUUCAUUCUCAACUAUUAAGAAAAAAAAAAAGAAAUUGAAUAGAGGUUGACAGAAAACUCAAUUUCAGAAAAAAGGAAAAUAAAGAAGAAUCCAAUAUUAUAAUUAAUUUAAAAUAAGUUAGAGUGGGCGGUAGGGGUGAAGAGUAAGUAGUAAUUUUAAAAUAAUAAGCACAUUGGAUUCUGUAUUAUUUUUAUUUUCUUUUUUAAAAUUGAGUUAUCUCUCUAUUUUCUUAUUUUAAGUAUUGAUAAGUACACGAGGAAAAAAAGAAGAAGACAUUUUUUUGACUUUUUUCCCCUUGUUAUUAAAGAGGGUGGAAAAAAGGGAGAAGACACUUUUUUAUUUUUUUUCUUGGUAUUAAAAGGGUGAAAAGGGGGAAAAAACCAUUCCAAUUUUUUUAAAAUUUUUAAUCAUACAGGAGAGGGAUGUAUUUCUUCUAAAAUAUUAGGUAAAUUAUAUAUAAUUUCCUGUGUUUUCAUCUAUUGCCACAUGAUUCCCAAAACAUUUUAGGGUUUUAUGCGGCUGAUGUAAGGGAAAAAAUUCAUAUUAAUACCUUAAAUUUCCCUUAAGGAGUUUUUAUAUUUAAAUCAAAUUAUUCAAUGAAUAUAUUUUUGUUUUUCUCCUAGUCUCAAAGAGUCUUGCCUCAGGCCUAAAUCAUUUCCGCUAUAUUCCUUUGGCCAAAUUUACAAUCGUAUAUUUGUGUUUGUAGCCGUUGAUUGAACUUUAGUCUUAGGAAAAAUGAUAACAAAUGGAAAGAGUGAGAUACAAGUCAAUUAAAAAACAUGAUUAACACUAGAAUUUGUGAGACAUGGAGACUUGGAUUAUAAAAAGGAUAAGAAAACUUGAAUAGGUGAAAAAAGGUGCAUUAAAACUAUACGAAAGAAGUAGCAUAACAGUGAUAUAGUAUUUGGUGAUGAGCAGAUUCUUGGUGAUAUGUUUUUUAAGUUUGAUAGGCAUUUUAUUACUUUUGGGAAGAUUAUUAUAAUCAUUUUGAGUCCUUAAGAAAAGCAUGGAAGUAUAAUAUUUGAAUAUAGAGGUGGGCAACGUGAGAUUAUCAGAAAUCUUAGAAGAAGUUUUUGAAAUUAUCCUUUGCUGUAAUACUAUUCUUUUUUUUUUCUACUUUGUGAUUAUUGAUUUCCACAUUCACACUCGAAAUGCUAAGGCAAAAAGCAAAAUUCAAAAGUAGUGGGUUGGUGGCUCAGCUCAUAUGAUUCUGAAAUACAACGAUUUAUUGGGCACAUUCUACCCAGUAUUGUCUGUUGGCAGAUUUGGAAAGCAAGGAAUAAAGCAAUGUUUGAGGAUAUUCAGAUGAGCCGCUUGCCAUUUGUCGUGCCAUUUUCUCGGAAAUCCAGACCAUUGUGGGAAUUUAUUUCAAACAAGUGUUCAGAGUACAGUCAUUUCAUCAUUUGUAUGAUUGGUCGUAUUCUUCUCAUACUGAGGUUACAUACAAACUUGUUCGUUGGGAAGCAAAGGAAUCCGAUCGGUUCAUAUUAAAUACGGAUGGCUGUUCUAAGGGCAAUCCAGGGAGUGAGUGGAGGCGGUGGGGUUCUUCGGGAUUCAAAUGGCAUACCUUUGAUUGGCUUUUCGGCAUAUCUUGGGGAAACUACAAGUCUAUGUGCAGAGGUUCGGGCACUCCUUAUUGGGCUUCAAACUUGUGUACAUAGGGGUUUUCAAAAUCUCUAUGUUCAAUCGGAUUCUUUAUUAUUAGUUGGAAUUCUUCAGAAUCGCAUUCAAUGCCCCUGGAAGAUUCGACGAGAGAUUAGGCAGAUUUGGCAGUUGGUGAAAGAUCCUGAUCGUUUUUCGCAUUGCUAUAGGGAAGCUAACAAAGUUGCUGAUGCGCUGUCCAAUGUGGGCGUAUUUCAUCCAGAGCAUCAAGUCAAGCUUUACGAGGCCUUUAAUUCGUUCCCAACUAUGGCUCGUGGGGCCAUUCGACUUGAUAGAUUAGGAAUGCCUUCAAUUCGGAAAAGUAAGCGUAUGAAGGGCUGAGAACAAAGGACAACUGGAGCUAAUAUGCGGUUGCGGUUGCGGUUGAAUGAGACAUGGAGGUUUUGUGUGCUUUAUUACCUUUUCAGUCGAUUGCUGUACUUCGAAUUGGUCUUUCUCAAUGUGUAAAAUUUGCUCCUAUCAAUAAAAUAAACUAAUAUUUAAUUAAAAAAAAAAGCAAAAUUCAAGGAUGAAAAUGAAAAAAAAAAAAAAGACAAGGUUAUAAACAUAGGGAAAGACUCUAUAUUUGAUUAAUGCUAAAAUAUUAUAAAAUGAUUAUAGAAUUUCUUUUUCAUUUUUUAUGAGUGACAUUUUUAUUAAGAAAAUUUAGUAGGGGAAUGAUGGGAUUUAAAAAGUGAAAAAAGAACAAAGAGAUCAAAAUUCAGGAUCUCUAAUUCUUGGGAGUAACAUGAUAAUAUUAUUUCUAAAAAUCCAAUAUCAAAUCCUAUUGGUGUAAUAUAAAGGAAUUUGGAUGAUUGAAGUGUUUAAAAUAUAAAAUACUUCUAAAUUAUAAUAUCUUAUUCAUUAGUCGAAUGUGGAAUCUUAUGUUUGUUGCCCCUUUCUUUUUUGCUUUGGAUUUGGGUUUUGAACUUUGAGUAUGAAUUGAGUAAGAUUAUAGCAUGAGAAGGUUCAUCAUGUUCAUUUAAUUAAGGUCUUCCUGCAUUUAAAAUGGGAGCUUACAUGACAAAAAAAAAAGAUUAAAAUGGUAAUAAUUUACAAAAGAGCAUCAUAGUGGGAACAUUUUUCCUAAAAAAGGUCAUUUCAGAACUAAAUUCCGUGAAUCCAUGGUUUCAUGUGGGGUUUCUUUUCAUGGACGUGAUUAACAUCAUGUCUCUUAUCAUUUCGAUGAGGAUUAUUAACAUCCAAGUCCUAGAGCCUGAUUGCAUUAGUACUAUCCUUGGCCUUGGGUAUAAUAUCACAAGUUCCUCCCUGUAAAGGUUGCAAUGCGUUUUAAGAGAGUGAGAAUUAAGUAUAUCACGGGAAAAAAAAAAUUAAUGGCAAAGUAACUUACCAGAACAACCAACAGAUGGAGGAGGAUAAUCCAACAAGCAAGUCCUUUGGAAUCCAUCAAUUGGUAGGUUUUAUAUCCCUUGCAACUCCUCCUUUGAAGGAUUAGGCAACAGCAGAAGCAAAUGCCAAAUAUUACAUAUCGAUGAAAAGUGUGCUUGAUUAGAAGGUUCUUUUUCAAAUAGUCGAUUAAAAUAUGACCCCUUGACAGAUAGUGUUUCUUAUUGAGGUUGAAAAAUGAACCAAAUUAUUUGAUACUCAAAUCAAAUUUGGCUAAAGAAAAGUUUGUUUGAACUUAGUUUGCCAACUAAUCAAUUUAAAAUUUAAGAAGUAUUAUUAUGUGUUAGAUUAACUAUCAAAUUUGGCAUUAACUUGGCUUGAUUAACAUAAAAUUAGAAUUUACAAGUAAAAAAUUCAAGUUACUCAAGUUCGACUCAUGCUCGAUUCUAUAAAAAAACUCAUUUGAGUUUGGCUUAAUUAAUAAACAAGUCAAAUUUGAAGACCUUCCUCUUAAAAAAAUUUUUAAAAAAUCAAGUUUGAGUACAGUUUUAAGUUUAUUAAAUAAUCUAACAAGUUUGAAUACUAGAACAUUGAAUCUAGUAGACCUACACAAAAUCACUAAAUUUAUUUUAGACCAUAACUGUAGAUUGUUUAGAAAAAAAAGGACCAAAAUGUAGACCUACCCACGUGACAAAACCAGCCACGUGAUCCAUGCUGUAACCUUGCUAGCUUCACUUAGCUAUCGCCUUGUAUAAAUAGCCGUAUACCCCAAGAGUCUUUUCACCACCAAAGUUACAUUUUGAGGCUUGUCAUAGGCAAGGCAUGGCUUCAUCUAUCACUCUGAUCGCAGUCUUUUCAAUUGCCCUGGUAAGUUCUCAACCAUCAAUACUGUACUUGAAGUAGUAGUUCAUACGAGAUAAUUGCUAGACUGUAUAGGAAUACUGAUGAAACCCGUGAAUUAAAGCUACCUGAGAAAACACAUUCUUCUUCCUUUUUGCACAUUCAUCUGCAGCUCUAACCAUCGCCACUGAAGGAAUGGAAGCUCUUCAGAUGCUCUGUAGUUCUAUUCUGAUAAAAUCUUGACUUCCAAACAUUACCAAUGCUGGUACCAUACUUAAACGUCAAUGUAACUUGAGUAAUGGCAUAUGACACUAUUUACCAUUUUUUAGUUGGAGGAUUCAUCCGGGAAAGCUUGAAGGUCAAAUCAAUACCUUAAAAUCAACAAAUGAAUAUUCCUGUUGCCAGUUGAGCUCGUAUUUGGACAUAACUAUCCUUCCCUACAAGGGGUCAUCUUUUACAGUGCUACCAUCAACGUACCUAUAUGGCUAUAUUGACGUUAGUUUCUUUUAUGGUGAUAUUUGCACUAAUGUGCAGUUUGGAUGCAUCACGGAAGCAAGGAAGAAUCCUACGGACUUUUUGCAAUCUGCUGUCAUUAAUGAGCAUACUGAGGACAAUCACCAUGCAGAGCCGUCCCCUUCCAAUCAGAAGAAGACAACUAAUGGUAACACAUUGAAAGACUUUGAGUCGAAGCGUGGCUCCCAUCUCUUCUAUCAUGGCGACGACGCUUCUCCUCUGGUGAAAGACUUUGAGUCGAAGCUUGGCUCCCUUCUCUUAUAUCAUUAUGGCGCCGAGGAGAAACCUCUGAGGAAAGACUCAUUAUUUGGCGCUCCUCUGAGGAAAGACUUUGAGUCGAAGCUUGGCUCCCUUCUCUUAUAUCAUUAUGGCGCCGAGGAGAAACCUCUGAGGAAAGACUUUGAGUCGAAGCUUGGCUCCCUUCUCUUAUAUCAUUAUGGCGCCGAGGAGAAAACGCUGAUGAAAGACUUUGAGUCGAAACGUGGCUCCCAUCUCUUCUAUCAUGGCGACGACGCUAAGCCAAUGAAAGAUAAUUAAUGUCCAGGGAAGCCGCAACUUUACCUCUGUACGGACUACGGACCUGUGUCUCUUCUAGCUGGUCCGUUUUUAUCCAUUGUCUUCUUUCAACCAAGCGUUCCGUAAUAAAUGUCAGUACAGUUGAGUGCAUUUUCUGUUUCUUUGUUUGUUGUUCUUUUUGCCAUUUACCAUAUACAGGAAGUGCACAAAAAAUGAGCACUAUUCAAGCAUUAUAAGAAUCGUAGAGUGAGCGAACCGCUUUACCUUGAUAAUCUAAAAAGAGUUCUGCAAACUCGUACUCUUGUACGAAACCAGGACCAAAUAUAUAUAUAUAUAUAUCGAUUCAAUUUUCUAACUAUGUGUGUGGUACGAAUGCACAUUAGAAGUACAGAAAAUUCUCGAGUAAACUUUCACAAAAGAAGGGAAAGAAUGGAGAACUCUUGAAGCGUGAUUGAUCGCUACUCUUAGGAAUUUAAUUAUCCAUACUACACUAAGUAUUUGCUGUAGAGAUAUGGUAAUUUAACUUUAAGAUACAACAAGAGAAGAAGCAGUUGAUAGCAAAUAUCAAGUUUCUCAAACUAAGAAAUGAUCAAAUAAUUCUAGCUAGUUUUGACAUUAAAAGGCUUGUUUAUUUACAGGUAACCUUGUUUUCUUUUUGUCCCAAUUAUUUGACUUUAAACUUGGUUCUGUGACAUGGAUUCUACGUGUUAGUAUACACAACACUAAUCCUAAACAUUAAGUGAAAAUCAUAUUAUGGGUAACUGAGUACCGCAUAACUUGCAAUUAUCCACUUACGCACUCAAUAUUAUUGGAAAUUACAUGGAUUUUUGUUUCGGUAACUCUAAUUAUAGUCUCAAGAUCCAUCUUAAUUGAAGGGGCCAUUAUGAAUUAGAUGAACAUGAAAUUGUAUUUCGAUUCUCAAGCUAAUCCCUUCCUCUUUCUCCAUUGUAAGGAUUAGUCUCUCUUUUUUUUUUUUAAGUGCUCUAAUUAUACAGGAUUAAAGCAAGUAGCAAUGGUCUAUAAAAGGAUAAAAAGUAAGCAGGGGCAUAUUUAUUAAAACAUGAAAAUAAUAUGAAAUUUUAUAAUACGCAUGAUAUGAAUAAUGAAUUGUACGUCAAUAAUGCCAAUAUAUUUGAAAAGUACAAAGCUGAAAAUACAGCUUCACUUACUAUGUGCAUAAUAAAUAUUUUAGCGAAGAUUUUUUAUUUUUAGUGUAAGUGAGAAAUUUGAACUCCAAACCUUUCACUUACACUCUUUUUUCAUACCAUCCAAUCCAUCCCUACAUUUUUAUGAAGAUGAGCACAUAAUGUGAGUUUUUAUUUUUUGAGGUGAAUAACUUGUUCACAAAAAAGUUUACUCGAUUUAUGUAAAGUUUAAACUUUGGGCUGUCUAAACAACGCAAGUAGAUGGCACUAGGACACAAUUCAUUAUGAUGACUUCAUCCAAGGUAACGAAAAAAAAGUUGUACAAUUGCACUUAAAAUUUGUGAAAUUUAUAGUACUAUUUCAUGGUUUAUCCUCUCAAAGUUAACAACAAAUAAUGCUUUAAACUCCGUUUAAACAACUUAUGAGUGUAAUUCAAAUUUAUUGCUCCAUUAUGUAUGUACAAUGUAUCAAAACAGAAGAGUAGCAAAUUGUGUUUUAUUGCACUUUCUGUUUAGCUAGCUUCAUGCAAAUUAACCUUCGUAGAUUAUAGGUAAAGAAUUGGUUUGCCAUUCAAUGUAUCCAAGAAAUAUGUGUUAGUACAUAAUGUUUAUUUCAAUGGAUGCACAGGUGUAAAACAAAAUUACAAAUUAUUAAGUUUUAAACUUUACAAGUACUUAAAGCACAAUAAUUUUUAUUAAAUUAAAAUUUUCCCUCCUGUGAUUUGGUAGUUUAUCAUAUAACCCCUCUAUAGUUUAAAAAUCUAACACAACGUCCUCAUAAUCUAGGUUAACAUAUCAUCAUUAAUUUUUCUAUUAAAACUAACAAUCAAUAGUUCAAAGUUUAAGUCAAAUUAAUAUAUUGAAAAAUUUACCCUUUCACUAAUCUAAUUCUUUGAGGUAGUUACAAAACUAUUACAAUUAUUAUACACCUUAAACUAUGUAUUUGUUUUCAAGUAAACACAAAAGAUGCAGCAGACCAUUUUUAGCCAAGUUAAUAAAAUUGCAAAUGUAACAAUAUAAAGCACCCUAUCAAAAGUUACUCUAUAUGAUUAAGAAAAUAAUUUAUAUUUAUUCGAAUGGAAAAAAGUUGCCAGAAGAGGGAGACACCAUAGGAAAAAUAGUUUAGAGUGAACUGCAUCAAUCAUGCCUUCCAUCGGGGGGAAAAAAUGAUAGAUGUGCGUGUAUAUAGAUACAUACACGCGCAUUUAUGUAUGUGCAUGUACACGGACGUGAGGUUGUUCCUUUGAAAAGUAGCUUCUCCUGCAAUAAUCCAAAUUCUAGGACAGUGGCAGAAAUGGAAAAGUAGUAUAGGCUGCACCGAAAUCUACUAAAAUACAAGCUUGAAAUUCAGAUAGAAAUCGAAAUACAUAAAAAGAUCAGAGCUUUUUUUUUUUUUUUUUUUUGAGGAGAUAAAACGUUCAAAGCUGAAAGCAGAACCAGUCUUUGAGUCGUAGUGUUAUUUAGAUUCAAGUGAAAGACGGGGCACACGACCAAUACAGCAGCCAAAUAGAGAUGGAAACUUGAGCUCUUGGACUCUAUGGCCGAAUGAUAGAGCCCUAGAUUGGAACCAGUGCAAAGCUUUCUGCCGCACUAACAUGGCAAAUAGGGGAGGUCCCGGAAGGCAAUGUGACCAUGGCUCCAGCGAGGGGUAUCCAUGUGACAAACAACUUCGAUCUUUUCACCAUCCUCUCCGCUUAGCAAAAUCCUAUACACGCCCGAUCGUGGCCUCUUGAGCAUGGUGUUAGGAAAUUAGUUUAAUUUCUUUUAGAUAGAUUUCUUGUUUUGUGUGGAAGUAACUAGUUUUUUAAUUGAUUUUGGUUACUUAAAAUAGUAGUCAAGAAAUUUCCUAUUUUAUUUAGGAUUAGAAAUUAUUUCCUAUUCUGGACAAGUCUAGGAAUUAGAAUUGGUUUCCUGUUGUUAUUUGGGUUUUUGAUCAGAUAAUAUUUUCCAUAAAUAUGUGGAUUAGCAUACUAUACAAGAGACACACAAGGGGCACACAAGAGGCGACAUGUAGCCCAAUACAUGGGUGGAGAGAGAGAGUUCUUGAAAGAUGAGAGAUGGUAUAUAAAGAUUAGAUUUUGGUUUAAGUUGUAUUCUUGUAUAGGAUUUUUUUCUCUCAUAAUAAAGAAUGAGUUUCUCUCCGUGGACGUAGGCUCAAUAGUGGAACCAAACCACAUUAAAUAAAUAUUGUGUCGUUUAUCUUUCAUACUUGUGACUUAUUUAUUAUUAAUUAUUGUAUACUUGAUAUCUUAAUAGUUAUUUGUUCUGCGCUUGAAUCCUAACAAAUAGUAAUAAAAGAUUUAAGGAUAAGCUAUGGUACGACAUGUCAUCUUUGGAGUUAAAAUCAUUUCAGGAACUUACAAGAUUGUGUUGUUUUGCAAUCUAUCUGGAGUUGAUCUCGUGGGCUGUUAUGUCAAAAAGACUCCAAUAUUGCUCUCCGACCCUUGAUUUUUCUGGCAAAUUCACCCAAUGACUCAUAGGAUGUGACACAAGUACUCGUCUCUCUCCGUUGAUUGGCAUCCUCUCACACUCUCAAAGUGUAUUUUCCAUCAUCUGGGCUUUUCGAGAUCCUUGAGGAAUCGAAAAGUGUUCAAGAAUGUAAGGGAGUUGCUCUAGCUGUAGCAACUGACAAAAUUAUCCUUGAUUGCUUAUUCUGUCUACAGGGCUGAAUGCACAUGCAUGUGGCAACAGUAUAGCGCCUGUUAAUGGAGUCUUGGUGCUAUAUAUGGCCCAUUCUUAAGCCAUGUUUUGUUUGAUUGGUUUCUAAAAGCCAGUGAUCAUACUGAGACCGGAUUGCCCCUGACGAAUUUGAAUUAUGGAGGCGAGUCCAUUAUUUGAUCAAGAACCACCCAGAUUUACUAGAUGGCAAGCCAAGAUUUCAAUCUCAUCGAGCUCUUUUGCAUUCAUUGUAUUGCAUGUACAAGACCAUUAGUUUCGUUAUGUUAACAAUAGUUAUAGAUGCACAUGCAUUAACAAAAAAAGUAAUUUUAGUUUAUGUACAUGACUCAGGAAAAAAUAUACCAAUAUAUAGUAAUUCUUGAUAUAUAUAUAUAUAUAUAUAUAUAUUGAUUGCUAGUUCUUGUACGUAACUCAGGGGAAAAAAUUUUAGUUCAUGUACAUAAAUCUUGACGUAUGUGUAUACCAAUUUUUUUGAAAGUUAACUCAACCAAGCACAACUGGACCUGCGCCAAUCCCUAAUCAAAAUUUGAUGCACAUGCCAUAAAUUAAAAUAUAAAAAACUUAACAUUGGAGAACUAAAUGCGGCAAAAGAAUAAAUAAUAUAAGACUAUUGUACAACAUCAACAUAUGACACAAGUCUAUUGUACAACAUCGUCAAAUUAAGAAAAAAACACACUCAGAAUACAUAGAUGUUCUGUACAGUCCCUAAAACUUUUUUUUUCUUUUUACUAAUUUGAUCCGGCCCACAGAACUCUCGUCUUUACCGUUACUAUUUCAACUUCUAAUUAUCUUUAGGGAAUUAAGAAGGCCUUACUGUAUAAUAGGUCUGAAGAAAAGUUAAUACACUGUUAAAAUAAGUGUAGAAGAGUUCAGCCAGCCAUGUCUUUGCCUUGUUGUUAUAGUGUGCUUGAAUUUUCUCCUUCACAUUAUGAAAAUGGUGACAUUGUGCACCCCGCAAGUGUUUAUGUCUUUAUAAACCUUCAACAAUUCGUCAUCACUGCCCAAAGUUGUGAGCAAUAUCCUUUUUUUCCCUUAGUUCUUUCACAUCCUUGGGUUGUCGAUCAGCGAUUUCAUGAACUCAAUAUAUGCUGUCACUGCUCGGUCAGUGCUGGUACUUGGGCACAUUUCAUAGGCAAUCAUAUUUAAAAAGAAAACUUUGGUGUCAAUCGAAACAAACCAAAUUGGAACUUCAAGUGUUGCAUAGAAAUAACCUGAUUUGAACUUGAUGCCCUUCGAAGAAUCAGCACUGCUGGUCCUAAAGUGAAUUCCCUUGGCCUUCAACUCCGUGGCUGAACGAAAGCAAUGAACGUAUUUUUUCGUGCUAGAAUCAUUGUCAAUAUUUGAUCUUCUCCACCGCAGAAAACAUGGCAAAUUAUGAAUAUACUCGUGAAGAUUGCUGCAUCUGCGAAAAUUUUUGAAGUGAUUGAGACAGACAGCGUCAUUGCUGGCCCUAGAUUUUGGAGAAAUUGGUUUGUCUUUACAGGAUUCAGAGACAAGAACUGGCCAGAAAGCGUCCAGAAGAUGAUGGGGUAGGUCCUUAUCUCUGCUAGCUAUUCCACUCCCCUUGUAAUUCCCGAACACAGUCCUGUUCAAGAACUCGUUGAGCACCUCUUCACCUUCUUGUUUCCCAUAUCUCAAACACAUCAGAAACUUAAGAAGCUAGAAAGGAAUUUGAUUUUCAAGUAAAACAUGUCACGAAGUACAAUCGCCGAUACCAAAUCACCAAGAAAUAGCGUGUGAUGUAAAAGUUUGCGGCACUUUUGCAUCUAGAAAUUAUGUCGUUGAUAAUGAAAUAGGCAUCAGGAAGCAUCAUUUGUCACUACAAGAAAAUUGAUUUUCAAUGACAAGCCAUUUCUGUCACAAAAAAAUGAAAAGUCGUCACUGAUAACUUUUAUUGACAACUUUCUAGUUGUCACAGAGUCGUCACUGAAGGCCCGUCGGUAAAAGUACAUAGUGACGACCUUAAAAGUCGUCAGUGAAUGGGACUGUUUUGCGACAACUGAUGUCGUCAAUAAUUGUUGUACUUUUUAGUGAUGACAUAGUAUCUUGUCAAUGAUAUACAAAGUAUUGUUGUCACUAAAACUAAUUCAUAGUUGUCAUUGGUAUAGACUAAUUACUGACAACAGGUUGUUAUCAAUGGAGAAUUCUAUGACAACAGGUUGUUAUCAAUGGAGAAUUCUAAUUCAGUGACAACACUUUAUCACCAUGAAAUUUGAAGAUUUUCCUACUACAAUUAUAUCUAAAAAUGAAAAAUAAUAUAUCUUACAUGCCAUUAAAAAACAAAUAAAAGUUGUAACUGCAUUAGAAGCUGCAUGCCAAUAUACCACAAAUUAUCUCCAAAUGUCAUAUAAGUUCUAGAUCGUAAAAUAAAUGUUUCAAUAAGGGGUCUAGGAGUCCCAAAUUUUACAUCAAAUUAAGGUCGUUUUACAAAAGACUACUGAAAUAAAGAAAUAGAAAACUCGUGAGUGAGCUGCAUGAACAAAAGACAUAUUCAACUCCAAUGUCGGUCAAUCAAACGCAUGGACUCUAGUGUUGGAAAUUUUAGUAAUAUUCAUUGAUCUUCCAAAAAGGUUGAAUGAACUGCCAUUUUCUACAUUAAGGAAGGAAAAUAAGUAGUGAAUACAAAGACGAGCAAAACAUCAAAGUAAAAGCAACUUUGGUUAGCUUAUCCACCCAAAAAUGCAGUUGAUUCACAUGAACAUAACAAAUUAAGUAUGCAGAGGCCCCGUCCUGGGCCGGGACACGUGGUAGCCCAGGUGCGGUCAAACUGGGCCUGAGCCCCAGGCCCUGGCAGCCGUCCGGGCUGCGUUGCUAGGGCUCCUGGAGGGGCUGAGAAUCCAUCCCGAAGAGGUCGGAGACAAUCCCCCAAGUGCGGGAUAAGGGCUAUUCUGGGCAGGUCCCGAAACGUACGGAGGUCGGACUUCCGCACAGGUAUAAAUGGUAGAACACAUCAACUGUACAAGGUACGCUCACUAUUGGCAAAUUGCUCCCGGCUGUUUAUACUUCCCGUGAAUUCUUCUCAUCGGAAAACUAACUUGGUCGUCGGAGCGCCCUCGAGGACCGACCUCGGGCCCCCCGUUGUUAGCUCAUUCUUAUCUGUUUUGCAGGCUUGGAGCCAGCUCUUCCAUCAGCAUCCGAGCUCAUCAGUUCAGCUCGGUCCGGGGAAGCUCAGCGCUUCUUCAGUUGGCGCCGUCUGUGGGAACCGGAAGAGGUAAGUGCAGUUGUGCUGAUGGCGAGGACGCGAUCCAAGCGAGCGGUAGAGAGCACCGGCCCUGGAGGCGGUGAGGGGUCCCAACGAAGAGAGGCUGAGGCAUCCCGGGGCGCCGGGGGCUCAGCCCUUUUAGGAGAAAGGAUGCAGCAGAUCCUCCAGUUCGUGACGGAGAACCUCCCCAUGCUGGAAGACAUCAUCCGGCAGGCGAAGGAGGGGGAGGAGGCUGGAGGCGCGCAGACCUCCAAGGCGAAGGGGAAGGAGAAGGAGCCGCUCCCCGAACCCUCGAAGGAUGAGUCGCACGACCAACCCCCCAGGAGGAAACGGCCACGGACGCCGCCUCGCCCGCGAGCCUCGAAGUCGGAGACAGCGAAAGGUACUCCCGCUACAGGUCCACUGGGGGCAGGCCGAGGGGCCCCUCGCCGAGGAGGCCUGCGAGGAAUGGUCUUGCCCGCUCCCCAGCCCGCUCUGCCAAGAGCCGACCGCGCAAUCCCCUUCACUUGAAGCCUGUCCAAGACGAGCUCGAGCAGAUCUUGCGGCCGCAGCUGUACGCGGACAACUACUCCACCUCGCCUUUCCCCGGGAGAUAGAGGAUUAUCCCCUGCCCCGGAGGUUCAAGAUCCCAAUCAUCGAGAUGUAUGAUGCUUCCACUGACCCGGAAGACCACCUCUCGGUUUUUCUGACGCACAUGCGUCUGCAAACCGCAGCGGAUGAGAUCCGUUGAAAGACCUUCCCUAUGUUCCUGAAGGGGAAAGCUCGGCUCUGGUUCCAGGGCUUGGCACCAGGAUCUAUUCGGAGUUUCCCCGAGCUGGCUAGACAGUUCGUCGCCCAGUUCGUCUCCUCGAAGACCUACGCGAAGAACGCCACCACCUGAUGUCUAUCAGGCAGAAGCCCGAUGAAUCGCUGAGGAACUUCAUGACCCGCUUCAACGCGGAGAGCUUGCAGGUCAGGGACAAAGAUGAAAAAGUGGUAAUGGCCGCCUUCACGAACGGGCUCAGGGUAGAGGAGCUCUUCUACGAGUUGGCCAAAAAGCCUCCCAUAAACCUGGAGGAGCUCCUAACCGGGCGCACGCGGCCGCCAACGCAGAGGAGGCAGGUCGCCUGAAGAAGGAGUCAGAUCGGAGCUCGGAGAUCGGAAGGGUCGGGCGAACCCCAAGAGGGCAAGGACAUCCCGGCCAAGAAGAAUGUGUUUGAUCGGCUCUCGAAGGAGAAGGCGCCUGCUCCGCCGCCACUCCCAGAGAAGAGCUACACCCCUCUGACACGGCCUAGAGCUCAGAUCUUGGCUGUUAUGGAGGCGGAAGGGCUGGGAGAUCGGCCGCCUAAGAUGGGGACACCUCGGAACAAGAGGAACCAGGACCGGUACUGUGCCUUUCACCGUGACGUGGGACAUGACACGGAGGGAUGCUGGGCCCUACGGAAGGAGAUCGAGGAUCUGAUCCAGCGUGGUUUUCUGGGACGGUUCGUACGCCAUGGCAGGUCGGGCCAGGAGUCCGGGCGCCAUUAUUAUGGAGACCGGCGUGAGGGACAGCGCCGCGACCGCCCUGAGCGGCGUGACGCUCCUCGGGGCCACUCUCCGACCAGGACAUCCAGAACUUGGCGGGGGUGAUCAACACCAUCGCCGGAGGCCCCACGGGGGGACAGCCAUACAUCUCGGAAGAGCAAGCGACCGCCCCCGAAGGGGACGACUCCUUGAAACGCUUGCGCAUGGACGAGGAGAUUACCUUCGGACCAAGGGAUGCGGUCCCCCUGAUUUCCGAGAACCACGAGGCCAUUGUGAUAGACAUCGUCACCAACAACUACCGGGUGAAGAAGGUGUAUGUCGACCAAGGUAGCGCGGUUGACAUUAUGUUCUAUUGGGUGUUCAAGGAGUUCGGACUGAAGGAUGACCAGCUGACCCCGGUUCGGACACCUCUGGUGGGCUUCACUGGACCACCCAUCAGCUCGGAGGGGAUGAUCACCCUGAUGGUCACGGUAGGACAGGCUCCCAAAUGCCGGACCGUUCCCGUUAACUUUGUGGUGGUCAAGCAGUCGUCCCCGUACAAUAUGUUCCUUGGGAGACCUUCUUUGAACGCCCUCCGAGCUAUUUCCUCCACUUUCCAUCUCAGCGUCAAGUUCCCCACCCCUGGAGGGAUAGCCGAGGUGCACGGCGAUCCAGAAGUAGCCAGAGCUUGCUACCUGGCCACGCUCCGCGGGCAGGAAAGAUGGUCGCCCAGACAACCUGUUUGGAGCCCUACAUCCCGGGGGAUGAGGCCCAUCGGCUGGGCACCCAGGAUGAGGUUGAGGAGUUCCCCUAAGGGAGGAUCGGCCCGACCAGGUUCUCCGCAUUGGAACCUUGUUGCCCGCCAAAGAGAAGGAGGGCUUGAAGGCCCUGUUAAGGGAAUACUCCCAAGUCUUCGCUUGAUCGGUGGAUGACAUGCCCGGGAUUCCGACAGAUCUGGCAGUCCACCAUCUCAAUGUGGAUCAUCACUUCAAACCAGUGAAGCAGAAGAAGAGGAGAUUCGCCCCCGAAAGGAAUGAGGUGAUCAGGGCGGAGGUCGGCAAAUUGCUGGAGUCCAAGAUCAUUAUGGAGGUCUACUACCCGACCUGGCUGGCCAAUCCGUCCUGGUGAAAAAGGAGGACCAGACCUGGAGGAUGUGCGUUGACUUCACGAACCUCAACAAGGUCUGCCCGAAGGACUGCUUCCCCCUGCCAAGGAUCGACAGGUUAGUGGACUCUACUGUGGAUUUUGAUGUCUUGUGUUUUCUCGAUACUUUUAAGGGGUACCACCAGAUCGAGAUGGCGGAGGAGGAUAGGGAGAAGACCUCCUUCAUCAUAGAGGAAGGAACUUAUUGCUACCGGACCAUGCCAUUCGGGCUGAAGAACGCUGGAGCUACCUACCAGCGCCUGGUAAACAAGCUAUUCCAAAAUCAGAUCGGGCGGAGUAUGGAGGUGUACGUGGAUGACAUGAUCGUUAAAAGCCGAACUGAUCAGCAGCUCGUCCCCAACCUGAGGGAAAUCCUGGAUAUCCUUCGAGAGAGCAGGAUGCGGUUGAACCCGAAGAAGUGCACCUUCGGGUCAGGUCCGGAAGGUUUUUGAGGUUCUUGGUGUCCCGAGAAGGGAUCCGGGCAAACCCGAACAAGCUCCAAGCUAUAAUGGACAUGGCCCCUCCGAGGAAUGUGAAGGAGGUUCAGCGGCUCACCGGGAGGAUGGCCGCAUUGAGCAGGUUCCUCUCGCGUUCCGCGGUUCGGGGCUACCCUUCUUCCGCGUCUUGAAAGCGCCGAAAGAUUUUCACUGGACUGAGGAAUGCCAGAAAGCUUUCGCCGACCUGAAGGCUUAUUUGGCUGAGCUGCCCACUCUGACCGUCCCAGAGCUGGGGGAGACCCUAUUCCUGUACCUGUCCGCCUGCAACGAGACCGUCAGUGCGGUCUUGGUACGGGAAGACGGGCUCAAAGACCGGUGUACUACGUCAACCGAGCUUUACAAGGGCCAGAGACGCGAUACACGCUGGCCGAGAAGUUGGUUCUUGCCUUGGUGCAUGCUGCUCGCAAUCUCCGCCCUUACUUCCAGACUCACAGCAUUGUAGUCCUGACUGACCAGCCCUUGCGUCAGAUACUCACCAAGUCCGAGGUCUCGGCAGAAUGACCAAGUGGGCCAUCGAGCUGGCUGAGCACGACCUUAGUUAUCAGUCUCGUACAGCGAUCAAGGCUCAAGCCUUGGCGGACUUCCUUGCCGAGGGGGCUAGCUUGACCCUGACCGACCUAAUCCCCACACCCACGGACACCCCGACGGAGGAGCCGUGGGUGCUGUUCGUGGACGGCGCCUCGAGCAAGGAGAGGAGCGGAGCUGGCCUGUUCCUCACCUCGUCCACCGGGGAAGAGCUGACCUACGCCCUUAGGUUCGACUUCCCGACAUCCAACAACGAAGCGGAAUAUGAGGCCCUGUUGACAGGGUUGCGGAUAGCCCACCAAAUGGGCAUCACCGCGAUCCGGAUUCGGAGCGACUCUCAGCUCGUCGUCCUCCGGAUCCGUGGGGAGUAUGAGGCCAAGGACGAUGUAAUGAAAAAGUACCUGGUUAAGGUACGGGAGGCAGUAGCCCUGUUCGGGACUUUUGAAAUCGAGCGGGUGCCAAGGUCCCAGAACAAGCGCGCGGAUGCCCUGUCAAAGCUGGCAUCCUCCUCGUUUGCCCACCUGAGCAAGGAGGUCUUGGUAGACGUGGUGAAGCAGAAAAGUAUCGACCAGGUCCAGGUCCUGGCGAUAGACGGCUCGGCCACCUGGAUGGCUCCCCUCAUUGACUUCCUCAGCUCGGGUGCCCUCCCUGAGAACAAAACCGAGACUCGCCGAAUCCAGUUCCGAGCUGCCAAAUACGCCUACGCCGGGGGAACCCUCUACAAGAGGUCGUACUUGUCCCCCUGGCUAAAGUGCGUGACUCCCGAGGAAGGUGACUACGUUCUGCGCGAAAUUCAUGAAGGUAUAUGUGCGGCACAUGUGGGGUCCCGGGUGUUGGCCAAAAAGUGCCUCAUCUUGGGCUACUACUGGCCCUCCGUCUUCCGAGAUGCCGCAAACUUGGUACAGAAAUGCCGAGCUUGCCAGGUGCACGCCUCGCUGCGCCAUCAGCCAACUCGGGAGAUGAUCCCCAUCCAUAGUCCUUGGCCCUUCGCUCAAUGGGGGAUAGAUCUCCUGGGUCCCUUCCCCCGAGCCCCGGGGAGGUAUGAGCACCUCGUGGUGGCCAUAGACUACUUCACAAAGUGGGUGGAAGCGGAGCCCCUGGUCUCUAUCUCCGGGAGGGCAAUUCAGAAGUUCUUCUGGAGGAACAUAGUUUGUCGCUUUGGGAUUCCGCACGUCCUGAUAUCUGACAACGGGCGCCAAUUCGCAGAGAACCCAUUCAAGAGCUGGUGCGCUGAGAUCGGGAUCGACCAGCACUUUACGUCAGUCGGCCAUCCCCAGGCCAACGGCCAGGUGCAGAAUGCCAACCGAACCAUCCUCCAAGGACUGAAAACCAGGCUGGAGCUGGCCCAAUCCAACUGGCUGGAAGAGCUCCCUAGUGUCCUCUGGGCUUACCGCACCACGCCCAGGACGGCCACCCACGAGACCCCGUUCUCCCUCACUUACGGGGUAGAAGCAGUGGUCCCCGCAGAGAUCGGCCUCCCCUCGCUCAGAACACAGAACUUCGUGGCGACAUCCAAUGACGAAGAGCUGCGGUGCAACUUAGACAUGCUCGAGGUUAAGCGUGAAGAAGCGGCAGUUCGAAUGGCUAGGUACAAAAGCCAGCUCGUCCGCUAUCAUAACGCCAAAGUGAGGACUAUACGGUACCAACCGGGUGACCUCGUUCUAAGGAAGAACUCGAUUAGCCGAGCUCACGGAUCCAACAAGCUCGACCCAAACUGGGAGGGCCCAUACCAGGUCCUUGAGGUGAGCCGAGCUGGCUACUGCAAGCUCGCUGACAUGAAUGGAUCUGAGGUACCCCGUACUUGGCACUUCUCCAAUCUACGACUGUUUGUAGCGUAGGGUAGACCAGGGUGUUCAAGUGUCUGUUCUCUGGAAUCUGAAUUUUUAUUUUUGUCAUUCAAUAAAAGUUCGACUUUAAAAUUUACAUUUCCCUUGUUUCUGUCUACUUUCAAAGUUUUUCAAGUUUGCACCUUGCACUAGCACACUUAGCGUUCCUCGCUAAGUGUCCUAGUGGGGGGCUAAGGGUAGUGAAGGGGAUCAAGGUGAAAAGAGAUCAAGGUGAAAUGUUUGGCCCAGGAGGUCGGCACAGAGGUGAAAAGUUCGGCCCAGGAGGUGCACGGCCUGAAAAAACUUAACUGGGAAGGGUUCUGAAAACUCCGUGCUCGGCCCAGGAGGUCGGCGGGAAGGAAUUCGAAACCUGAUACUCGACCCGAGAGGUCGGCAUGGGUUAAAGUCUCCAAAGCUUCCAAGUUAGUGCUCGACCCUGGAGGUCGGCACGAUCGGGAGCUUGGAUGGAAAGUGAUGCUCGACCCGAGAUGUCGGCAUGGGUUGAAGUCUCCAAACCUUCCUGUGCUCGAUCCAGGAGGUCGGCUCGAUCGAGAGCUCGGAUGACAGGUGAUGCUCGACCCCGAGAGGUCGGCACGACAGAGUUGGAGCAAGCAAGAAAUGCGAAAUAAGUCUUCUCGAGUUUUAUAUGCAUUCAAAACCUAUCUAUUACAAAGCUUACAAAAUCUCUGAGCGGCCUAUCUAUUACAAAGCUUCCGAGUUACCUAUCUGCUACAAAAUGUGCUGAGCCAUGAGGAGAAUACAGCUCGAACCCCCUUCUUCUUGCUGGUAGUUCGUCUGGAGCAGGAGCUGAAGGUACACCUUAAACAUGCUGAGAGGCGUAUGGUGAAGGCUUUCCAGACGGGGGAACUUUCCGUCUCAGAUGGACCUCCAAAAGCAUUUUCAACUGGAGCAUGGUCACAUCCUUAUAAGAAAACGGAAAGGGUUUCUGGGUGGCCGCCGCCCUAAACCACCGGAUCCUUCCCGGCAGCCUGCGGGAGACUUGCUCUCCUCCAAGGGGACCUCCGCCAGCUCGGCCCAACGUUGGUUCGGCCUACCAACUCCUUCAGGGCAUGCCCCUUGCGGUACCCAUCGAAGAGCCAGUCCAGCCUCUCCUCGGCCGCGGGAUUGUAGUCCUUGCAGUCCGCCAAGUUGAAGCCAGGAGGGUUGAGGCUCUUCACCUUGUCCAGGGCCCGCGUAGCGCCGACCUGGAGGAUGGGCAGGUUAAGGAGGGCGAUGUCCUCCUCAAACUGCUCAGAAGAAAGGAACUCCCGAACAGCCUUCUUCCGCUCCCGGCUGACGGUGCCGGAGAGCUCGAUGGCGUGCUCCUCCUUCAGCUUGGCCACGCCGGUCUUCUCCUGGUCGAUCUCCGACCUGGUGGAGGCGAGCUGGACCUGAGCGGUGUCCAGCUCCUUCUCGGCCUUGUCCAGUUUUGCCUUGAGGGAGCUUGCCUCCUUAAGGGCCUGGGAGAGUUUCUUCUCCGUCUCCAGAUUCUUCUUCCGCAAUUUCUCCAGGUCGGGAGACAGUUCGGAGAAGCGGGUCGCCAGGGCGGCACCAGCGGCGUUGGCCUGAAGGGGAAAGAGGACAGGUCAGCACGUCACACUACUUAACCGAGACACGGAGGCAAAACUAUCCCACGGGCUAGACUUACUUGAGUUUGGGCGGUGUAAUACGCGCCCAAGAGCUCGGAAGGGUCGGCCGGCUCCAUCCACCUCCUGUCGUGGGGGAGGACCGAGCCCACCAUCAGCUCGCGAGCCACCUAUGGAAACUGGGCUCGGUCGUUGAUGGAGAGCUCUCAGGACGGGCAGAAGUGGCGGGGGUCAUGCAUCGUGGGGGCUUGGCCCGGUUUCAAGGGAGCAACGUGGCGGAAGUGCCACAAGUUCGGAGGAGUUGACUCCUGGGCAUGCUCCUCGGCGGAGCCCACGCCCAGGUGGACUGGCCCCCCGAGGCCAGCGGGCGGAGGGGCCUGAGCUGGAACCAGCGUGAGUUUCUUCCCGGGCUGGGAGGGCUCGUCCCUUCUACCCCUCUUCUGCCGACCGCCUUCUUCUUGCUGGUGGCCUGCUUGGAGGGGGACGGCUGCGGCGCCUCUUUCUGGGGGCUGAGCCGCCCCCCGGGGUGGGAGCCCCCCUUGGGCCCCCUGGGUAGUCCCGGGCUGGGGGCGGAGGUGACCUCCUCAAUAGGUGCGCCCAGCAACUUGGAGAGGUUCCUCACUGCAACGAACACAACCAGAUAAGCAAAAGGCAGGGCAGUUUAGAAAACCACAAUAUACUAUAAACGCAACAGGGGCAAAGCCAGCGUUACAGGUGUCGAGUUUGGGCUCGGGGUUACCACUUCCCCAGAGGAUCCGGACAACGUCCCUAUCAGCCCGGCUGCGGAGAUCUGCUUAGUGGAGAACCUGGUGGCAUCGAGCUUCACCUUGGAGCCCAACAGCUGGCUGAGGGUAUCGUAGUCCAGGUCCUCCGGGUAGGAAUCGGCCUUGACCCCCCAACCUUCCACACAUUGGGGGAAAAUGUGUGGAUUUGACGAAGAAGAAAUCCUCCUUUCAAUCCUUCACGGAGGAGGGGAGUCCGUGGAACAACUCCUGGGCACCUUUCCCUCCCUUGGUUUGGGAACCCCGGCGGGAGAAGUAGUACCAUCCAGGGAGGGCGGUCUUAAGGAUGAAGGCGGCUCGGAAGAGGGAGAGAGAGUAAGGGAUAUCGCAGAAAAGGCAGUAGAUCAGGAAUCCAGUGAUGAUCCUGAUAGAGGUGGGGUGAAGUUGGGUGAUUAUGAGUCUCCAGUAGUUCAAAAUCUCGGUAAGAGCUGAAGGAAUGGGGAGACGGAGCCCUGCGAAGAGCUGCUCCCUAUAGAUGGCUACGAAACCGGGGGGAGGUCUGCAGGCUCGGUCGUCGGGCCCGGCCGCCCUUGGCUCGUAUGCCGGAGGAAUGGAGUAAGACUUGGCCAGCUCGGCCACGGCCUUGGGGGAUAGGGUAGCCUCUUGCAGGUCUGCAUACCCAUAGGAGAACUCGGGAUCAUCCCCUGCUCAGAAGCAGGGGUCCCCUCAGAGGGAUCCCUAUCCUCCCCAGCUCCACCCUGGGCUCCGCCGGGGGAGUCAUGUGGAGACCUGGGGGGAGAGGCGGAGGUAGCCUGCCGUUCGAUGAGGGCAUCAAGCUCGGCUGCCUCCUCAACGGCUCGGGCUGAAGGAGAGUGGGUAGAAGGAGAACUCAUAAUGACUAUGGGGUCAAGCAGGUCAGGGUUAGAAGCGGAGGAAGAGGAAGGAGGAGGAGGGGAAGGCGACGGCGAGGAUGAGGACGAAGAUGAGGAAGAAAUGAAGAUUCUAGUGGCUCUGCGACGGGCCGGAGACGGGGUUGCGGUGGAAGUAACGUCGGAGUGACCCGACAUAAAAGUCAGGAGAUGGCAGAAGGAAGAAGGAACACUGAAGGAAAGGAAAAGGAAAAAGGAAUCACAAAGGGACUUACUGAUGACGGUCAAGGCAGAGAGAGGAUGGAGGACUCGCCGGAGUCUGGGCGCGGGACACCGGAGGUUGCUGAAAAAUGGAAAUACGAAUGCGCAAGGAGAGUGGUAAUGCAAAAUGCGCAAGGGGAGGAGAAAAUGGCAAAUGGAGUCGGUUGAAAUCCGAUUACCCCUAUUUAUAAGGGGAGAAAUGGGGGGAAGACGGUUGCGUGGAUUUGAACCGACUCCCAUGUGAACGCCUUUAAUGCGGGUACGAAAACCGAAGAGGCGUGACAACUGAAAGGACGCGGGCGCAGCGUCCCUAUGACAGCACUGUACCAGAGGUGACCUUGGCAGGGUAGUGCGCGGCCUUGGCCUCCCACGUGGAAGAGGUAGAUUAGGUCUGCCUGACAGCCUUACCUAAUCUAGGGGGCUAGUGCAGAGGCCCCGUCCUGGGCCGGGACACGUGGUAGCCCAGGUGCUGUCGAACUGGGCCUGAGCCCCAGGCCCUGGCAGCCGUCCAGGGCUGCAUUGCUAGGGCUCCUGGAGGGGCUGAGAAUCCAUCCCGAAGAGGUCAGAGACAAUCCCCCCAAGUGCGGGAUAGGGGCUAUUCUGGGCAGGUCCCGAAACGUACGGAGGUCGGACUUCCGCACAGGUAUAAAUGGUAGAACACAUCAACUGUACAAGGUACGCUCACUAUUGGCAAAUUGCUCCCGGCUGUUUGUACUUCCCGUGAAUUCUUCUCACCGGAAAACUAACUUGGUCGUCGGAGCGCCCUCGGGGACCAACCUUGGGCCCCCCGUUGUUAGCUCAUUCUUAUCUGUUUUGCAGGCUUGGAGCCAGCUCUUCCAUCAGCAUCCCGAGCUCAUCAGUUCAGCUCGGUCCGGGGAAGCUCAGCGCUUCUUCAAAGUACAUAAUAAAUCAUUGUUAAUCAAUUGGCCGUGUACAUAACUUCAAUUCAAGUAAAGUUCAUUGCAAAAGGCAAUUGAAACAAUAUAGUUUUGGCAAAAGCCAUCUUUUACUAUCUCCCUAUAAGAGGCUUCCAGGCAAGUUGCUUGCAACAUAGUACAAGUGAUUAGCCGCAUAUUAAGUAGAUAUAAGCAAUGAGAGAAACCGUCAAUUUUCCCAUCCACUUUCCCACAAAUAAGCACAUAAAUAUUUGUCUUAUAUCUGACUGCUGUUUCUAAGUGAAGAGUACACAAUUAGCAAUCAAGGUUUACAAUAGGUAAUCAAUACUCUUGACCAAUAUUAGUCUAGCAUCACUUACAGCAAAAGGUUAGUGUAUACGGGCCACAUAGAACAGUACAUUUUCAUCUAGAACAACACAUUUUCAGAAUUGAUUUGGAAGAGCAAAUUAUAAUUGGCCACGACAAAAAACCAAAGGAAGAAAAGAAUCAAAAUUAAAGAAGAAAGACAUUUUCAUGUAUGAAAACAGAGCCAAUAGAUGACAUCAGCUUUCAUCUAUUUAUCUACAGAAUUUGAUCAACAUAGUAAACCACCAGGAUGCUUUACAUCGAAGUAGACAGUGUUGGAAAAUUUUCACAUCAAGUUUAACAAAGGAAAUUUGAAUCAAGAACAAUCUGGACAUAUAGUCUGGUCAUAUGUUUAUGGACAUCCAUCACAUUUCAAGGCCUUCAUUCAUCAGACAUAUCCCAAAUGGUAUUUUUCUUACUGAGUUUUGAGCUGAUGUGUCAUCAACCAUUGCAGUCUUCUUCCUACUAAAAUGAGUCAUGUCAUUUAGCUCGAUCGGUCCAAUUAACCUUCCCUCUUUUGCUUCCAAUAGCACAGCAAUAGUUAAUGAACCAAACUUGCAAUAUAAAAGACCAGCUAGUAUAUUUAAUUUCCCGUUCAGCUUUAUGCCGUAGAAAAGAUUUUGUUCCAGCUGUUUGAGCAGUUUUUUGUUUUGAUCUAUUUAUCUUAUUUUGCUCACUUAUCACCUACACUUGUGAUUUCAAACCUUCAUCAAAAUAACAAAGACAUAUCGAGAUUGAAGUAUGUUAAAUGAUCGAAUAUGUGCCAGUACCUUAAAUUUUGGACUACAAAAGUAGUCGCACAAGUACAGCCAAUCAGAUUCUUCAACAUAUUCAGGACAAUUAGGAUAUGGAAGCUUACAAAUAGGAUCCUUAUCUUAAAAAGCAAACCUAAUAAAUUCAUUGACUCCAUCUAAAUAUUUAGGAUCUAGGUAAUUCUUAAUUGACAUCCAGCUCCUAUCCAUAUUUAUGCAGCCCUUUAUCCUAACAUCAAGAAUAAGAACAUAUAAUAUUUUAUUGAAGACAGAGCACUAUGUAUGGAAACUUAAAUUUGCCAAAUACCAACAAUGAAAACCCAAUCAAAUAAAACAAAUUUUCACUAAAGUCCAUGUCAGGUACAAAUAACAACAAUUCAUUAAAAACAAGAUAGAUUAUGUACCAUUACAAAAGAUGCAAAAGAAAGCUCCAAUUAAUUUAAGCCAUUCCUAAAAUUAUACAUCUCAAACUAUACAACAUCAACUCCUAAGUCUGAAAAAAAUAACCGAAGCAGAUUUCUAGUCAUGAACACCUCUCCAUAUGACACAUACCCAGCCUACUCAAUCAUAUUUAAUUUGAGGAGGAAAAAAACUGGGUCAAAUCAAGCACAUAACAUCCCAUCUGUUCCUGUUCUGCGUACCCAUACAAAAGCCCCAAUUAGCUUGUUAGAUAAACUAAACCUACCCCAAAAACUAGUGGCAAAACACAUCUAAUUUAAUGUGUUCUAAGUCUGUUGGAUAGGUUUGUCUAAUGAGGGAAAGAAGCAGAAAGUGUGAUCAACAUUUUACACUACCAACGACAACAACCAGAAAUUUCGAACCGCUAGUGAAUUUUUGUUCAAUUCUCCCCCUACCAAGUCCAGCCGUAGCUGGGUUUUGUACAAAAAAUAGUUGGCAAAUAGCAAGUCCUUCCCAAGUGGGCCAAGAAGUAGAGGAUACAAUUAAUUUAGGGGAUUCAUGAUAACUAGGCAAAAAUUUUUCCCUAAGUUAAAAUUUAGGGCAAUAAAAUUUCAGGGGAUGAAAAGAUUAAUCAUGUAAAUAACCAUAAAAUUACACCCUCAAUGCAGAUUCAACAAGAAUGUGAGUAGAAAUUUUCAGAAAAUAAAAAAAAACAAGUGUAGGGCCAAAAUAUUUGCAAAUUAUCUUCGAGACAAGGAAGAGAGGGAACACGCUGAAAACUCACAGAGAUCUAAUCGGCAUCAACCAAACCGAAUACCUGAAUGGCACUAGAGUGGGUGGUGCUAGGCUACGUUGCUGGAGCUGAAGCAAUCAUGCUUCAGCACAAUGGCAUCAAAAAGGCAGUUAUUAAUCUACGAAACAAUUAUUAAAUUGUAAAAAUUGAAAGGCACAAGAAAGACAUAAUCUGAAAUAAUCAAAACUAUUGGAAAAAUAUUGGAGUCCAAAUCGAAGAGAUCGACAGCUAGAAUCAUGUGAUCAAGAGGAGCCACUACCACUUAAGAGCACUGAAUUCUUUAUCAAUCUAAGAAUCAAAAUCCAAUCUAAGAAACAAUGGUGUAAUAUAAUAUGAAAUUACUAAACACCUGAAAUCGAGCAGAAAUACAAUUUGUCAGGCCUAGAAUCCAUAUAUAUCAGGGGCCUCUCCAGAACUAAACAAGUAAAUCCAAUCUAAGAAACAAUUAUUAAAUUUCAAAGAUUGAACUGUACAAUAAAGACAUAAUCUAAAAGAAUCAAAAUCCAAUCUAAGAAACAAUGGUGUAAUAAAAUAUGAAAUUACAAAACACACGAAAUCGAGUAGAAAUACAACUUGUUAGGCCUCGAAUCCAGAUCAGGGGCUCUCCAGAGCUAAACAUGUAAAUCCAAUCUAAGAAACAAUUAUUAAAUUGCCAAGACUGAAAUGCACAAGAAAGACAUAAUCUGAAAGAAUAAAAAAAUUAUAUUUGAAUAAGAUUGGAAUCCGAAUCAAAGAGAUCGAUAACCAGAAUUGUGUGAUGAUGAGGUGCGGCCACAACACAAGAAAAACUCUAUUGUUCAUCAAUUAGGAAACACUCAAUUCUUUUAUUCACUCAUUAACCACCACACGAUUAUAUUUUCUAUAAAACUUUCCAAAAAUUACAAUCUAAACCGGCUCAUAGUCUCACAAAAUAUGUAGUUCAAAACUCAAUUUUCUUUAUUCAAACCCAAUUUCUGAGCAGGUCUAGUCAAUGUCUGUUCAACUCAAUUGAUUAACUCGGACGGAUUGCCCACCGGAUCCUCGGUUCAAUGUUUGGAAUCUGUUGGUCCCGUAUGGUUUAAAAACGGUGUUAUAUGUUGAUAGAUAAUUGGGAGACAAGGUGGAUAAGGAAAACUCUCGUGAAACCAAUGCGUUCUGAUUUUCAACUACAUAUCUUUAUGGGAUAAGACUCAGAGAGCUGGUUUUUUUUUUUUUUUUUUUUUUUGUCGAUACGAUAGCUUUUUACACUAUUGGGGAGGGGGAGGAUCUGAAAAGGUCCAAGGAUAAUUUGAAGAGGAUUGAAUCACCACCAGACCAAACGAAUGCACUAUAUACCUACCUGGAUUUUUUUUUAAAAUAAUGCCACAUUUAAUUGAGGCACCCCAUCAAGUUUUAAUACUUUGAUGGUGGUCACCAAUGCAAAGGCUGGUGGUUGACUCAGAGAGCUGGCGUCUGCACAUUUCUGGACCAAUCUUUCAUGGGAACAGUAAGGACGGUCCCAGAUGUAGAAUAAAGGGGUAAUUUCAGAAACCUCUGCUAAGGUUUCUGAUAGUCUCGCUAUCCUUCCCUAAGAUUUUCAAAAUAUCAAAAACCUCCCCUAAAACUAAUUAGCUAGUAACAAAUCAGCCCAAUUCAAAUACAAAAACAAUCUAAAAUUAGUGUUAGGAGAGAGAAAACAAUUUAAUUCCAUAACUACCCUCAAGUUUUGCAUUAGAGAGUUAAUUUACUAAGAACAAUAUACAUUUCUUUUAACUUUAUCAAUUGCUGAUCCAUGAAUUUUAAUGUUGAGAUUUUGCUUAAUAGUCGAACCAUUUGCUUAUGGAUGCUGGUUGAAUAUUUUAUAUUCUUAGAUUAGUUAGUCAUAAAUUGAAAAAGUUCUUGAUCUUGAAAGCUUACUGGAGAGAUAUUUCUUGAAAAUUGCCACUAAUACUUAACAUAUGUUUUUAUUUGUAUCUUGGCAAUAGAUGAUUCGAAUAGUAGCCAUUGUUUGAAUUUGAUUGCUUGAUUUGUGUUCUCAUGCUUGAGAACAAGCAUUGUUUAGGUGUAGAGGAAAUUGAUAGGUCAUAAUUUGUUACUAAAUUUAUAAUUAUUUUUCCCUUGAUUUUACCAAAUAUUAUUUUAAUUGAUAGAUUCUACUUAUAUUUGGUUAACGGUGCCAAUUGUAGGAAAAUGAGCAAAAUAUGAUAAAAGGGGUAAUUUUCCAAGAAUUACUGUCAAGUCUAGAGAAGUUCGGGAUUCAAAGUCGGAAAGUCGGGAUUGAUAUUGGGCAGUUUCCCAAUCCAAGUCAAAUUCCAAAACUUGACAGCUACUGAAGUUUCCUAUUUCUUUGCAUUCCACGUCAAUCUCGAGCAAUUGGGAGAGUUUUUAGGAAAUUGAAUUGUAAUAGGAAACUCUUUAGGAAUUUGAUUGGUAUUAGGAAACCAAUCAAUUAAGCAAUUCGCCAGGGAGAAUUCAGCAUAUAGCUCUUGCUUAGGAACAAAGCAUAGUUAUUCUUGUUUUCUUGACCGAUUGACAAGAAGACAAUUGGAAAGCUUCUAACAGAUUUUUGCAUGGCUUGUUCUCCAUUAAUGGAGAACUAAUUUUAUAUUUCUAGUCAAGGGGACAACUAAAGAUUUGGUUCAACAAUAACUGUGAGAUCUAAAUUAUUUUAAUUGCUUCUUUCAUUCAUUGAUAUUUAUAUGUUUCUUGCUUUUAGUGGCUAUGACUAUUGUGUAUGGUUGAAUAGUUGUGCAAUAUUUAAUUAUUCACGUAGUCUAUUUGCUAAUUGGGAGUAGUUGAAUCCGUAAUUGUUUAAUUACUCCAUCCCGAUAGCAACUAGCAUGAUUGGUUUCAUGUUAGGGAAACGUAUGAUAUAACUUAAACGAACUCUCGUAACGUGUUUGUUGGUUAGAGUUGGGCUUUUCCGAUUCUUAUUGCAAUCGAGAAAUUAAAUCAUAUAGUCGUACUUAGGGUUAUUUCUUGGUUAGGAAAAUAGUUAAUGGUUAUACCUUGACUAUCGAAAAAGUAAGGAAAGGCUGGUUGUUAUCGCAUGCAUGAUAACUAUAACCAAUCUAUUAAUGAGUAAUUGAAUUAUCUUUGUAUCGAUGAUCAGUUGAAUGAAUCGUGUCUGAAAAGUUAUACCUUUGAUUAGAGUCGUAUUGGUUAUUGAUUAAUUCAUGUUUAUUUCUAUUAGUUGUUUCAUUAGUUAGUUAAUUAGUUAUAUUAUAUCCUCCAAAACCCCCCAUACUUCGGACCCUGGAAGAAACGAAUUAUCCCCAAUCCCUGUAGGUUCGACCCUACUUGCCCAAUAUACAAAUUAGAGAUUUUUCGUGAAUAAAUUCUGGUAUAUCGAAUUUAGCAAAUUCUUUGGAACCAGGGUGAAUCUAGUAACCAUUGCAUAUCUAGAGUCCCUGCUCCAGUACCAGAAUUGACACGAAGUUGCUUCUGUUGGCGAGUAGGAUUAUUAAUAUUAUUAUUGCACAGGCUCGAUACCUGUCAAUACUCACCUAACAAACCUCCACCCGGGGAAAUUUUUUCAAAAAAAAAUCUACAUUAGGGUAUACAUUAGCAGAAAAUGAAAAAAAAAAAAACUUUAGACUGCAAUCUAGUAACAUGUGUCCCAGGUGCACAAAGAAAUUGAAACAUAUAGAGCUUUGAUUGUCAAAAGUAGCACUAGUACUCCUCGGAGUUUAAUUCAAAUACAGAUGAUCAAAUGUGAGUGACGCCUUGCGCAUAGCGGCAAUAGAAAACUAUGAAAGGAUAUGCCACGGUGUGUCAGCCAACCGUCUUUAGAGUUGAAAUUCUUGCAGGAGCUUCUGUGAUUGUAUGGUUUUGUAAUCUAGCAGCAUCAGAUUUUGUGAGGCGAUGCGUUGAUGAAACUUGGGUAUUGGUAUUCAAUCCCAAGAUCUUUCAUGUAAAAUGACUCGGAUGCGGCAAAAGCCUUGGAUUCUCUGCUCCGGUCAACUUGAAAUUGGACUUAGUCCCAGCACUUUAGGAAGUUGGUUAUUAGCACAUUAAAAUUUUUAUACUAAUUGUAGUAAGUAAUAUUUGGAGGGACCAUAAGUUCAAGUUGAAAAGAGGCAUGGUGAAAAUCUUUCCAAAUACAUACCCUACUACUUAUACAAAUAAAAGAGAGAACAAAAAUAUAUAAGCCAUUAAUACAUACUAAAAGUUUUUACAGCAAUUACAUGGUGAAUUCAUUAAAUUAGGCAUUUGGUUGACUUUGACAUGUGUGUCAAGUCAAAACAUUGUCAAAAAUUGCAACUUAUUGUAUACUGAUUUACUCAGCAAAAAUAAAUUUAGUUAUUUAUUGAAAGGAAAAAACUUUUAAAAUUUUGUUUUUCUUAAUAGAUACAUCGAAUGCCAUUGUUAAUCUCCACGUACUUUGAGGCACCAUUAUUGCCAACCUUGCGUCUAAGCAUUUAUCCAUACAAAAAUAGGUGAUUUUAAAAGCUAAAGACAUUUUUCAACCUUUAAAUGUAUUUUAAUAUGCAUAAACAACACGCUUAACCGCUUAAGUAUUACGGUAUUCUCUUGUGUUAUCCUGAAAUUUUAGAUUUGUACAUGUAUUUAUAAUUUUCAAAGUCACAUUGUCUAUGAUGCUACCACGAUUCUCUUCCCUAUUUAAUUUACUAUCCUUUUGCAACAAGAUUGAUACUUGAGACCCUAGUUAAGAAGUACAUGGGGCAUUUCAUCAGGCAAACUCCUUAUCAACUACUUACUCACUCUGACAUAGUUUUAUCUUCAAAAAAGAAAUUUUGGUUGAAUACUAAUACAGAAGAUUAGUGCCAAUUAACAAAUAUUAACUUAUGAAUGGUAAAUAAAUAAGAAGAGUUGUCACUCUACUUUGCACUCCAAAAUUUGUAUCACUUUUCCGCUUUGUAUGCUAAAUUUUAAUUUUGAAUACUUUACAUCCUAAAUUCUUAAUUUUGGACACUCGUAGCUUAAUCUCUCAAGUUUAUUCCAUUUAAAUACAAUCAAUGAUAACUUUAGUAAAAUUAACGGUAUCAACAGCUCAAUAAAUCAAUGACAAUAUACUGAAAGUGGUCAAAAGAUGCUAAAAUAUAGUAGCAAAAGUAAAAUAAUACACUAUUAUUAAUUUGCAUCAACUUUUAUCUUGUCAAUUUUACUAACAAUAUUAGUAAUUAUACCAUAUAAAUCAAUAACAAUCUAUCGAAAGUUGUCAUAUUAAACAAUUCUCAACUCAUAUAUCCUUUUUUAUUUUGUUUUUCUUUCCCUUUGUAGAACUGGAAGCCAUUGGGAAUUUUGAAAAUGACGCAAUUAAAAGCAUUCCCUUGUGUCCAAUGAUGGAGCCAAGGGGGACAGAGGGGGGCCCAUGGCCCCCCUAAGUUUUGAAAAUUUUAAUUCAUAAUAUGUAAAUAUAUGUGUAAAAUAAAAUUGACCCCUCCUAAAUUUUUUCAAUUUUAGUUUAUAUUAUGAGAGUUGAGAUAUAUAUAUAUAUAUAUAUAUAUAUAUAUAUAUAUAUAUAUAUGAAUUAGUCAUCUUUGAAUUAAUUUUUUUCUUCAGAAAAAGUUAUUUAAUUUUUAUUGUACUAAUUAUUUAACUUUCAAAAAUUAAACAUAUAAUUUGAUGUUCCAUAGUAAAUUGACCCAAUGUAAUGUAUUAGAAUAAAAAGACCCAAUUCAUAAUUUUUAAUGGCCUAAAAAGACCCAAUUCAUAAUUGUUAAAAGCAAGAACUAGUACGUCUAAGAAUAGAACUUCAAUAUUUUGAGUUCGACAUUCCAAAUCAUCAUGAAUUGCAAGAAUUAUCUAGUAUUCAUGAGUUAUGUCAAGACUUGGUGAAGACAAGAAAAUCAGUGAUAUAUCUUCUUAUUGACAGAUUUAUUAGAUUUGUUAUUACUCUUCCUAUAUCAACUACAACUACAGAGCGGACAUUUUCAAUUAUGAAAAUAAUCAAGACAAAGCUCCGAAACAUGAUGCAAGAUAAUUUCUUGAAUGAUUGUCUAACAGGAAGUUGCUGAAAAAUUUAGCAAUGAUUCAAUCAUAGAUGAAUUUAGUUCUAUGAAAGAGCAUAGAGCUCAAUUUACUUCUAAAAAAAGAUAUUGAAAUUUCAAAUUAUGUUAACAUAACUUUUAUCUUUUUUCAAUUGAAAAUAGUUACAUUUAUAUUACAUGGUUAUAUAUAUAUAUAUAUAUAUAUAUUAUAUAUAUAUAUAUAUAUAUAUAUAUAUAUAUAUAUAUAUAUAUAUUGCAUAGAUGACAUAUUGGAGAGCAUCUUCUCAUAAUGUGCAAAUUGGAUGGUUUGUGAUGUUAUAAGAUAUUUAAUCAAAAGUUAUCUUUUUUGUUAUGACUAUACCGCAUAUUUAUGAAUAGACAUACCUUUAUAAUUAAAUUUAAUAUUUGAUAUUUUUAGAUGUCAAAUAUUUGAAUAGAAGAAAAUUAUUUUGAACAUAAUAUAUUAAAAUAAUUUUAUUAGGAAAAAAUUUUGGCCCUCAAAAAAAAAAAAUCCUGGCUCUGUCACUGCUUGUGUCCCGGCAUACAUCUAACAGUAGCUAAAUCAGAACGGCCCGUAGAAAAAGCUGUCCAAGACAUAUUCUCACCGUGGCUAGCUAUUUCAGAACUCGAAGAAGAAGGUGCCGAAAAAUAUGUCACAAUUGUAAAUCAAAACACGAAGAAAAAGGUGUCCAAGACGUUCCAAAAGGCUGCCUCUCCUAAUCUUCUGGUGGGUAUAAUGCUGACCGUGGUUGCCAGUUUGUCUUCAAAAUGGUACAUUUUUGGUACUCUAGACAAUAAAUAAAUAAAUAAAUAAAAACUUUACCUGCAUUUGGUAUUAAGUAAUUUUUCACUUUAAUUUUCCUUAAUUGUUGUUAGCUGUCAUACAUUGGUAAUUCAAUUUUAAAGUCAAAAAAUUUAAUUGAUUUGCAAUGAUAAUAUGGAACCAAAUUGGACAAAACUCCAAAUAUAAGGGACAACGAUAGUUUUCUUGAUGUGCACAUGCAAUUCAUGUGAUCAGUCAUCGGUUAGCUCUCACGAAUUACCGUUUUUAAGUUAACAUUUAUCAUUUUUCAUGAAGAUAAGGAGAAAAUUAGUUGAUUGUAUAGAUUAGGUUCUACAUUGGUGAUGAUAAACUUUGCCACUGGAUAAUGCCUAAUUGGCCGUAACAAAUGAAGUUUCGGUACUUGAGGUGACGCACUAGUGAAACCAUGCAUUCCAGGGAUAAGAAUUAAACUUGGAAAUCUGAAAGAUAACUAAAGAAUAAAUAUUAGAAUCAAUAAUAUAAAAAAAAAAGUUUCCAAAUCAAAUCAAAAUUAUUGAAAAUUGACCAAAGCUCAAAUCCAAAUCAAAUAAAUCCUUACACGUUAAACCCACGAGAAACCUGUUAUCAAGAGGUGCAAUUACCACUUGAUAAAACUCCAAUGUAGCUAUCACCUCGUGGAUCACACAUAUAUUGGGUCCUCUUAAUUAUUUUCAGUUGGUACGAAAUCAUUCAGAUAUGAUUUCCGUGACAAAUUCUGAGUGUAACGCAAUAUUCACCUCAACCAGUUGAGACAUUGUCUGAUAACCAUGAAAUUUGACUCUCCAAUUCUUGGGUUUUGCCUCUCUCUUUAUAAGGUGUAGAAUGUGGGUUUUCUUUCGAAUGAACCUGGUUCUAAAGAAUGCUAACUGGCUGACAAUUGCGGAAGUUUUUGUGCAUAUCUCUACCAUGAAGCCAAUCAAAAUGUGAAUGGACUAGACAUAAAGGGCAGUAGUUUAAAAUUUGUAGUGAAAUUAACUUAAUUACCUCAAUGGGAUUGAACUAAAAAAUGCAAUCUUCUAUUCAGACAAAAUUCAUAAGUUCUAAGUUCAUUAAGAAAGAUCAAUGCCUGUCAUAUUAAUGCAAAAUUAUUGAUAACAACAAGAAGGAUACUUUUAGAGGUGAUAUAGUCUAGAGUCCAUGCAUCUAACCCACUCUCUUGACAUAGAUUGGAGUUCAGUGAGCGUUAAACUCAAGUCCAUUGGCCAAAAAAAAAAAAAAAAAAAAAAGACUCAAGUCUAUUCAAAAAACCAAACAUUGGACUCCAAACCAGUGAUGUCGAAUUGAUUAUCCAUGGACGCUAAAACCGCCAGAAACAAGUCAUCAAGAGGUGAAACUACCACAUACGACAAUACCCAAUUAUUUAGCAAAUCAAGGAUAAGGAUUAGGACUGUCAAUGGGGCUGAGCCAGCCCGAGCUCGGCUCGUUCGGCCCGACAGAAAGCCCGAUGAGCCCUAUCAUUUAGUGAGUCGGUCUGAGUUUGAGCCUAAAAAUUAGGCCCGAAUUAAAUGUGAGCCGAGUUUGGGCCUUAUUAGGCUCAAACCCGAUAUAGGCCCGACCCUUUAAUUACCUAUAUAUAUAAUAUUUAUAUUUUGAUAUUAUGUAUAAUUAUAUAUCCAAAUAUAUUUUUACUAAAUACUAAAUAUAUAUAUAAAUUACAAAACACAAAAAUACAUCUAAAGACUCUUUCGUGAGCUUUCUUGAGAGCCAAUAUUAGUAAUGCAUAACUAAAUCUCUAAUUUUUCUUAUUGGUUGAGUAAAUUUUUGUAUUGGCAUAUUAUUGGUUGAUUUUUUUUUGGUCUACAAACACAAAAAUCAUCAAGCAUGUUCGGAUUUAAAUCACAAGAUUAUAAAAAAAAAGUUUCAACUUUUAAAGAUGCAUUGGCUUAUGAUCGCAUGUUUUAUUACUAUUUUUCAUGCAUUUUAAACGGAUUAAAUAUAAAUAUUGUUGAAAAAUUUUUUGGUUUAUAUACUUUUUAAGAACUAUUAUUUGUUCAUGUUUAGUUUUAAUAUUAUAGUCUUGUAUAUGUUAAAUUAGUUUUACAACUUAAUAGUUAUAGUAAUUAUAUUAAGAAAAUUAAGGAGUAAUAAGUGAGCAUGGGCUAAACCCGAUUAAGGCUCACAACCCAAAUAUUAUAUGAGCUAAGUAUGAGUUUCACAUUUACGAACCCGAAACUCAUAACCCGAAUCCCAAAAAUGUUUCAAAUUAAAUGAGUUGAACUUGAACUCAUCAAAGCCCGGCUCAUUAGGCCCGAUUGACAGGCCUAAUAAGGAUCAGACAAGUAUCAGGGUAUUAAUAGUCCUCUAUAUUAUUUAUUUGCAGCUGGUACGAAGUCAAUUAAUCAGAGAUACCCACCAAAUGACACAACUUAAGACUUGAAGGAAAAAUAUGAUUGCUGAAGAAUCGUUAUCAGAAUCAAAUCAUUGCACCUUAAAUACAACGUUUUUGGAUUCGUUAGGUUUGCAUCGAGGUGGAGAAGAUCUCAAUUACAUACAAGCAAUUAACAGCAGAAGAAACAUAGCUUUAAUAUCUGAUUCUAGUAAUGGUUUCUGGCAAAGAAUACGUUGUCCUUCACGAGUAAUGUUUCUAGAAACAAUCUUUAUAUAUUUUGUGUUUAAAAUAACUUGAAGAAUACGGCAAAAGUAAGCUUUGGUUUGUGGACUGAUGAGUAAACACUAUGAAAUGAUGAGUAAACAUCAACACUAUAUGUCUGGAAAGAGAGGAAUUACAUUAUUUUUAGCAACAAGGUUACUAAAAUUGGGGGUUAUUAUAACUUUAUCCCUUUAAACUAUAGUGCUAAUAUCAAUUUACCUUUUUAACAUUAUUUUGCAGGCAUUUGACCUCGCAGUUAUUCUCCUUUUUCAUUCUAAAAGGACCAAGAAAAAUGUAAAAGGGUUCCCUUUUUUUUUCAUUCUCAACUAUUAAGAAAAAAAAAAAGAAAUUGAAUAGAGGUUGACAGAAAACUCAAUUUCAGAAAAAAGGAAAAUAAAGAAGAAUCCAAUAUUAUAAUUAAUUUAAAAUAAGUUAGAGUGGGCAGUAGGGGUGAAGAGUAAGUAGUAAUUUUAAAAUAAUAAGCACAUUGGAUUCUUUAUUAUUUUUAUUUUCUUUUUUAAAAUUGAGUUAUCUCUCUAUUUUCAUAUUUUAAGUAUUGAUAAGUACACAAGGAAAAAAAGAAGAAGACAUUUUUUUUUUACUUUUUUCCCCUUGUUAUUAAAGAGGGUGGAAAAAAGGGAGAAGACACUUUUUUAUUUUUUUUCUUGGUAUUAAAGGGGAAAAGGGGGAAAAAACCAUUCCAAUUUUUUUUUAUUUUUAAUCAUACAGGAGAGAGAUGUAUUUCUUCUAAAAUAUUAGGUAAAUUAUAUAUAAUUUCCUGUGUUUUCAUCUAUUGCCACAUGAUCCCCAAAACAUUUUAGGGUUUUAUGUGGCUGAUGUAAGGGAAAAAAUUCAUAUUAAUACCUUAAAUUUCCCUUAAGGAGUUUUUAUAUUUAAAUCAAUUAUUCAAUGAAUAUAUUUUUGUUUUUCUUCUAGUCUUAAAGAGUCUUGCCUCAGGCCUAAAUCAUUUCCACUAUAUUCCUUUGGCCAAAUUUACAAUCGUAUAUUUGUGUUUGUAGUCGUUGAUUGAACUUUGGUCUUAGGAAAAAUGAUAACAAAUGGAAAGAGUGAGAUACAAGUCAAUUAAAAAACAUCAUUAACACUAGAAUUUGUGAGACAUGGAGACUUGGAUUAUAAAAAGGAUAAGAAAACUUGAAUAGGUGAAAAAAGGUGGAUUAAAACUAUAUGAAAGAAGUAGCAUAACAGUGAUAUAGUAUUUGGUGAUGGGAAGAUUCUUGGAGAUGUGUUUUUUAAGUUUGAUAGGCAUUUUAUUACUUUUGGGAAGAUUAUUAUAAUCAUUUUGAGUCCUUAAAAAAAGCAUGGACGUAUAAUAUUUGAAUAUAGAGGUGGGCAACAUGAGAUUAUCAGAAAUCUUAGAAGAAGUUUUUGAAAUUAUCCUUUGCUGUAAUACUAUUCUUUUUUUUUCCUACCUUGUGAUUAUUGAUUUCCACAUUCACACUCGAAAUGCUAAGGCAAAAAGCAAAAUUCAAGGAUGAAAAAUGAAAGAAAAAGAGACAAGGUUAUAAACAUGGGGAAAGACUCUAGAUUUGAUUAAUGCUAACAUAUUAUAAAAUGAUUAUAGCAUUUCUUUUUCAUUUUUUAUGAGUGACACUUUUUUAAAAAAAUUAGUAGGGGAAUGAUGGGAUUUAAAAAGCGAAAAAAGAACAGGGAGAUCAAAAUUCAGGAUCUCUAAUUCCUGGGAGUAACAUGAUAAUAUUAUUUCUAAAAACCCAAUAUCAAUCCUAUUGGUGUAAUAUAAAGGAAUUUGGAUGAUUGAAGUGUUUAAAAUAUAAAAUACUUCUUAAUUAUAAUAUCUUAUUCAUUAGUCGAAUGUGGAAUCUUAUGUUUGUUGCCCCUUUCUUUUUUGUUUUGGAUUUGGGUUUUUGGCGUUGAACUUUGAGUAUGAAUUGAGUAAGAUUAUAGCAUGAGAAGGUUCAUCAUGUUCAUUUAAUUAAGGUCUUCCUGCAUUUAAAAUGGGAGCUUACAUGACAAAAAAAAGAUUGAAAUGGUAAUAAUUUACAAAAGAGCAUCAUAGUGGGAACAUUUUUCCUAAAAAAGGUCAUUUCAAAACUAAAUUCCGAGAAUCCAUGGUUUCAUGUGGGUUUUCUUUUCAUGGACGUGAUUAACAUCAUGUCUCUUAUCAUAUCCAUGAGGAUUAUUAACAUCCAAGUCCUAGAGCCUGAUUGCAUUAGUACUAUCCUUGGCCUUGGGUAUAAUAUCACAAGUUCCUCCCUGUAAAGGUUGCAAUGCGUUUUAAGAGAGUGAGAAUUAAGUAUAUCACGGGAAAAAAAAAAAUGAAUGGCAAAGUAACUUACCAGAACAACAAACAGAUGGAGGAGGAUAAUCCAACAAGCAAGUCCUUUGGAAUCCAUCAAUUGGUAGGUUUUAUAUCCCUUGCAACUCCUCCUUUGAAGGAUUAGAAAACAGCAGAAGCAAAUGCCAAAUAUUACAUAUCGAUGAAAAGUGUGCUUGAUUAGAAGGUUCUUUUUCAAAUAGUCGAUUAAAAUAUGACCCCUUGAAAGAUAGUGUUUCUUAUUGAGGUUGAAAAAUGAACCAAAUUACUUGAUACUCAAAUCAAAUUUUGCUAAAUAAAAGUUUGUUUGAACUUAGUUUGCCAACUAAUCAAAUCAAAAUUUAAGAAGUAUUAUUAUGUGUUAGAUUAACUAUCAAAUUUGGCAUUAACUUGGCUUGAUUAACAUAAAAUUAGAAUUUACAAGUAAAAAAUUCAAGUUACUCAAGUUCGAUUCAUGCUCAAUUCUAUAAAAAAAGCUCAUUUGAGUUUGGCUUAAUUAAUAAACAAGUCAAGUUUGAAGACCUUCCUCUUAAAAAAAUUUUAAAAAAAUCAAGUUUGAGUACUGUUUCAAGUUUAUUAAAUAAUCUAACAAGUUUGAAUACUAGAACAUUGAAUCUAGGAGAUCUAGACAAAAUCACUAAAUUUAUUUUAGACCAUAACUGUAGAUUAUUUAGAAAAAAAGGACCAAAAUGUAGACCUACCCACGUGAUGCAAACCAACCAGCCACGUGAUCCAUGCUGUAACCUUGCUAGCUUCACUUACCUAUCGCCUUGUAUAAAUAGCCGUAUAGCCCCCAAGAGUCUUUUCACCACCAAAGUUACAUUUUGAGUCUGUUCAUAGGCAAGGCAUGGCUUCAUCUAUCACUCUGAUCGCAGUCUUUUCAAUUGCCCUGGUAAGGUUUCUCAACCAUCAAUACUGUACUUGAAGUAGUAGUUCAUAUGAGAUAAUUGCUAGACUGUAUAGGAAUACUGAUGAAACCCGUGAAUUAAAGCUACCUGAGAAAACACAUUCUUCUUCCUUUUUGCACAUUUAUCUGCAGCUCUAACCAUCGCCACUGAAGGAAUGGAAGCUCUUCAGAUGGCUCUGUAGUUCUAUUCUCAUAAAAGCUUGACUUCCAAACAUUACCAAUGCUGGUACCAUACUUAAACGUCAAUGUAACUUGAGUAACGGCAUAUGACACUAUUUACCCUUUUUUAGUUAGAGGAUUCAUCCGGGAAAGAUUGAAAGUCAAAUCAAGAACCUUAAAAUCAACAUAAGGAAUAUUCCUGUUGCCAGUUGAGCUCGUCUUUGGAAAUUAACUAUCCUUCCCUACAAGGGGUCAUCUUUUACGGUGCUACCAUCAACAUACCUAUAUUGACGUUAGUUUCUUUUAUGUUAAUAUUUGCACAAAUGUGCAAUUUGCAUGCAUCACGGAAGCAAGGAAGAAUCCUACGGACUUUUUGCAAUCUGCUGUCAUUAAUGAGCAUACUGAGGACAAUCACCAUGCAGAGUCGUCCCUUUCCAAUCAGAAGAAGACAAGUAAUGGUAACACAUUGAAGGAUUUUGAGUCGAAGCCCGGCUCCUUUCUCUGGGGGGUAUCAAGGCAACGAGGCUGAGUCUAAGUCUAAGGAGGAGAAGCCUUUUAUGAAAGGCUUUGAGUCGAAGCCCGGCUCCUUUCUCUGGGGGUAUCAAGGCAACGACGCUGAGUCUAAGUCUGAGGAGGAGAAGCCUUUUAUGAAAGGCUUUGAGUCAAAGCCCGGCUCCUUUCUCUGGGGGUAUCAAGGCAACAAUGCUGAGUCUAAGUCUAAGGAGGAGAACCCUCUUAUGAAAGACUUUGAGUCGAAGCCCGGCUCCUUUCUCUGGGGUAUCAAGGCAACGACGCUGAGUCUAAGUCUGAGGAGAAGAAGCCUCUUAUGAAAGACUUUGAGUUGAAACCCGGCUCCUUUCUCUGGGGGUAUCAAGGCAACGACGCUGAGUCUAAGUCUAAGGAGGAGAAGCCUCUUAUAAAAGACUUUGAAUCGAAGCCCGGCUCCUUUCUCUGGGGUAUCAAGGCAACGACGCUGAGUCUAAGUCUGAGGAGAAGAAGCCUCUUAUGAAAGACUUUGAGUUGAAACCCGGCUCCUUUCUCUGGGGGUAUCAAGGCAACGACGCUGAGUCUAAGUCUAAGGAGGAGAAGCCUCUUAUAAAAGACUUUGAAUCGAAGCCCGGCUCCUUUCUCUGGGGGUAUCAAGGCCCUCUUAUGAAAGACUUUGAGUCAAAGCCGGCUCCUUUCUCUGGGGUAUCAAGGCAACGAUGUUGAGUCAAAGUCUAAGGAGAAGAAGCCUCUUAUGAAAGACUUUGAGUCGAAGCCAGGCUCCUUUCUCUGGGGAUAUCAAGGCCCUCUUAUGAAAGACUUUGAGUCAAAGCCCGGCUCCUUUCUCUGGGGUAUCAAGGCAACGACGCUGAGUUUAAGUCUAAGGAGGAGAAGCCUCUUAUGAAAGACUUUGAGUCGAAGCCCGGCUCCUUUCUCUGGGGGUAUCAAGGCAACCACGCUGAGUACAAGGAGGAGAAACCACUCGUGAAAGAUAAUUAAUGUCCAGGGAAGCCGCAACUUUACCUCUGAAUGGACCACGGACAUAUAUGUCUUCUAGCUGGUCUGAUUUUCUGCAUUUUCUUUAUUGGCAUGAACAUGUGUGAUAUGUAAUAAAUGCAGUUCUUCUUUCAACCAAGCGUUCUGUAUAAUUAAUUAAAUGAAAGUCAGUAGCGUUGAGUGCAUUUUCUGUUUCUUUGUUUGUUGUUUCUUUUUGCCAUUUACCAUAGACAGGAAGCGCACAAAAAAGAGCACUAUUCAAGCAUGACAAGAAUCAUAGAGUGAGCGAACCAACUAUACCUUGAUAAUCUAAAAAGAGUUCUGCAAACUCGUACUCUUGUACGAAACCAGGACCAUAUAUAUAUAUAUAGAUAUAUCGAUUCAAUUUUCUAAUGAUGUGUGUGGUACGAACGCACAUUAGAAGUACAGAAAAUUCUAGUGUAAAUUUUCACAAAAGAAGAGAAAGAAUGGAGAACUCUUGAAGCGUGAUUGAUCGCUAUUCUUAAGAAUUUAAUUAUCCAUACUACACUAAGUAUUUGCUGUAGAGAUAAAGGUAAUUUAACUUUAAGAUACAACAAGAGAAGAAGAAGUUGAUAGCAAUAUCAAGUUUCUCAAACUAAGAAAUGAUCAAAUAAUUCUAGCUAGUUUUGACAAUAAAAGGCUUGUUUUUUUACAAGUAACCUGUUUUCCACUCGUCUUUAAGUAUCCUUCGAUACGUGGCACUUAAUCCCAAUUAUUUGACUUUAAACUUCGUUCUGUCAUGUGGAUUCUAUGUGUUAGUAUAUACAAGACUAAUCUUAAACAUUACUUGAAAAUCAUAUUAUAUGUAACUGAGUACCGCAUAACUUGCAAUUAUCCACUUACGCUCUCAAUAUUAUUGGGAAAUUACAUGGAUUUUCGUUUCGGUAACUCUAAUUAUAUAGUCUCACGAUCCAUCUUAACUGAAGGGGCCAUUAUGAAUUAGAUGAACAUGAAGUUGUAUUUCGAUUCUCAAGCUAUUCCGUUCCUCUUUCUUCAUUGUAAGGAUUAGAGUCUCUUUUGGAGGGAAAAAAAAACACUCUAAUUAUACAGGAUUAAAGCAAAUAGCAAUGGUCUAUAAAAGGAUAAAAAGUAAGCAGGCUGGGGCAUAUUUAUUAAAACAUGAAAAUAAUAUGAAAUUUUAUAAUACACAUGAUACGAAAAAUAAACUGUACGUAAAUAAUGCAAAUAUAUUCGAAAGUACAAAGCUGAAAAUACAGCUUCAUUUACCAUGUGCAUAAUAGCUGUGUGCACAUUCCAGUGAAGAUUUUUUUAUUUUUAGUAUAAGUGAGAAAUUUCGAGUUCUAAAUCUUUCACUUACACUCUCUUGUCCUAUAUCAUCCAAUCCAUCCCUUCCCAUAUUUUUAUGAAGAUGAGUACAUAAUGUGAGUUUUUAUUUUUGAGGUGAAUAACUUGUUCACAAAAAAGUUUUCUCGAUUUAGGUAAAGUUUAAACUUUACGUUGUCUAAACAACGCAAGUAGAUGCCACUAGGACAGAAGUCAUUAUGAUGACUUCAUCCAAGGUAACAAAAAAAAGGCGUACAAUUGCACUUAAAAUUUGUGAAUUUAUAGUACUAUUUCAUGGUUUAUCGCCUCAAAGUUAACAAUAAAUAAUGUUUUGAACCCCAUUUAAACAACUUAUGAGUGUAAUUCAAAUUUAUUGCUCUAUUAUGUGUGUACAAUGUAUCAAAACAAAGAGUAGCAAAUUGUGUUUUAUUGCACUUUUUGUUUAGCUAGCUUCAUGCAAAUUAACCUUCGUAGAUUAUAGGUAAAGAAUUGGUUUGCCAUUCAAUGUAUCCAAGAAAUAUGUGUUAGUACAUAAUGUUUAUUUUAAUGGAUGUACUGGUGUAAAACAAAAUUACAAAUUAUUAAGUUUUAAACUUUACAAGUACUUAAAGGACAAUAAUUUUUUAUUAAAUUAAAAUUUUCCGUUCUGUGAUUUGGUAGUUUAUCUUAUAACCCCUCUAUAGUUUAAAAAUCUGUAAUCAACCUCCUCAUAAUCUGGUUAACAUAUCAUCAUUAAUUUUCUAAAGUUUAAGCAAAUUAAUAUAUUGAAAAAUUUAUCCUUUCACUAAUUCUUUGAGGUAGUUACAAAAGUAUUACAAUUAUUAUACACCUUAAACUAUGUAUUUGUUUUCAAGUAAACACAAAAGAUGCAGCAAACCAUUUUUAGCCAAGUUAAUAAAAUUGCAAAUGUAACAAUAUAAAGCACCUUAUGAAAAAUUACUCUAUAUGAUUAAGAAAAUAAUUUAUAUUUAUUAGAAUGGAAAAAGUUGCCAGAAGAGGGAGAGACCAUAAGAAAAAUAGUUUAGAGUGAACUGCAUCAAUCAUGCCUUCCAUCAGGGAAAAAAGGGUUAAAUACCAAAAACCCCCUGGAGUUUGCCUAAUGUUUACUUUACCUGCCUAUGGUUUGGCAACCUACAAUUUGACUUCCUGUAGUUUCAACUAAAGUAAAAGUCUGACAGAAAACAUCUAAACUAACGUCUGAAAGGAAAAUGUCAAAAUUGCCCCUCUAUAAGGGUUUUGGGUUAAGCACCAAAAAUCCCCCUGUGGUUUGUCAAAUGUACACUUUACCUCCCUAUGAUUUUAAAACAUACAAUUUAACUCCCUGUCGUAUCACCUAAAGUGAAAAUCUAACAAAAAUUCCGUUAAAUACACUUUAGUUGAAACGACAGGGAGUCAAAUUGUAGGUUUCCAAAUUAUAGGGAGGUAAAGUAUACAUUAGGCAAACCACAGAGGGGUUUUUGGUAUUUAACCCAAAAAAAAUGAUAGAUGUGCGUGUAUAUAGGUGACGGGACUUUUAUAUCAAUGCAAGUUUAAAUCCGAUUUUAUACUCGUUGACUACAAAUAUACAGGCCGAAAUCGUAAUGUAAGGUGUGUAUCGGGUCAAUCCCACGAGGAGCAAAUUAAAUAAGUACUAGACCCUUAUUUUUCUCUAUUAUUUAGACUUACAAUAAAUUUGAGUAAAAAAUUUAUAAUGCUAUUGUCUACAACUCUGGUUUAAUCAAUGUUAAAUGCAAAUGGAGAAAUUUCACUAAAGAUUGAAUCUUGGGAUGUAGAUUCCACUUAUAGCAUAAACAACACAAAUGAAUAGAUUUACCUUUUGUUAUUUUUCUUGUUUAACCAGGGAUUCAUUUCCAAUAUUACCAAAUCUCAUUCUCAUGAUGAAAUGACCUAGAGCAAUAUAGUUUUCCCUAUUUUCAUGGUGAAAUACUAGUUCUACUCUGUUUUCCUUCAUGAAAUGCUAGAAAAUGCACUUAAGAGUACAUCUAUUUUCAUGAACAUACAACUCAAGCUCUACUCAUGUUUUUCCAUUGUUACUAUCAAUUUUCAUUGACUAAUAACAACUAUGAACAUGCUAUUGGUGAUCAAACAACAACAAGUAAUUACAACUGCACAAAUAGACAAGUUAAUACAAGAUAUAACAAGUAUAAAUCACAUUCAAUUCAUAUUAUUUAGCCAUAAGUUUUAUCUACUCCCUAGAUAAAGAAAAUUAACUACUCAUGAAUGAGAUAAAAAUCAAACUCACAAGUUUAUUAAUGCAAAACAUCACAAAGUACAAUUACAAGAAAGAUAAAAGAAAGCUUAGCCAAUUAAUGGUGAAGCCCUCAAAUUUCUGCUAUGUUCUUGUACAAGAUGAUUACAAGAUGAGUCUCCAAUUGCUUCCUCAAGAACUCUUCACUAAAGAGAAACUUGUUGCAAGAAGAAAAACUAGUUACGUAUGGUCAUCUCUAGCUUCUCCAUUCUAUCUCUGCAUAAAAGGUGGUAGAAAGACAUUUUUUUUUCUCCUUCAUGACUUCAACCACUUAGAUUUUGUAAAGGAAGUCAAAAGAUAUGUUGUUUUGACUAGUCAAUAACUCAUUUGGUCUUCUCUUUUGUUGCAGAAGCAUGUGCCACCGAAUUUUCUUUCCCAAGAUAGCUGGAACGUUGUGUGAAAAGUGAGAAAAAACAGCUGCGCCACUUGCUGAAGAGAAAGGCGGAUCCGAGCCUCGGAUCAGAAGGGUGAAGAUCGAUCCGAGACUUUCUCUGAUGGAUCCGAGCUCAGAUUGUAUGACCUCGGAUACACUGCUCCAGAAGUACAGACGAGAGCUCGGAUCGCCCUUUACUCACACGGAUCGCGAGGUCGGAUCCGUGCUGAUGAAUUUCCAGUUUUUUACUUCUUCUCUUUUCUCUUCAUGUUUGUUCCUAAUUUCUCUUGUACUUUAUCCUCGGACAAUUCUUACAAUUCCUUCAUCUCGUGCAUGAAUUCUAUAUAUCAAUGUCCUUCAUAAUUUCACAAAAAUUAACACAUUAAUCCACUUACUAAUCAAAUUUUAAACACUUAAACAAUAUUUAAUCAAUCAUCACCAAAAGAGUUCAAAUAUGGCUUUAAUCUUCUCAAAAGUUAUAUGCACUUGUACAAAAUAUACGUUAAAUAUUCACUUAUUAAAUUCCCCCACACUUGAAUCAUUGCUUGUUCUCAAGCAAUUUCACACAUAACUUACCAAAUGAUUCAAGAGAUAAAACAAUAUACGUACUCUUGUCAAAUUUAAUUUCUCAAAACCUAGAAAUCAAUCAUUAUGCCAUUUCUCAGAUUAUACUAAAUACUCAUAAUAUCAAGUUAAAGAAAGAUAAUUAUGCAUUAAUUUUAACAACUUCAAAUCAAUCUCUCAUUCUAUCCUAAUUCCACAAAUAAGUAAAUUGCAUAGGCAAUUCUAUGGCCUUCCUGAUCCCAUGACCAUCAAAACUUAACAAUUGAGAGGGAUUUAUUCACACUUCAUUAUUUUUAAAUAGUGAAAUCACCUUUUUAUGCGAAAAUCGACACUUUUAGGUGAAGAUUCCCGGUUACUCAACAUUUCACUUAUUCAAAUUGCUAAGCAUACUCUUAAUUCCAAUACCUUUUUACGCGAAUGUUAAUAUUUGUAAAUGCCAACCCCCGAUUACUUAGUAUGUGAAUCAUUAGAGUAGAAAAAUAAUAUCAAUAUAUAUAUAUUUUUAAAUAUUUUUCUUUUCCCUCUAAGCAUAAUUAAAAGAAGAAUCUAGCCUUGUCUUGACUAUAUCAAUCACUGAUAGGGUGUUAAUUGUUAGCAAUUUUAUUGUUAAUUUUCCCUUUUAUCCUUGCCAAAUAAUGUUUUAAUUAUUAAUAUUUACUUAUAUUUGGUUUGUGGACUUAAUUUCAGGAAUGGAACAGAAAACUACCAAAUAUGAGGGUCUUUCUGGAGAUAAUUGAGAUUUCAAGCAAGCCGCAGUGCCGAAAAGAACUGGACUCCCGUUCCUUUACUUUUGUUGACUAAGAAGACUACAACCAGAGACUGCGGCAGAGAGAACUUCAAGGCUUGGGCCUUUGACUUCAGCAGGGACCACGGAGGAAAGGACAAGGGCUUUAGUCAUUUGGCUCUUAAGAGCAACGUAGAGAGCCAGGAAACUAAGAAGUAAUUGGGAGGCUUGUGGCUAAGUGGUGGGGACCGCACAGGGGCUCAAAACAAGGAGGUGAAUUCGGCAGGCUUGUGCUAAUUCGUUGGGACCACGAAACAAGAAGUAGUUUUUGUUUUAGAAUAGGAGAGCUUCGUUUUGUUUUUGCUUCUAGCUAGUUCCUUCGUAUUCAUUACUUUAUAUAUAGCUUUGCCGUUUUCUUCUAGGGAGGAUGGAGACAUAGUUUGUUUUCAAUAAUUACUUCUGCACUUUUGCAUGGGAUUUCCUCCAUGAAGAUGAAUUAAAUCCCUUCGUCUAGUCAAGGAACAACGGAGGAUUUGGUUCUACUAAAUUUGUGAGAUCGAAUUAGUUUAUAUUUAUUUCCAUUAUUCACUGGUAUUUGUCUAUCUUCUGCUUUAUGUUCAUAUGGUUGUUUUACUAUUCGAUUAUCCAGGGCCCGGAUUCUAGAUUAAUUAAAUAACCUGAAACCAAUUAGGGUAGUUAAAUCCGUAAUUGUUUAAUUAUUCUAAACUGGUGGCAACUGGCAUGAUUGGGUUUGUGUCAGGGAGAUAGGCAGGCUAACUUAAAGAGACCCUCGUAGCGUGUUGAUUGGUUAGAAUUAGGCUCUUCUAAUUAUUCAUGCAAUUAGGGAAUUGAACUUCUAUGGUCGUACCUAGGGUUAUUUCCUGAUUAGAGAAAUAGUCAACGGUCGUACCUUGGCUAUCGACAAAUUGAGGAAGAGUUGGUUGUUUAUCGCGUGUAUGACAACUAUAACUAAUUUAUCAGAUAGUAACUAGAAUAAUCCUUGCAUCUGUGAUCGAAUUAAGUGAACCAUCUCCGAAGUUGUCUCUUGGCUAGAGUUCGUCCAUUAUUAUUUUUAUUGUGAUAAUUAGUUAUUUGAGUUGUAGCUAUUUUAUUUUAUUUUAAUUUAUUCCAAGUAAUUUAGUUACUCUCAUUUUCAAAAACCCCCUCAUACUUCGGACUCUAAAAGAAAUAAAUUAUCCCCAAUCCCUGUGGAUUCGACCCUGCUUAUCACUAUCUACAGAAAUUAUAUUUUAUUUAAGCAGGUAUUUAUUAUUGCACAGGUUUGACACCCUGUCAAUUUUUGGCGCCGUUGCCGGAGACUGGUGCCAGAUUAAUUUGUUUCUUUUUGAGUUCAUCUUGUUUUUAUUUAUUUUUCUCCUAUUUUUUUUAUAUAGUUUAUGGCUUCUAACACUCCGUAUUUUGGUGAUAGACUGGAUUUUGUUUCCAGGAAAGGCAAUGAGGCUUCUUUUUUUGCUAAGUUUGCAUAUUCAGAGGCACUAAACUCUAUUAGAGAAAGGAUGGCUGCUGCAACCUGUAAAAUUUGUUAUGCCAGGGAUCAUUCAACCGGUAUGUGCCCCGAAUAUCAAGAUAAUCUGAGUGUCUCACUCAAUAAUUAUGGAGAUUUUUCAUCCUGGUCUCAAACGUGGUAUAACCCUAAUCCAAACGGGUAUGAUCAAGGAUGGUGGGAUAACUCCAGUUAUAAUUAUACAACAGGGCCAAUGAAUUUUCAGCAGUAUGAGUCUCAAGAAUCGUCAUCUAUGUCAGGUAUGUCUCUUGAAGAAAUAGUUGAAUCAAUAGCUACUAAUACAUACCAAUUCCAACAGGAGACACAAAUGAGGAAUGAGAUGAUGACGGAUGCAAUGAGUAAUCUGGCAGAUCAACUAUGUCUAUUGACAUCCAGAAUAAAUCGAUUGGCUUCUCAAAUGGAAGAAUUGCCCUCGAAAACCAUUGUUGAUUUUGAAGAAAAUGAGAGUGCAAUUUGCUUGACUAGUGAUGAGGAGAUGCAAGAGUGUCAAAAUGAGAGAUCUACAGAUGCAGUUGAAAAAGGAGCCGAAAAUGAAGAAAUGGAACCCCAACCGCAACCCAUUCAAGUGAAAGAAUCCAGUGAAGAAUCAUCAAAUGUGAUGACACCACCUCCAUUCCCUAACCCACAUUUUCUUAACUCUUACUCUAUGAUUUCUGUUAAUGAGAUUGAUUUUGUUAUACCGGAAGUUCUUGAGUCUCAUGGCAGGAAUGAGUUAAGAGUAGCUAUGGUCAAAUAUCUUGAACCGUUGAAUGCUCUUGAUGGAGGAGUGGAUGAAGAAUUGCGAUCAAUGCUUGAUUAUUUGGCGCCAUCAACUAGUCCAUGGAAAAUCGUAACUCGUGUACUCAAAGAUUACUCCAUCUAUGAGGGUUACCAUGAUCACAUUGAAGAUGAAGUAUUGAACCGAGCCACAAGAUUUUAUCCUCCGUGAACAAGCAUAGCAUGUCUAGCCAAAGACAUUAAAGAAAGGCGCUUUUUGGGAGGCAACCCAAUUGUUGAUUUUGUUAUUUUUGUGUUCAAUUUCUUAAAUAUGUCGUUUCUCACUUGGGUACUAAUCACCUUGAUGUUUCCUCACUAUGACCAGAAUAGGUAAUUUUGGCGUGCCCACGCAAGGAGGGCACGCGUUAAGCGUCUAAAUUCAAGUCUCAUGGUCAGUGGACGUUAUACAAUCUUGGCGUGCCCACGCGGUGUUUGACGACCCAAAAACAAAGGAAAUAAUUUUUCACUUUAAAAAAAAUAAAAAAUAAAAAUAAUUUUUUUAAAAAAUAAAAGUAAUUUCCUUUUUCAUUUUCAGUUUUGGUAUUCAAAAAUCGAAUUUUCCAAUCUCAAUUCAAUUUAAAAAUAUAUAUAUUUCUUUUUCUUUCUUUCUUCUUCUUUUUUUCUUUCUUUCUUCCUUCUUCCCGCUACUUUCCCUUUCCCCCUGUCCUUUUCUACUUCAGCCGCCGCCUCCAUGCUCCACCACCGCCCUCACGCCAUCAGAUCGCGGCCUCACCUCACGGUCCACCGCCAGCUCGUGGCCAAGCCGCGCCUCUCCUCCACUUUCACCUUCCAGGAGCGCCGCCAGGAGCUGCCACGAGUUUGCUCGUCCGCCACCAGCUCGCGGCCGAGGCUUGCCGCGCCUCUCCCCGCCACAACUCUUCUCCAGCUUUGACCACCACGCACACGCAGCUCCUCCUCUUCACGGCCAUCGCGCACUACUGUGCGUCGCCCAAGCCCCAUGCUACUGCGCCCUCGCGCGCAGCCUCCUCGCGCGCCGCGCACAGCAGCUCCACCUGGCGCGAUCUUCUCUCCCUCCCAUCCUCAGCUCACGCCGCCGCCAGAUUUCCUCUCUCCACCACCACACGAGAGCUCUUCCUGCUUCACUCCUGAACAAUCGCGCCGCCACAGCCCUCGGCAAGACCCUCCAGCGCGCGAACUAACCAGCUAGCAACUCCCUGCUCUUCUUCCAGCGCCGCCACAGCUGCCGACAGAGACCAAGGGUGCCGCCCAUCCAGCGCUCGACUGUCUACCCUUCCCCCGUGGCCUCGCCGCUGCUGCCUGAAGCUCCAACAGCCUCCACCAGCUCAUAAGCUCACAAGCUCCAGUGCCGCGAGCUCCGCUCUAGAGCACGCCGCGCACCCCCAAGCUCCACUCACGCACGCCAACAGCUCCGCCCCACGCGAGCUUUUCUGUCCAGCCACGCCAUCACCACCUGUCAAAAUUGACAGGUGGAGGUAUUGUAAUUUCUUCCCCGAUUAACAUAGAUUUCUGGAAUUUGUGUUUGGAUUUUUGGUUGGAUAGAAGAAGGUAUUAAUUUGGGCAAUUGCUAGGGUCAAUUUUGGACAGAAUUGGGUUGAAUUGCUGCCAUAGUGGGGAAAUUUUUUGCUAUUCAUUGCAUUGUUGGCUGGUUGAUUAAUUUUUCCCUGGGACUCACCAGUGGUACUGGUUGAGAUCUUUUGCCUAUCGUUGUUGCGGCUAUUUGAAGCUACUUGCUUAUUUUAAAGUUUAAGUUCUCGUGGUUGAGUUGCUGUCGUUGAUUUAAUACUUUCCUGUCUGAGCACCAGUGGUACUGGUUGCAGUGUUGCUUAAAAUUAUUAAUUCUCAAUUUCUAUUUGGUUACUGCUGGAAUUGCUAGUUCCGUGGCUCAAGUGCUACUUUUGAGCGUUUGACGUGGGUAAUUGACUGUCCAAUUGGUGACAUUUGUUGAGUUUCACUUGCUCGAAUUGGUUGAAUUCACUGCUUUGUUGGGGUCAUUUUUGGUAUCACUUAAGUCCUAUUUUGCUAAUUUCUGUAUUGAGUCCAUUGACGUGAUAUGUUGGAAUAUUUUGGCUGUGACGAAGUUACUUUGCUUGGAAUUUCUGUGUGCCGUUAGUAGGAUAACUGUUGGGUUUGUCUAUUGACUCUCGCGGCACCUGUGUCCCUUGUUUGGUUAUUGCCAUUGGUUGAUUUUCAUUUACUUGUUGGGAACAAUUUGCUAUUGUUGGGAGAAAUUGACCGGUGGGACAUUUGUCGAGUACUUGGGUAGACGCAUUUGCAUUUAAUUAUCCGGUUGCGGGAUAAUAUUUUACUCACUUGAUUGUUGCCUUACCCUUAGGUGUGACUUCUGCUUUACUGGUUUAAUACAUUUGCUGGGACACCGUUUCUAUUGUUGGUCAGAUUGUUAAGUGAGACACAUUUUGUGGAUAUUGACUUGCUUAUUGUCCUUAUUGGGGCUGUAGUUGUUAUUGAAUUGUCUAGGACCCUCGACCCACAUCAUUGUUGGAGUGUUUAUGUACCAUACGGGUCUUGCACCUCAAUUUCCACCUCAAUCGCUGCUGUGACCCCGUCCCUAUUUUGAUGAUUUCAGGAAGUACCGUUGCCCCUCUCCUUCCUUCUGCUUUUACAUUAUCACAUUGAGGGCAAUGUGUGAAUUAGGUGUGGGGGGAUCGUUGUGGUGCUAGUAUUUUUUGUUGUUAGUUCUAGGGGCUUUUCCUUUAUUUUUAGUUAGUUUUUGCCUAUUUUCAUUUAUUUCUUUUCUUUUUCUUUCUAGUGAUCAGUUUCAUAUGAAUACCAAGUUUUUGAUGCUGGAUUGUUCUCUAAUUCUGUUAUUGCCAAGUUUAUUAAUAAAAAGAUAUCAAGUUUGAUGUGGUUGAGUUCAAGAACAUCUCUCUGGUGGAAUAUCAGUAAUGACUUGACUUUUCUAAUUUUUUAGUUAACUUUUCUAGGCAUAGGGAAUGCUUGUUGGCAUUUUCAUGUGAAUUGGUCCAGUUAUUAAUUUUAACUCUCCAUGUUUGGAAAUUUGAGGCUGGCUGCUGUUAUUUUUUAUUAUUUUUUAGUUAUUGUGCUAUAUGAUUGCGGAAUAAGAUGACUGUACUCGCUAUGGUUACUACUGAGUAACCGGGGAUCUUCACCUAAAGUGUCGAUUCUCGCGUCAAAUGUAGUAGUUGCUAUGAGUGCGUGGUCCUGUAGCGAUUGGAGCUGAGUAACGAUCCUCCAUCUGUCAAAUGUUGGAGUUCGCGUCAAAAGGUUCUAAGGGCUAUAGACUAAGUCUUUGUUACUCAAAAAAAAAAAAAAAGGAAAAAAACAAAAACAAAAACAAAAGAAAAAAAAUAAAAUAAAGAUUGUUUAGUAUGUGAAUAAGUCAGCUUGCCGGUUUGUGAUCUUAAUGUCGAGAUUUUGGUUAAUAGUUGGACCAUUUGCUGAUAAAUGUGAGCAACCAUCCUUUUUCUUAAAUUAGUUUGCUUUAAAUUGGAGGAGUUGCUUUAAAUAUGGAUUUAAUCUUCUCAAAACAUACCAAAAGUUUAUGCCAAACUUGUACAAAAUAUACGUUAAAUAUUCACUUAUUAAAUUCCCCCACACUUGAAUCAUUGCUUGUUCUCAAGCAAUUUCACACAUAACUUACCAUAAUGAUUCAAGAGAUAAAACAAUAUACGUACUCUUGUCAAAUUUAAUUUCUCAAAAACCUAGAAAUCAAUCAUUAUGCCAUUUCUCAGAUUAUACUAAAUACUCAUAAUAUCAAGUUAAAGAAAGUAAUUAUGCAUUAAUUUUAACAACUUCAAAUCAAUCUCUCAUUCUAUCCUAAUUCCACAAAUAAGUAAAUUGCAUAGGCAAUUCUAUGGCCUUCCUGAUCCCAUGACCAUCAAAACUUAACAAUUGAGAGGGAUUUUUCACACUUCAUUAUUUUUAAAUAGUGAAAUCACCUUUUUAUGCGAAAAUCGACACUUUUAGGUGAAGAUUCCCGGUUACUCAACAUUUCACUUAUUCAAAUUGCUAAGCAUACUCUUAAUUCCAAUACCUUUUUACGCGAAUGUUAAUAUUUGUAAAUGCCAACCCCGAUUACUUAGUAUGUGAAUCAUUAGAGUAGAAAAAUAAUAUCAAUAUAUAUAUAUUUUUAAAUAUUUUUCUUUUCCCUCUAAGCAUAAUUAAAAGAAGAAUCUAGCCUUGUCUUGACUAUAUCAAUCACUGAUAGGGUGUUAAUUGUUAGCUUUUUAUUGUUAAUUUUCCCUUUUAUCCUUGCCAAAUAAUGUUUUAAUUAUUAAUAUUUACUUAUAUUUGGUUUGUGGACUUAAUUUCAGAAUGGAACAGAAAACUACCAAAUAUGAGGGUCUUUCUGGAGAUAAUUGAGAUUUCAAGCAAGCCGCAGUGCCGAAAAGAACUGGACUCCCGUUCCUUUACUUUUGUUGACUAAGAAGACUACAACCAGAGACUGCGGCAGAGAGAACUUCAAGGCUUGGGCCUUUGACUUCAGCAGGGACCACGGAGGAAAGGACAAGGGCUUUAGUCAUUUGGCCCUUAAGAGCAACGUAGAGAGCCAGGAAACUAAGAAGUAAUUGGGAGGCUUAUGGCUAAGUGGUGGGGACCGCACAAGGGCUCAAAACAAGGAGGUGAAUUCGGCAGGCUUGUGCUAAUUCGUAGGGACCACGAAACAAGAAGUAGUUUUUGUUUUAGAAUAGGAGAGCUUCGUUUUGUUUUUGCUUCUAGCUAGUUCCUUCGUAUUCAUUACUUUAUAUAUAGCUUUGCCGUUUUCUUCUAGGGAGGAUGGAGACAUAGUUUGUUUUCAAUAAUUACUUCUGCACUUUUGCAUGGGAUUUCCUCCAUGAAGAUGAAUUAAAUCCCUUCGUCUAGUCAAGGAACAACGGAGGACUUGGUUCUACUAAAUUUGUGAGAUUGAAUUAGUUUUUAUUUGUUUCCAUUAUUCACUGGUAUUUGUCUAUCUUCUGCUUUAUGUUCAUAUGGUUGUUUUAUUAUUCGAUUAUCCAGGGCCCGAAUUCUAGAUUAAUUCAAUAACCUGAAACCAAUUAGGGUAGUUAAAUCCGUAAUUGUUUAAUUAUUCUAAACUGGUGGCAACUGGCAUGAUUGGGUUUGUGUCAGGGAGAUAGGCAGGCUAACUUAAAGAGACCCUCGUAGCGUGUUGAUUGGUUAGAAUUAGGCUCUUCUAAUUAUUCAUGCAAUUAGGGAAUUGAACUUCUAUGGUCGUACCUAAGGUUAUUUCCUGAUUAGAGAAAUAGUCAACGGUCGUACCUUGGCUAUCGACAAAUUGAGGAAGAGUUGGUUGUUUAUCGCGUGUAUGACAACUAUAACUAAUUUAUCAGAUAGUAACUGAAAUAAUCCUUGCAUCUGUGAUCGAAUUAAGUGAACCAUCUCCGAAGUUGUCUCUUGGCUAGAGUUCGUCCAUUAUUAUUUUUAUUGUAAUAAUUAGUUAUUUGAGUUGUAGCUAUUUUAUUUUAUUUUAAUUUAUUCCAAGUAAUUUAGUUACUCUCAUUUUCAAAAACCCCCAUACUUCGGACUCUAAAAGAAAUAAAUUAUCUCCAGUCCCUAUGGAUUCGACCAUGCUUAUCACUAUCUACAGAAAUUAUAUUUUAUUUAAGCAGGUAUUUAUUAUUGCACAGGUUUGACACCUGUCAAUUUUAGGCCCAAUGAAUGAUGGCCCAAUUGCGGUCUAACUGAGCUGUUGAAUCCAACGGCUAUUGGAUCCAUUGGGCCGCGUAAUUUCUAGUGGGCCUCUCCUCAGGCCCAGGUCAAUUUAAUCGAACAUGUUCUCAAUUUCUUGAUCCAGUGGGCCGUUUAAAGUGUAAUUGGCCUGUGCAAUAAUAAUAAUAAUAAUAACCUAAAUACCACUAAAAAGCUGUCAAUAAUUAAUCCUAGUUACUGGAGCAGGGACUCUAGGUGUGCAAUGGGUUACUUGAUUCACCCUGUUUUCGAAGAGUUUGCUGAAUCGAUAUACCAGAAUUAAUUAGUUGGCAAAAAUUACUGAAUAGUAGACAGUGGCAAGUAGGGUCGUUCCUCAGGGAUUGGGGAUAUUUAUCUCUCUUAAAUUCCAAUUAGUAUGGGGGAUUUCACCAGAAUGAAACUAACAAUAAUUAGACAAUUCAAAAUAAAAAUGAAUACUUAACUAGCACAAAUUGAGCAGGAAUUAAAUUAAGAAUAAAUAAAUUCUAGCCACGGAUGCAACUACUCAGGCACAGUCCAUUUUCCGAUCAUUGAUACAAGAGAGGUUCACUCAAUUUAUUAAUAGGCUAGUUAUAGCCAUCGAUGAACUCUAAUGAUCAAUUUUUCCUUAAUUUAUAGAUGACCAAGGUACGACCAUUAAUCACCCCUAACCAGAAAAGUACUCCUAGGUACGACCGUAGGAAUUAAUUUUUCAAUUGCAUUAAUAACCAAAAAAACCUAACCCUAAUCAAUAACACGCUACGAGGGUUAUUUAAAUUAGAUUGCACGUUCCCCUAAUGUGUAAACACACCAGUUGUCAUUAAUAUUAAUCAAUCAAACAAUUACGGAUUAAUCGACUAAAUUGGCACGAGAUUAGUAAAUCACAUUGAACAUCGGGCCCUUGACAUCCAAUUAAUAAAAUAAUCCCAUGAAAAUUCAAGCAGACAAUGUGCAAAUAUUAGUAAAUAAAGGAACACGUGAAAACUAAUUAGAUCUCACAGAUUUUCGGGACUGCGCCGUCGAGUUGACCUUUGACUAGAUGGAAGACUUAGCCACGCCGUAUAAUUAAAUCACCACACGAAUUAAUAAAUUGCAAAGGCAUUGCGUUUUCUAUUAGGAAGCAAGGAAUAAAAGGUGUUUUUCCCGUUGGGGAAUAUUGUCGAACACUUGGCGUGUGUCAGAGGCCAGUCAGGAGAAAGAAAGAAAAACUAAAGACUAGGCUAAAAACUAAAACUAAAAGGUGGUGUCUUCCUUCCCUAUGUUAUCCCUAUUUAAGAAACAAAAGAAAGAUAGACUAAAGCUAUCUAGGUGGUCCCCACACAUGUGGACAAAUCCUCCAAAGUACUUCUUCUUCCAAGUCUCUCUACUUUGCUUUCUUUGAAGAGUCCAAAUGACUAAAUGCCUUCCACUAACUUGUGGUCCCCACCAAUUCAAGGGCCCAAGAACUGAAGCCCUUAGAAGUCUCCAAUUUUUCAUAAAGUCCCUCCUUUUUGAUAGUUUUCUGCUUCAUUCCUGAAAUUAAGUCCAGAUACCAAAUAUGAGUAAAUAUUAGCAAUUAACACAAUAUUUAUCAGGGAUAAAACGGGAAAUUAAUAAUAAAAUUACUAACAAAUUAUACCCUAUCAAUUCCCCCACACUUGAAUCAUGCUUGCCCUCAAGCAUAGGGACAACUCAACUCAAAAUUGGCUAACUUUCACAUUAUCGUCACCAGCUGUGCUUAUACCCAAAAUCAAGAUUUAGUGGCUAAGUGUCAAGACAUCUCUCCCGGUUAGCUCCUAAGUUCAUAGACCUGUCCAGUUCAUGGCUAACUUGCCUAUGAAAUCCAAAUAUUAACUAGCAACAGUCAGUAAUUAAGUCAACUGGCAACCAAAAUCUCAACAGUGCGAACCAAGGAUCGGCAGGCCAACAUGAUCAUAAACUCAAAUUUUUCACAUCUGAUUUUUCUUCUUCUUCUUUUUUUCUUUUCUUCGUUUUUCUGAUUGAUUUUUUUUUCCUUGAUUUUUUCCCCUUUUUUUUUUAAAAUUGCAUGAAUAAUGCUGAGUCCCAAGCUAUUCAAGUCUUUUGACGUGAACUCUGACAUUUUUAGAUGAAAGAGCCCAGUUACUCAACUUUUCACACGCCAGGACUACUUACUCAUAGAUAUCGCCACUUUUUGACGCGAGAGCCGACACUUGUGGUGAAAGCUCCCGGUUACUAGGUGGCGACACUAGCGGAGUAUAGCCAUAUGUUAUUCACCAAUAAGCACCAAAAUACCAAGUAAUUACAGAUCAUAGCCUGCGUCAUGUCCUACAUAUGGAGAACUAAGGUAAACAGGAGACCAAUCUACCCAACAAUGCCAGCAAAAUAUUCACAUCGCCUAGACAAGUCAGCCAUAAAUUGCACCAAGUCUUAAACUCAAAAUAUUCACCAAGACAGCAUGCUCUUACUUGCCACCGAAACUCAAGUCAUAGUAUAAACCACAACUAACAAGAAGAAAGUGAGCUGCCAACAUAUUCACCAAGAUAAAGCAAGGGAAAACACCCAAAAGGGAUAAAGGAGCAACACCUAAACAGAAAAUACUUAAACUAAAAACAUAGGAAAAACACCCCAGAAACGGAAAUGAGAAAUAUCUAGCACUCAAACAAAGACCCCCCCACACCUAAAUGACACAUUGCCCUCAAUGUGAUAAACCAGCAACAAAAGUAAAGAGAAGGGCAACGGUACUUCCCAGAGUCGUCAGAACAUGGGAGGGUUAGGCGGAAAUUGAGGAGGGAACCCGGCUUGCUGCAUAAAUGCCGCUAGAUUCUGCGCCAUAUUGUGAAUGUUAACGUCCAUGUGUUCGCUUCUCAAGCCGUUCGACUGUGUUUCGGAGAUGGUGCCAUUCCUCGGCCGUAGGGGCGGAAGAAGAAUUACUGAAUCCGAUAUACCAGAAUUAAUUAGUUGGCAAAAAUUACUGAAUAGUAGACAGUGGCAAGUAGGGUCGUCUCCUCAGGGACUGGGGAUAUUUAUCUCUUUUAGAGUCCGAAGUAUUGGGGGUUUUUGAAAAUGAGAGUAACUAAAUUAUGUGGAAUAAAUUAAAAUAAAAUAAAAUAGUUACAACUCAAAUAACUAAUUAUCACAAUAAAAAUAAUAAUGGACGAACUCUAGCCAAGAGACUUGGAGAUGGUUCACUUAAUUCGAUCACAGAUGCAAGGAUUAUUCCAGUUACUAUCUGAUAAAUUAGUUAUAGUUGUCAUACACGCGAUAAACAACCAACUCUUCCUCAAUUUGUCGAUAGCCAAGGUACGGCCGUUGACUAUUUCUCUAAUCAGGAAAUAACCCUAGGUACGACCAUAGAAGUUCAAUUCCCUAAUUGUAUGAAUAAUUAGAAGAGCCUAAUUCUAACCAAUCAACACGCUACGAGGGUCUCUUUAAGUUAGCCUGCCUAUCUCCCUAACACAAACCCAAUCAUGCCAGUUGCCACCAGUUUAGAAUAAUUAAACAAUUACGGAUUUAACUACCCUAAUUGGCACGAGAUUAAUAAAUCACAUUGAACAUCGGGCCCUUGACAUCCAAUUAAUAAAAUAAUCCAUGAAAAUUCAAGCAGACAACGUGCAAAUAUUAAUAAAUAAAGGAACACGCGAAAACUAAUUAGAUCUCACAGAUUUUCGGGACUGCGCCGUCGAGUUGACCCUUGACUAGAUGGAAGACUUAGCCACGCCGCAUAAUUAAAUCACCACACGAAUUAAUAAAUUGCAAAGACAUUGCGUUUUCUAUUAGGAAGCAAGGAAUAAAAUGUGUUUUUCCCGUUGGGGAAUAUUGUCGAACACCUGGCGUGUGUCAGAGGCCAGUCAGGAGAAAGAAAGAAAAACUAAAGACUAGGCUAAAAACUAAAACUAAAAGGUGGUGUUGUCGCGCCCCGUUUUUCGCGACGGAAAAGAAAAAUAAAGUGUGAGAUUUAUAAAAGAUAUGAUUUUAUUUUUAAACAAGUUAAAAGGGACCUAGAAUGGGACUUAAAAAGAAUGCGACAAUUUGGGUCCAAAAUUUAGUCUAAAAGGGUUUUUAAGAAAAAAACAGGAGUCGCCACUUGGUAUGGAGUUUUGGUGUACCAAGUCACCCAAAAAAAUAAAGUAAAACAAAAUAAAACCCUUUUUGACAACUCCAGGUCUUUGAAAACAAGAGAAAAUGGAUUCGGGAGUCACGGUUGAAGAAAGGGAAGGCAAAGAUUCGAUUAACUCAAAUCUAAGGCACCCUUUCAACCUAGUCUAAGCUAGUUGCGAGGUUUAGUCAAAAUUUUCCUAAUCUAACCCUUAAUUUAUCACAUUUGGAUGUUUUCUAUAUAAAUGCAAAUCUAAAAAAUAUCGCAAGGGACAACAUGUUCAUUCAAGGGUUUAAUUGAACCAAUCGCAUUAAUUGCGAAGGUCAAAAUAAAUCCUCGAAGGUGUCACAAGGAUGCAAAUGAUGAAAAAGAAAAGAAAAUAAAAGAAAAGAAAUUAAAUUAUAUACACAUAUAUAAGUGAUCAAAGAAAAAGGGAAUGCAACAUAAAGGGUACGGGAGGCAAAAAAAAAUUCGUGACAUAAUUUUCUUAUACAUGGAUUAAUAGGGUAUUUAAACUAGAAAGUUAUAAUCACCCAUUUCCCAUGUUUGAAAAAUAAUUAUCCUAACAUGAACAAGCAAAUGAACUAGCUUAAAUGGGAUGCAAUUCUAAAUGACAUGAUUAGCACCUAUAGCGGGUAGGGGAUAAUAAAAUAGGGAAUAUCAUGCAAAUGAGAAAAGAUCCUAAAAAUGAAAAUAUGCAUGAAAAUGUGGUGAAUAGCAUACAAUGAUGAAUCUAGCGCAAGAUGACCUAAAGGGUCUAGCGUUGGACUAGCCCAUUUCUAAAAAUCCUUGCUAGCGUUGGACUAGCAAGUAAGCGGAGGGAGAAACCACAACUAGCGUUGGACUAGUGUGGUGACGUCAUGCAUUAACAAUUCAUAGCGAAACAAAUAAAACAUAAAUUAAAACAAAUAAACACAUAAGAGCACGUAGCACAUAACACGUAAACAUAAUAUCUAGAUGCCAAAAUCCUAAGAAAAGCGGACAAAACACAUAACACAUAAGCCACAUAAACACGCAACCUAUCUAUUACAUCGGGGGCGCCUAACUACAAUCUAGAAGGGAAAAAUAUAAUAAAACAAAUCUAAUUAUCCUAUCUAUUACAUUUUUGAGGUAUUUAAAUGCCUCUUGAAUCAUUAUAAAAAUUAACUAAAACAUAUAUAAGAAAAUUUGAAUGAAUAUCUAAAUCAAGUAAAUAAAGCAUAUAAAAAUAUAUAAACACAUAGGAACAAAUAGGAGCACAUAAGAGCACGUAAUUGACAUUGAAAUAAUAAAAUAGGGGUACCUCCCGUUUGAAGUGGUGACUAAAUGGAGUCAAAUUGUCCUAUUUAUACUCACAAUGAACAAAAGAAUCAUGGCACCACUUUAAUUGAAAAUAAUAAUAAUGUUAAAAUACUAAAUUCACAUUAACAUGUCAAACGCAAAGAAAUUUAAGAACAUCUAAAAAUUGCAAGUUGAAUAUGUUCAAAAAUAACAUAAUUAGUUAUUAAAGAAAAGAAACAAUCAUAAUAAAGAGAGUCAAAAUUCAUCAGGGACUGAAUUGCAAAAAUUGAAAAAAAAACUUUUGGGGACAAAAAUUAUAUUUUUCAAAGUUUAGGGGGUCAAAAUUAAAUGAAAGAUAAAAUUCAGGGACCAAAGUGAAAUUAAUUUAAGGACCAAAGUGAAAGAAUUUUAAAAUGUUCUGGGCCACAAUAAAACUACUCCAAAGAUCAAGGGCCAAAGUGCAAAUCGUAACCAGAUCUGGGCAAGAUAAAGGGCAUCGGGCCACUCUUUUUAUUUUAUUUGGGCCAAACCUACCUAAGCCCAACUGAAAACCCAAGCUAAAACACACAGGCCAGCCCGUCUUUUUAUCCCUCAAGCCCAGCCAAAAAUUCAUGGGCUCCAACCUCCGAGCCCAACUGAAACCCAAAAGAAAAAUAAACCAAAGCCCAUCCUCAAAACCUAACAAAAAUAACCAUAAGCCCACCUAAAAAAAUAAAACACUAGCCCAAACCCCUUUUUUCUUUCUCUUUUCUUUCUUUCCUUUCUUUUCUUUCUUCCCCGAUCGUUUCUUUCUCUGCUUCUUCGGCCAGCUGAAGCUUCUUCAGCUGGCGGCCAUGGCGGUCGCCAGUGGCGCCGCCGCCACCGGACCGCCGUCGCCGGUGGUCGCCGGCGACCUCUCCGGUCACCGAAUUUCCCCAAAAUACACUCCCUCACUCGAUUUUUCGCGUAGAUUCCAUUUUCGGAGUUAGUUUUUACAAAAGAUGAUCUGAAAGUGUCCAAAAUGUAAAAUAAACAGCCCAGUUUUUAUAUUUUUAAAACCUCAAAUCUUCACCAAAAAUCACAAAAAUCAUGCCAAAACACUCCUUAUAGCUUCUGUAUGAUAACUAAAAUCUUAGUUAACAAGAACACAACAACAAAAAACUACAUUUAAGGCAAAACAGUCCCUAAAAUUCUUUUUUUUUUUUUACUUUGGCAUUUUAUCAAACAUUAAUAAUGCAUACACCAACCGUACUUCCUUUCUCCCUAAUCUGGUUAUACCAUUUCCCUAACAACAUAAUGAUAGCAAAUCCAACAAGAGAGAGAAACAAACUAAUGUCUAGACAUGCUUAUGGUACGGGACAUAAAGAAUUUGGGUAACCAAAGAAAAUUUCAGCACCAACUUUGAAUUUAAACAAGGAAUAGCAAGGAAAAGAAAAAGAAAAAGCGAGAGCCUUACCUUGCCUGGCAGUGGAGGAAUUACACAGCGGUAGUGGCAAUGGCGAUUUUUGAUGAUCGUAUGGUCUUCCACUUGUUCCCUUAACUCCUCCUUUCUAUUUUCUUUUUCUUUUCUCCUUGUAUCCGAGAGAGAGCAAUGGGAAUUGUUGUUGGUGUGGGGAGUGUAUGUGAAAUUUUUGGAAGGGGAGAGUCGAGAGUGGGUUGGGGAGUAGUUUUUUUUUGUUUGUGGCUUCUCUUCUGUGAUAGGGAGAGCCGAGUGAAGAGUUUUUUUUUUUCUUCUUGUUCUACCUCUGAGAGAGGCCAGAGAGUCGAUAUUUGGAGAGAAAAAGAUGAGCUUGUGUGUGUGUUUGGUCAAAAUGAUUAUAUUUUACCAAAUGACAAGAAAGUUGAGUGUAGGAAUGGGUUAAGUGUAUUUUGUGGGGAAAAUGAUGAAAAUGUGUAAGUUUAGUAAUAAUUUGAUUUUGACUUCAUUUUUUUAUUUUUUUUAUUUUUAUUUUAUUUUUAUUUUUUUUAUUUAUUUAUUUUUUUUAGUUUUAUUUUUGUUGUUGUUUUGUCUUCUUUUUUUUUAAACAAACCUGCAAAAUUGAGAAAAAUGCACAUUAAAAUGCUAAAAAAUAAAUAAUUCAUUAAAUAGAAAAUUUUGAGAAAAUAUUAAAAAUCGACAGAAAUUUGGUGUCUACACUUAGCCACUUGAAGGUGAAGCUCUCCAAUUCCUGCUAUGCUCUUGCACAAUAUGAUUACAAGUAAAAACUCCAAAUACUUCUCCAAGAACUCCUAUCUAGAGAGAAACUAGAUACCAGAAAGAAAACUAGCUACGUAUGGUAAUCCCUCUUCUCCCCAGUCUUUCUGCAUAAAAAUGUGGUAGAAAUUUCAUUCCUCUCACUUCAUAAUUUCUUCCACUCAGAUUUUGUAAAAAGAGGUCAAAGAUAUGAUGUCUCCUUUUGUCCACAUUCAUUUGGUCUUCUCUUUUGUUGCAGAAGCAUGUGCCACCGAUUUCUGUCCCUCAAAAUAGCUGGAAAGUUGUGAAAAAGGUAAAGAAAAACGGCUAUGGCACUUGCUGAGGAGAGAGACAGAUCCGAGCCUCGGAUCCGAGGAGUGAAAAUUGGAUCCGAGCUCGGAUAUUAGGAUCCGAGGGCUUCCAUGAUGGAUCCGAGGUCGGAUCAUCCUGACCUCGGAUACACUCCGCCAGAAGUACAGACUAGGGGUCGGAUCCCUCUUGUACACACAGAUCCGUGCUCGGAUCUGUGUUGAACAAUUUUCCAGUUUUUCACUUCUUCCCUUUUUCUACAUUUUUGCUCCCAAUUUCUUGUGUACUUUGUCUUCUGAAUGACCCUGACAUUUCUUUCAACUUGUGCAUGAAUUUCAUACAUCAAUUACCUUCACAAUUUCACAAAAUUAACGCAUUAAUCCACUAAUUUAUCAAUUUCUGAACUCUUAAACAAUAUUUAAGCAAUUAUCACCAAAAGAGUUCAAAUAUGGCUUUAAUCUUCUCAAAACAUACCAAAAAUUCAUGCCAAAUUCGUACAAAAUGUACGUUAAAUAUUCACUUAUCAAAUUCCCCCACACUUGAAUCAUUGCUUGUCCUCAAGCAAUUUUACACAAAACUUAUUUCAAAUAUUCAAUAGAGAUAGAGAAAACAAUAUGCGUACUAUUGUCAAAUUUAAUUCCUCAAAAACCUAGAAAUCAAUCAUUAUGCCAUUUCUCAGAUUACACUAAAUACUCAUAAUAUUCAAUUAAAUAAAAAUAACUAUGCCUUAAUUUCAAUAAAUUCAAAUCAAUUCUCUCAUUCUAUCCUAAUUUCACAAAUAAGUAAAUCACAUUAGUCAAUUUUAUGGCCUUCCUCAUCCCAAAACUUAUCAAUUUAGAGGGAUUUAUUCACAUUUCAUCUUAUUUAAAUAGUGAAAACGUCUUUUUACGCGAAAAUCAACACUUUUAGGUGAAAAUUCCCGGUUACUCAACAUUUCACUUAUUUAAAUUGCUAAGCAUACUCUUAAUUCCAAUACCUUUUUACGCGAAUGUCGACAUUUGUAAAUGCCAACCCCCGGUUACUCAGUAUGUGAAUCAUUGGAGUAGAAUAAUAAUAUUAUUCUUUUUUUUUAAUAAUUUCUUUUUCCCUCUAAGUAUAAUUAAAGGAAGAAUUUGGCCUUGUUUUUGAUUAUAUCAAUCACUUACUUAGAAAAUUAAGUAACAAUGAUAAAUAUCAUUAAUUUUGCAAAAUUCUAAGCAUAAUUUUUCUUAUUUAACCAAAUAUACUUUCUAAAAUGUAAAUAUCCUAAUUGCAUAAUAAUUCGUUCCAAGCCAAUUAAGAACUAAAUUUUUCCAAAAUACACAUAGCAUUUUAUCCAAUGGAAGAAUUAGACACUUAAAAUUUUAACAUUUUGGCCAUUUAAUUGGAAGAAUUGCAAUGAAAUAUUGGAAAAUGUUUUAGAAAAAUUUCGACAGAGUUUCCCCAUAAAAAUGGAUGAAACUCCCUGCCAAAUAUCAUUAAUUUUCACAAAAAUUAUCCUCAUGACUAUCUCCACAUAUAAUUCCAACAUUUUUAAGGCAUAAACAACUAAAAUCAUGCAUUUCAAAACACAAUCACCCAUAAGAUAUGCAAUGCCUCCCCCACACUUAAAAUCUACAAUGUCCUCAUUGUAGAGGAGGGUAAAAGAACUGAAACUUCCCUCAUAUAGGUGGUGAUGCAAUUUGAAACCCUUACUCAUCACGAUCAUCCAAUUUCUGUUCAAAAUGAGACAACAAAGGUACCAAACACCAUAAGUAGCACAAGAUGAUUCAAAUUAAAGAAAAAUAAAAACUACAACAUUUAUCUUAACAAAAGAAGAGAAAAAUAAAGAAAUAAAAGGUCGAAUCCGCUAAAAAAAACAUCAUGGCUGCUGGGAACGAGGAUCUACUGCCUCCUCGGCUCCAUGAGGACCCUGUGAGGUACCAAUAUGGCCCUCCUCCUGAUGAGGUGUCGGAGUAGGGGACCGUCGGAUAUGGAAAUGAUCCUCGAUCGCACGAAGACGGCGAUCAUGUCGGUCGAGGCGCUCAAUCAUCAUCCGCUCCGUCUGGUCAAUGCGCUCGACGACUCGCGUCUCCAUACAGCAAAUAGCAUUGAGAAGCUCUUGCCACUUGGAGCGCGUUUGAGGAGGUGGUCGUGGAACCGGAGGAGGAAGAGUCUGCUGUGCCUCCGUCUCUUGAGUUUCCGCUUGAGGUUCAGUGUGAGGCAGAGGUUGAGUGGAAGUCGAUGCUUCUCCUGUGUCCCGGACCAAAGCAGCUCCAAAUUCCGUAGAAAUACCCAAGGAUUUGAGUAUUGAAACAUUUACCUCCUCGGCCGACCUAGUUAUCACCGAUCUCUCGGUUCCAAGAGGAACUUUGAACUUCUCAAAAAUGAGGGAUAGCAGUCGGGGGAAUCCAAAACAAGUCUCGCCGGCCCUCAUGCGAGCUGUGGUCCGCAUAUAACUGAUGAUAAUGCUGGGUAGAGGAAUACCAGUCAACUGUCUACCCACUCCAUGUAUCAUCUUAUCCAGAAAAUAGAGAUCGCUAUUUCGGAUCUCCCGUUUACCACUCUUUUUCGGCACCACAUUGAAGGCAAAAAGAUAGAAGAUCAGGUGGUAACGAUGCUCAAAGGAGUCGGCAUAUACCGUGAGUUUUUUUGAACUUCCUCGCUCACGGUACUGACCCUUUAGACGUCCCACGGCUUCUCCCACUUGCCAAGGGUCUCGAGCUUUGAAUUCCUUGGUCAGUUUGACAUCUUCGCCUUCGUCUUUGAGUUGGACGAAGUGUCUCAAUGUAUCUCGAUUGAGAGUCACUCUUUUACCUCGAACCCACGAGACGAUGAGGUUGCCACUGUGGCUCUGCUUGUUCUCCACAUUGGCAUAGAACUCCCUGACCAGGUUGGGGUAGUAGUGCUUGGGCAACUGAAGGAUGUUCUCCCAUCCAAGCCUCUUGAAUGCUGUCGAAAUGUGGUAGUGCGCAUCCACCUCUGGUGCCAAGUGUUUCUCAAUUAUGAUCUCCUUGUCCAGUCCGGCUUCAUACCACUCUUGAUUUUCGAGCGAUGUGAAUCGUGUGGUAUCGUAGUCUGGCGGUGGCUCGUCACGGCUAGUGGAUGCGGUCUUCCGGCGAGACCGAGGUGGCGACUCAGGUGAAGGAGAUUCCUCCUCAGGCGACUCCUCAUGCAAAGAAGGUGUAUGUUCUUCACUUGACGAUGGUGUAGGAGUACGAAUACGAGCCCUCCUUGUACGAGCCAUAGUACCUAUAAACAAGAUGAGUAUUUAUUAGAAACGAUAGAAACUCACUCAUACAUGUUAAAUAGGAAUUUAAGAAAAUUUCGGCAGAGUUUCCCCUGAAAAAGGGCUAAACUCCCUGCCAAAAUGUACCCAAAUUUAAACAAAUAAACUUCCUAACACUUAUCAAAUCCAAUUCCCACAUUUAGAAAGGAUAUUAGCAGUAAAGAAAUCAUUUCAUGCAUAUUAAGUGCAAACAAUUUUAAAUUAUAUUCAUUUGCAAGAAUGAACACUCAAACACUUGAAAAUAUCUUCAAUCCAAUUCAUAACACUCGUUAACACUUAAGUUAACUACACAUGAGUCCCAAUUCAUCCAAAUACAAUUAUUUCAAGUAACAGUGGUUCAAUGUGCUUAACUUGAUCGGGAACACACACUUUUACCUAAUGGGCUAUUGCUCUAGUGAUAGCAUAUCAUUUUCAAUUGGUAUAACAGUGAUUUAUACCUCUCUGAACAAGUUCAGAUAUUCAAUGAAAGCUAAAUUCACAAGUUUAAAUCACUAAAAUGUUCAAGCCCAAAAAUUGAGAAGGAAAUCUCAAAACUAUCACUAAAUCCACAAUUCUCUCACAAAUAAACAUGAAAAUAAUUAUAACAACUGAUUUGAGCACAAUGUAGCACAAUUAUAUCAAGAAUUUUCAACAAUUAAGCUAUUUAGCAAAAUAUAUUGAAAAACUAAAAAUAUGCAAAAAUGAGAGAUAUACAAUGUCACAUAAAUUCGAAAUUUGUUACCUCAAAUAGAUGGAGUGAUGAUGGAGGAUGAUAAUGAUGCAAAAAUGGAGAACAACCAAGCCCAAAUUCGACCUCAAAAUGCAAGAUUUCAAUUCGGCCCUAUUUUGCGUCUUGAAGAUCAAAACCCCUCAAUUUGAUGUUUUUGAUUCCAAAUUGUUAAGGGUUAAUGCUCAGAAGAGGUUAGUGAAGGUUUUUGUUGUGAAAAAUUGGGAAUGUUAUGGAUGAAAUGGAAGAUUGGAGGAAAAGGAAUAGGGUUUCGAAGAGAGAGAAAAGAGAAAUCUGGAAAUUGAGGAAGCCUCGUUUCCCUUCUUAUCGCGAAAGGAUCCGAGGUCGGAUCAAUUCUGGAAGGCCUCGGAUCCGACAGGGCUCGGAUCAGUCCCAACAGAAACACAGACGAGCCCUCGAAUUUAUCUGGGUUGGAAUGGAUCCGAGGUCGGAUCAGUUGAUCCGUGGUCGGAUCUGUCUGGGCUUUUCAGGAUCCGAGCUCGGAUCUGUAUUUCUCUGCACUAAUUGCAGAAACUGCAAUUUUUUCAAACUUUUUCUCCCUUUUUCGGCUAAUUCCAAAUUACACAUUGGACAUACCUUUUCUCAAUUCCAACCUCCCACGCACAUGUAAUAUACCAUAAACAUAAUAUCCAACCUCUCAAAACACAACAAACACAUCUACAUUGAAAAUCGAGGGGUGGGGUUCUUUGAUCAUUUUUACAUUUUUACACUAAAAUGGCAUUUUUGAGCAUUAAAUGUAUAUCAAAUGAGUCCAUAAGCCUUUAUAACCAUGAUAUCACCAAAACUCAUUUGAAAUGCACAAUGUAUGUAUAUGCAUGGGAAUUUUAAGCACUUAAAACACAAUUUGAUAAGAAAAACUCCCUUUUACACAUAUUCUUCAAGUGCACCUCCGAGAUGGAUGAUAAAACUCCCGUACCUCCUACAAACAAGUGAAAUACAUCUAAUUAGUCAAUUAAAUCACACCAAAAUGUAAGAAACACCUAAAAACACACAAAUACACUAUUAUCAUUGGGUUACCUCCCAACAAGCGCUUUUGUUUAUAGUCGUUGGCUCGACAAUCCUAUAACUUCUUUAAUUCUCCUUUGCAUUUCCUAAGGAGUAAAUUACCCCUUUAGGAACUUUUUCUCCUGGCAAAUAGGGCUUCAAUCUUUGUCCAUUUACUUUAAAUGGAGAACCAUUUUCUCCUUUUAUUUCCACUGCUCCAUGCGGAAAUACUUGAGUUACUUCAAAUGGUCCCGACCAUCUUGACUUCAAUUUUCCUGGAAAUAACCUCAAGCGUGAGUUGAACAAAAGUACAUUUUGCCCUACUUGAAAUUUUUUAGGAAUAAUAUGCUUGUCAUGCCAAUAUUUGAUCUUUUCUUUAUAAAUUUUGGCAUUUUCAUAAGCAUGUAGUCGGUGUUCCUCCAAUUCACUUAGCUCAAGUAAUCGCUUUUCUCCUGCAAAAUUAAAAUCCAUGUUAAUAGAUUUAAUUGCCCAAUAAGCUUUGUGCUCAAUCUCUACAUGUAGGUGACAAGCUUUCCCAUAGACUAAACGAUACGGCGACAUCCCUAGGGGUGUCUUAAAUGCCGUUCGAUAAGCCCAUAGUGUAUCAUCUAGCUUUGUAGCCCAAUCCUUGCGUGAUUUAUUCACAGUUUUCUCUAAAAUGAGCUUUAUCUCUCUAUUAGCCAGCUCUGCUUGUCCAUUGGCUUGAGGAUGAUAUGGAAGUGAUGUCUUGUGCCUACAACCAUAUUUAAACAAUAAGGAAUCCAAUUGUUUGUUACAAAAAUGUUUCCCUUCAUCACUUACUAUGGCCUUGGGUAUACCAAAUCUACUGAAAAUAUUCUUUUUAAGGAAUCUAAGUACAAUCUUAGAGUCAUUAGUAGAUGAAGCGAUUGCUUCUACCCAUUUAGAAACAUAAUCCACUGCUACUAAGAUGUACUUAUUAUUAAAAGAACUAGGAAAUGGUCCCAUAAAAUCAAUACCCCAUACAUCAAAUAACUCAACUUCCAAGAAUGUAGUCAGGGGCAUUUCAUUUUUUCGAGAUAUAUUUCCAGUUCUUUGGCAUGCAUCACAAUUUUUAACAUAUUCCCUAGCAUCUCGGUACAUAGUUGGCCAAUAAAAUCCUGAUUGCCAUACCUUUGCCACAGUCUUUGAAGUACUGAAAUGACCAGCUGUUUCAAGGUUAUGACAAUGAUAUAAAACAUUAUGUACCUCAUCUUCAGGAAUACAUCUACGUAUCAUACCAUCGGCACAAUGUCUGUAUAGCAAUGGUUCCUCCCAAAAGUAACUUUUGACGUCAUGUAAGAAUUUCUUCUUUUGAUGAUAAUUGAACUCCUUUUGAAUCUCUCCACUGACCAAGUAGUUAGCAAAAUCUGCAUACCAUGGAGAAUUUCUAAGUGUUAGGACAAACUCAUCCGGAAAAUUCUCUUGAAUUGGAACCUGAUCUUUGAUUGGGAUAUAUUCCAAACGUGAUAAAUGAUCUGCAACUAGAUUCUCCGAUCCCUUUUUGUCUUUUAUCUCCACAUCAAAUUCCUGCAAUAAAAGAAUCCACCGAAUUAGUCUAGGUUUUGCAUCCUUCUUAUGCAGCAAAUAUUUAAGAGCUGAAUGGUCCGUAUAUAUAAUAACUUUAGAUCCUACUAAAUAGGAUCUAAAUUUGUCCAAAGCAAAUAUCACUGCCAAUAGCUCUUUUUCUGUUGUUGCAUAAUUGAGUUGUGCCUCAUUUAGCAACUUGCUAGCAUAGUAAAUGACGUGCAAUCGUCCUUCCUUCUUUUGUCCCAAAACUGCUCCAACCGCAUAAUCACUUGCAUCACACAUCAAUUCAAAUGGUAGUGACCAAUCGGGUGAAGUUAUAAUUGGGGCCGAAAUCAAUUCCUUUUUCAACCUUUCAAAUGCAACCAAACAAUUGUCAUUAAAUUGAAAAGGAGUAUCUUUGCAUAAUAAAUCACAUAAUGGCUUUACUAUUUUAGAAAAAUCUUUAAUAAAACGUCUAUAAAAGCCAGCAUGUCCUAAAAAACUCCUUAUCCCCUUGACAUUGCUUGGGGGUGGCAAUUUUUCGAUAACUUCUAUUUUGGCUUUAUCCACCUCAAUUCCCUUGGAGGAAAUCUUGUGCCCUAAGACAAUUCCUUCUUUUACCAUAAAAUGGCAUUUCUCCCAAUUCAGUACAAGAUUUAUUUCCUCGCAUCUCUGCAAAAUCAAUUCCAAAUUAUGAAGACAAUGGUCAAAAGAUGAACCGUACACAGAAAAAUCAUCCAUAAAUAUCUCCAUAAUUUUCUCAAUAUAAUCAGAAAAAAUAGCCAUCAUGCAUCGUUGAAAAGUUGCAGGAGCAUUGCAUAAACCAAAUGGCAUCCUUCUAAAGGCAAAAGUGCCAUAAGGACAUGUAAAUGUGGUCUUCUCUUGAUCCUCUGGAGCUAUAGCUAUUUGAUUAUAUCCUGAAAAACCAUCAAGAAAAUAGUAAAAUUCAUAUCCGGCUAUUCGCUCCAAUAAUUGAUCAAGAAAUGGCAGGGAAAAAUGAUCUUUUCUUGUUACCGUAUUCAACUUACGAUAAUCAAUACACACUCUCCACCCUACCACAAGUCUAGAUGGAAUUAAUUCAUCAUUUUUACCUAUGAUUGUAGUUAUUCCACCUUUCUUUGGUACCACAUGAAUUGGACUAAUCCAAACACUAUCUGAGAUAGGAAAGACUAUACCUGCAUCAAGCCACUUAAGAAUUUCAUUUCUUACCACCUCUUUCAUGUUUGGAUUGAGUCUUCUUUGUGUUUCUACCACUGGUUUGUAAUUGUCCUCCAAUAAAAUGCGAUGCAUGCAUAUUGAAGGACUUAUACCUUUAAUGUCAGCAAUUGUCCAUCCCAUUGCCUUCUUAUGCUUUCUUAAAACUCUUAGCAACUUUGUACACUGCUCAUCAUCAAGGUCAGCACUAACAAUUACACGUAAAGUACUAUUUUCUCCAAGAAAUUCAUACCUUAGAUGAGUUGGAAGUGGCUUAAGCUCUAACCUUGGAGGUUCAAUUUCUGAAGGUUGUGAAAACCCUUUUCCUUGGCCAAGAUUUUCAUACAAAUUACCCCUUUUAUAAGGUGCUUGAAAAUCCAAGUACUUGGCCAAUUCUUCAAUUUCUUCAAAAACAUCUUCUUGCUUACCUAAACUCAUUAAACAAUACUCAAGAGGAUCUAAAUCAAGGUUGACUUGACUCAUCUCUUGGGUUAGUUUAUCAAUUGUGCCAAUAGAAUAAGCAUGAUCAGUAAAAGAAGGGUAUUUUUCCAUUUCAUUCAAAUUAAAUUCUACUUCUUCUUCACCUACUUGAAACUUAAGCUUGCCAUUUUUUACAUCAAUAAUAGUACCUGCAGUAGCUAAAAAUGGUCUACCUAGAAUAAUUGGCAUAGAUAUAUCUUCUUCCAUAUCUAAUACCACAAAAUCCACUGGAAUGAUAAAUUUUUGAACUUUUAUCAAUACAUUCUCCAACACUCCCAAUGGAUAUCGAAUAGACCGAUCCGCUAGUUGCAAAGUAAUAUUUGUGCGUUUAAGUUCAUGCAAACCCAAUUGUCUAGCCACUGUUAAAGGUAUUAAUGAUACACUAGCACCAAAAUCACACAAUGCUUUAGAAAAAUCAACAUUACCUAUGGUGCAAGGUAUAGAAAAACUCCCUGGAUCCUUCAACUUUGGUGGUAGCUUAUUUUGAAUAAUUGCACUACAUUCCUCCGUUAGUGCUAUUGUUUCGCAGUCUUCCAACUUUCUUUUUCUAGUCAUGAUUUCCUUGAGAAAUUUCGCAUAAGACGGAAUCUGCAAAAUAGCAUCGGCAAAAGGAAUGUUAAUGUGCAAUUGUUUGAAAAGUUUAACAAAAUUUUCAAAAUCUUUAUCAAACUUAUUUUGCUUUAAUCUUUGUGGAAAUGGAACCGCAGGGGGUAUUGGAAUGGUAGCGGAAGAUGAUGGUCGAUUUUUUCUUGAUUCCUCCCGGCUACUUUCCUCCACUAUCGCCUCUUGGUUCCUAUGCUUUUCUUCUUGUUUUUCAUUCUCAUCUUUCUUAACUUCCACCACUGGAGGAUCUUUUAAUUGCUUACCACUACGAAGAGUAAUGGCUUUGACAUGCUUCUUAGGAUUUACCUCCGUUUUGCUAGGUAAUUCUCCUUGAUUACGAUUAUUCAAAGAACUAGCAAUUUGACCAAUUUGGACCUCUACAUUCCUGUACAUUGUAGUGAGUUGGUCCAAUCUUCCUUCUACUCGCUCAAAUCUGUCUGAAGUAACUUUUGCGAGCUUUUCCACUGCCAUCUCCCAACCAGGUUUAGUUUCAACUUGUUGUUGCCUUGAUUGAAAUCCCGGUGGAUUGGCUGGCCUUGGUUGAUUUCCUUGAUCCUUCCAUCCAAAGUUUGGAUGAUUUCUCCACCCCGGAUUGUAAGUAUUCGAGUAGGGGUUAUUUUGAGCAUUACGAUUGUAAUUAUUAACGAAUUGUACCUGCUCAGAAUCAACACACUCAUUAGUAUCAUGUUCACCUCCACAUAUAGAACAACAUGCUACAUGUGCAUUAGAUGAACUUGGACCAACUCCACUUUGUCUACUUAGCAACUUCAUCACAUUAUUCAUUUGAGGACUCAGCAUAUUGAGAGUGUCCAUUUCUAUCAUACCUGCGUGACGUCUUGUAUUACCUCUCUCAUUGGCCCAUUGGUAGUUGUUUGCAGCCAUUUCUUCUAUCAAAUUCUGAGCUUCUUGGGGUUAUUUACCCAUUAAAGCUCCACCUGCAGCUGCAUCGAUCAUAGUUUUAGUAGAAAAAACUAAACCAUUAUAGAAGGUUUGUAUGAUUAACCACUCCGGCAGUCCAUGAUGUGGACAUUUCCGAAGCAAAUCUCUAAACCUUUCCCAUGCUUCAUAUAAUGAUUCACUUUCUAAUUGGCUAAAACUAGUGAUAUCCAUUCUAAGUUUAGCAGUCUUACCUGGUGGAAAAUACUUAUUUAAGAAUGCUCUUGAUAACUCAUCCCAUCCAGUGAAAGUAUUAGGAGCAUGAGAGUGUAACCAAAGUUUGGCCUUAUCUCUCAAUGAAAAUGGGAACAAUCUUAGCCUUAUAGCAUCAUCACUAACUCCAUUCAUUUUAAUUGUAUCACAAAUUUCCAAGAAUGUAGCUAAGUGUGUAUUAGGGUCUUCUACUGCAUUACCUCCAAAUUGAGAUUGUUGAACCAUUUGGAUAAGUGCUGGUUUAAUCUCAAAAUUGUUAGCAUUUACCGUAGGCCUUGCUAUACUCGUUUGAGAUCCUUGUGUUCCCGGUAGAGCAAAAUCUCGUAGAACUCGCCUAUGUGCUUCGUUUUCUGCCAUGUCUUCUUCAAAUGGAAGCUCUAUUAAGAUAUCUUCUAUUGGCUGCCAAACCUCUUGUUUCUCUUGAUGUGAUGUACUCCUCCUUUGUCUGUGUAAUGUUCUUUCAAUUUCAGGAUCGAAAUGUGCAACUUCUCGAUUUGAUCGGUGCAUACACUACAGACAAAAACAAGAGAAAUUUUGCAGUUUAAAUUCAACAACUUGAAAUAAUAAAAAAAAAUGAAAAUAUCUAAAGUAAUAGAGAUGAUUAGGCCCUAAUAUUGCCGCUCCCCGGCAACGGCGCCAAAAACUUGACGGGAUAUUUGUAUCUAUACAAGUUUAAUUCCGAUUUUACACCCGUUGGACUGCAAGUAUACAGGUCGCAAUUGUAGUACAAGAUGUGUAUCGGGUCGAUCCCACGAGGAGCAAUUUAAACAAUUACUAAGCCCUUGUUCUCUCUAUUAUUUAGACUUACAAUUAAUUUGAGCAGAAAAAGUCUAAUGCUGUAAUCUACAAAUCUGAUAUACAAAUCUAGUUUAACAAAUACUGAAUACAAAUAGAGAAAUUUUACUUAAAGAAGAUUCUAGGGAUGUAGAUUCCACUUAUGGCAUAAACUACACAAAUGAAUGGAUUUACUCCUGGCUAUUAUUCUUGCUUAACCAGAGAUUUAUUUCCAAGAAUACCAAGUCUCAUUUUCAUGAUGAAAUGGCUUAGAGCAAUAUAGAUUUCCCUAUUUUCAUGGUGAAAUAUUCUACUACUCCGUUUUAUUUCAUGAAAUGCUCAAUAAAUCCACCUAAGUGUAUCUCUAUUUUCAUGAACAUACAACGCAAGCUCUACUCAUGUGUUUCAAUUGUUAUUACCAAUUCUCAUUGAAUAAUAACACUAUAAACAUGCUAUUGGUGAUCAAUCAACAACACGUAAUCACAGCUACACAAGUAGACAAGUUACUACAAGAUAUAACAAGUGUAAAUCACAUUCCAUUCAUAUUAUUUAACCAUAAGCUUCAUCUACUCCCUAGAUUAAGGGGUUUAGCUACUCAUGAAUGAUUUAACAAUCAAACUCACAAGUUUAUUAAUGCCAAACAUCAUGAAGUACAAGUACAAGAAAGAUAAAAGAAAGCUUAGCCACUUGAAGGUGAAACUCUCCAAUUCCUGCUAUGCUCUUACACAAUAUGAUUACAAGUAAAAACUCCAAGUACUUCUCCAAGAACUCCUAUCUAGAGAGAAACUAGAUACCAGAAAGAAAACUAGCUACGUAUGGUAAUCCCUCUUCUCCCCAGUCUUUCUGCAUAAAAAUGUGGUAGAAAUUCCAUUCCUCUCACUUCAUAAUUUCUUCCACUCAGAUUUUGUAAAAAGAGGUCAAAGAUAUGAUGUCUCCUUUUGUCCACAUUCAUUUGGUCUUCUCUUUUGUUGCAGAAGCAUGUGCCACCGAUUUCUGUCCCUCAAAAUAGCUGGAAAGUUGUGAAAAAGGUAAAGAAAAAUGGCUAUGGCACUUGCUGAGGAGAGAGACAGAUCCGAGUCUCGGAUCCGAGGAGUGAAAAUUGGAUCCGAGCUCGGAUAUUAGGAUCCGAGGGCUUCCAUGAUGGAUCCGAGGUCGGAUCGUCCUGACCUCGGAUACACUCCGCCAGAAGUACAGACUAGGGGUCGGAUCCCUCUUGUACACACAGAUCCGUGCUCGGAUCUGUGAUGAACAAUUUUCCAGUUUUUCACUUCUUCCCUUUUUCUACAUUUUUGCUCCCAAUUUCUUGUGUACUUUGUCUUCUGAAUGACCCUGACAUUUCUUUCAACUUGUGCAUGAAUUUCAUACAUCAAUUACCUUCACAAUUUCACAAAAUUAACGCAUUAAUCCACUCAUUUAUCAAUUUCUGAACUCUUAAACAAUAUUUAAGCAAUUAUCACCAAAAGAGUUCAAAUAUGGCUUUAAUCUUCUCAAAACAUAUCAAAAAUUCAUGCCAAAUUCGUACAAAAUGUACGUUAAAUAUUCACUUAUCAAAUUCCCCCACACUUGAAUCAUUGCUUGUCCUCAAGCAAUUUUACACAAAACUUAUUUCAAAUAUUCAAUAGAGAUAGAGAAAACAAUAUGCGUACUAUUGUCAAAUUUAAUUCCUCAAAAACCUAGAAAUCAAUCAUUAUGCCAUUUCUCAGAUUACACUAAAUACUCAUAAUAUUCAAUUAAAUAAAAAUAACUAUGCCUUAAUUUCAACAAAUUCAAAUCAAUUCUCUCAUUCUAUCCUAAUUUCACAAAUAAGUAAAUCACAUUAGUCAAUUUUAUGGCCUUCCUCAUUCCAAAACUUAUCAAUUUAGAGGGAUUUAUUCACAUUUCAUCUUAUUUAAAUAGUGAAAACGUCUUUUUACGCGAAAAUCAACACUUUUAGGUGAAAAUUCCCGGUUACUCAACAUUUCACUUAUUUAAAUUGCUAAGCAUACUCUUAAUUCCAAUACCUUUUUACGCGAAUGUCGACAUUUGUAAAUGCCAACCCCCGGUUACUCAGUAUGUGAAUCAUUGGAGUAGAAUAAUAAUAUUAUUCUUUUUUUUUGAAUAAUUUCUUUUUCCCUCUAAGUAUAAUUAAAGGAAGAAUUUGGCCUUGUCUUUGACUAUAUCAAUCACUUACUUAUAAAAUUAAGUAACAAUGAUAAAUAUCAUUAAUUUUGCAAAAUUCUAAGCAUAAUUUUUCUUAUUUAACCAAAUAUACUUUCUAAAAUGUAAAUAUCCUAAUUGCAUAAUAAUUCGUUCCAAGCCAAUUAAGAACUAAACUUUUCCAAAAUACACAUAGCAUUUUAUCCAAUGGAAGAAUUAGACACUUAAAAUUUUAACAUUUUGGCCAUUUAAUUGGAAGAAUUGCAAUGAAAUAUUGGAAAAUGUUUUAGAAAAAUUUCGACAGAGUUUCCCCAUAAAAAUGGAUGAAACUCCCUGCCAAAUAUCAUUAAUUUUCACAAAAAUUAUCCUCAUGACUAUCUCCACAUAUAAUUCCAACAUUUUUAAGCCAUAAACAACUAAAAUCAUGCAUUUCAAAACACAAUCACCCAUAAGAUAUGCAAUGCCUCCCCCACACUUAAAAUCUACAAUGUCCUCAUUGUAGAGGAAGGUAAAAGAACUGAAACUUCCCUCAUAUAGGUGGUGAUGCAAUUUGAAGCCCUUACUCAUCACGAUCAUCCAAUUUCUGUUCAAAAUGAGACAACAAAGGUACCAAACACCAUAAGUAGCACAAGAUGAUUCAAAUUAAAGAAAAAUAAAAACUACAACAUUUAUCUUAACAAAAGAAGAGAAAAAUAAAGAAAUAAAAGGUCGAAUCCGCUAAAAAAAACAUCAUGGCUGCUGGGAACGAGGAUCUACUGCCUCCUCGACUCCAUGAGGACCCUGUGAGGUACCAAUAUGGCCCUCCUCCUGAUGAGGUGUCGGAGUAGGGGACCGUCGGAUAUGGAAAUGAUCCUCGAUCGCACGAAGACGGCGAUCAUGUCGGUCGAGGCGCUCAAUCAUCAUCCGCUCCGUCUGGUCAAUGCGCUCGACGACUCGCGUCUCCAUACAGCAAAUAGCAUUGAGAAGCUCUUGCCACUUGGAGCGCGUUUGAGGAGGUGGUCGUGGAACCGGAGGAGGAAGAGUCUGCUGUGCCUCCGUCUCUUGAGUUUCCGCUUGAGGUUCAGUGUGAGGCGGAGGUUGAGUGGAAGUCGAUGCUUCUCCUGUGUCCCGGACCAAAGCAGCUCCAAAUUCCGUAGAAAUACCCAAGGAUUUGAGUAUUGAAACAUUUACCUCCUCGGCCGACCUAGUUAUCACCGAUCUCUCGGUUCCAAGAGGAACCUUGAGCUUCUCAAAAAUGAGGGAUAGCAGUCGAGGGAGUCCAAAACAAGUCUCGCCGGCGCUCAUGCGAGCUGUGGUCCGCAUAUAACUGAUGAUAAUGCUGGGUAGAGGAAUACCAGUCAACUGUCUACCCACUCCAUGUAUCAUCUUAUCCAGAAAAUAGAGAUCGCUAUUUCGGAUCUCUCGUUUACCACUCUUUUUCGGCACCACAUUAAAGGCAAAAAGAUAGAAGAUCAGGUGGUAACGAUGCUCAAAGGAGUCGGCAUAUACCGUGAGUUUUUUCGAACUUCCUCGCUCACGGUACUGACCCUUUAGACGUCCCACGGCUUCUCCCACUUGCCAAGGGUCUCGAGCUUUGAAUUCUUUGGUCAGUUUGACAUCUUCGCCUUCGUCUUUGAGUUGGACGAAGUGUCUCAAUGUAUCUCGAUUGAGAGUCACUCUUUUACCUCGAACCCACGAGACGAUGAGGUUGCCACUGUGGCUCUGCUUGUUCUCCACAUUGGCAUAGAACUCCCUGACCAGGUUGGGGUAGUAGUGCUUGGGCAACUGAAGGAUGUUCUCCCAUCCAAGCCUCUUGAAUGCUGUCGAAAUGUGGUAGUGCGCAUCCACCUCUGGUGCCAAGUGUUUCUCAAUUAUGAUCUCCUUGUCCAGUCCGGCUUCAUACCACUCUUGAUUUUCGAGCGAUGUGAAUCGUGUGGUAUCGUAGUCUGGCGGUGGCUCGUCACGGCUAGUGGAUGCGGUCUUCCGGCGAGACCGAGUUGGCGACUCAGGUGAAGGAGAUUCCUCCUCAGGCGACUCCUCAUGCAAAGAAGGUGUAUGUUCUUCACUUGACGAUGGUGUAGGAGUACGAAUACGAGCCCUCCUUGUACGAGCCAUAGUACCUAUAAACAAGAUGAGUAUUUAUUAGAAACGAUAGAAACUCACUCAUACAUGUUAAAUAGGAAUUUAAGAAAAUUUCGGCAGAGUUUCCCCUGAAAAAGGGCUAAACUCCCUGCCAAAAUGUACCCAAAUUUAAACAAAUAAACUUCCUAACACUUCUCAAAUCCAAUUCCCACAUUUAGAAAGGAUAUUAGCAGUAAAGAAAUCAUUUCAUGCAUAUUAAGUGCAAACAAUUUUAAAUUAUAUUCAUUUGCAAGAAUGAACACUCAAACACUUGAGAAUAUUUUCAAUCCAAUUCAUAACACUCGUUAACACUUAAGUUAACUACACAUGAGUCCCAAUUCAUCCAAAUACAAUUAUUUCAAGUAACAGUGGUUCAAUGUGCUUAACUUGAUCGGGAACACACACUUUUACCUAAUGGGCUAUUGCUCUAGUGAUAGCAUAUCAUUUUCAAUUGGUAUAACAGUGAUUUAUACAUCUCUGAACAAGUUCAGAUAUUCAAUGAAAGCUAAAUUCACAAGUUUAAAUCACUAAAAUGUUCAAGCCCAAAAAUUGAGAAGGAAAUCUCAAAACUAUCACUAAAUUCACAAUUCUCUCACAAAUAAACAUGAAAAUAAUUAUAACAACUGAUUUGAGCACAAUGUAGCACAAUUAUAUCAAGAAUUUUCAACAAUUAAGCUAUUUAGCAAAAUAUAUUGAAAAACUAAAAAUAUGCAAAAAUGAGAGAUAUACAAUGUCACAUAAAUUCGAAAUUUGUUACCUCAAAUAGAUGGAGUGAUGAUGGAGGAUGAUAAUGAUGCAAAAAUGGAGAACAACCAAGCCCAAAUUCGACCUCAAAAUGCAAGAUUUCAAUUCGGCCCUAUUUUGCGUCUUGAAGAUCAAAACCCCUCAAUUUGAUGUUUUUGAUUCCAAAUUGUUAAGGGUUAAUGCUCAGAAGAAGUUAGUGAAGGUUUUUGUUGUGAAAAAUUGGAAAUGUUAUGGAUGAAAUGGAAGAUUGGAGGAAAGGGAAUAGGGUUUCGAAGAGAGAGAAAAGAGAAAUCUGGAAAUUGAGGAACCGAGGCCUCGUUUCCCUUCUUAUCGCUAAAGGAUCCGAGGUCGGAUCAAUUCUGGAAGGCCUCGGAUCCGACAGGGCUCGGAUCAGUCCCAACAGAAACACAGACGAGCCCUCGGAUUUAUCUGGGUUGGAAUGGAUCCGAGGUCGGAUCAGUUGAUCCGUGGUCGGAUCUGUCUGGGCUUUUCAGGAUCCGAGCUCGGAUCUGUAUUUCUCUGCACUAAUUGCAGAAACUGCAAUUUUUUCAAACUUUUUCUCCCUUUUUCGGCCAAUUCCAAAUUACACAUUGGACAUACCUUUUCUCAAUUCCAACCUCCCACGCACAUGUAAUAUACCAUAAACAUAAUAUCCAACCUCUCAAAACACAACAAACACAUCUACAUUGAAAAUCGAGGGGUGGGGUUCUUUGAUCAUUUUUGCAUUUUUACACUAAAAUGGCAUUUUUGAGCAUUAAAUGUACAUCAAAUGAGUCCAUAAGCCUUUAUAACCAUGAUAUCACCAAAACUCAUUUGAAAUGCACAAUGUAUGUAUAUGCAUGGGAAUUUUAAGCACUUAAAACAUAAUUUGGUAAGAAAAACUCCCUUUUACACAUAUUCUUCAAGUGCACCUCCGAGAUGGAUGAUAAAACUCCCGUACCUCCUACAAACAAGUGAAAUACAUCUAAUUAGUCAAUUAAAUCACACCAAAAUGUAAGAAACACCUAAAAACACACAAAUACACUAUUAUCAUUGGGUUACCUCCCAACAAGCGCUUUUGUUUAUAGUCGUUGGCUCGACAAUCCUAUAAUUUCUUUAAUUCUCCUUUGCAUUUCCUAAGGAGUAAAUUACCCCUUUAGGAACUUUUUCUCCUGGCAAAUAGGGCUUCAAUCUUUGUCCAUUUACUUUAAAUGGAGAACCAUUUUCUCCUUUUAUUUCCACUGCUCCAUGCGGAAAUACUUGAGUUACUUCAAAUGGUCCCGACCAUCUUGACUUCAAUUUUCCUGGAAAUAACCUCAAGCGUGAGUUGAACAAAAGUACAUUUUGCCCUACUUGAAAUUUUUUAGGAAUAAUAUGCUUGUCAUGCCAAUAUUUGAUCUUUUCUUUAUAAAUUUUGGCAUUUUCAUAAGCAUGUAGUCGGUGUUCCUCCAAUUCACUUAGCUCAAGUAAUCGCUUUUCUCCUGCAAAAUUAAAAUCCAUGUUAAUAGAUUUAAUUGCCCAAUAAGCUUUGUGCUCAAUCUCUACAUGUAGGUGACAAGUUUUCCCAUAGACUAAACGAUACGGCGACAUCCCUAGGGGUGUCUUAAAUGCCGUUCGAUAAGCCCAUAGUGUAUCAUCUAGCUUUGUAGACCAAUCCUUGCGUGAUUUAUUCACAGUUUUCUCCAAAAUGAGCUUUAUCUCUCUAUUAGCCAGCUCUGCUUGUCCAUUGGCUUGAGGAUGAUAUGGAAGUGAUGUCUUGUGCCUACAACCAUAUUUAAACAAUAAGGAAUCCAAUUGUUUGUUACAAAAAUGUUUCCCUUCAUCACUUACUAUGGCCUUGGGUAUACCAAAUCUACUGAAAAUAUUCUUUUUAAGCAAUCUAAGUACAAUCUUAGAGUCAUUAGUAGAUGAAGCGAUUGCUUCUACCCAUUUAGAAACAUAAUCCACUGCUACUAAGAUGUACUUAUUAUUAAAAGAACUAGGAAAUGGUCCCAUAAAAUCAAUACCCCAUACAUCAAAUAACUCAACUUCCAAGAAUGUAGUCAGGGGCAUUUCAUUUUUUCGAGAUAUAUUUCCAGUUCUUUGGCAUGCAUCACAAUUUUUAACAUAUUCCCUAGCAUCUCGGUACAUAGUUGGCCAAUAAAAUCCUGAUUGCCAUACCUUUGCCACAGUCUUUGAAGUACUGAAAUGACCACCUGUUUCAAGGUUAUGACAAUGAUAUAAAACAUUAUGUACCUCAUCUUCAGGAAUACAUCUACGUGUCAUACCAUCGGCACAAUGUCUGUAUAGCAAUGGUUCCUCCCAAAAGUAACUUUUGACGUCAUGUAAGAAUUUCUUCUUUUGAUGAUAAUUGAACUCCUUUUGAAUCUCUCCACUGACCAAGUAGUUAGCAAAAUCUGCAUACCAUGGAGAAUUUCUAAGUGCUAGGACAAACUCAUCCGGAAAAUUCUCUUGAAUUGGAACCUGAUCUUUGAUUGGGAUAUAUUCCAAAAGUGAUAAAUGAUCUGCAACUAGAUUCUCCGAUCCCUUUUUGUCUUUUAUCUCCACAUCAAAUUCCUGCAAUAAAAGAAUCCACCGAAUUAGUCUAGGUUUUGCAUCCUUCUUAUGCAGCAAAUAUUUAAGAGCUGAAUGGUCCGUAUAUAUAAUAACUUUAGAUCCUACUAAAUAGGAUCUAAAUUUGUCCAAAGCAAAUAUCACUGCCAAUAGCUCUUUUUCUGUUGUUGCAUAAUUGAGUUGUGCCUCAUUUAGCAACUUGCUAGCAUAGUAAAUGACGUGCAAUCGUCCUUCCUUCUUUUGUCCCAAAACUGCUCCAACCGCAUAAUCACUUGCAUCACACAUCAAUUCAAAUGGUAGUGACCAAUCGGGUGAAGUUAUAAUUGGGGCCGAAAUCAAUUCCUUUUUCAACCUUUCAAAUGCAACCAAACAAUUGUCAUUAAAUUGAAAAGGAGUAUCUUUGCAUAAUAAAUCACAUAAUGGCUUUACUAUUUUAGAAAAAUCUUUAAUAAAACGUCUAUAAAAGCCAGCAUGUCCUAAAAAACUCCUUAUCCCCUUGACAUUGCUUGGGGGUGGCAAUUUUUCGAUAACUUCUAUUUUGGCUUUAUCCACCUCAAUUCCCUUGGAGGAAAUCUUGUGCCCUAAGACAAUUCCUUUUUUUACCAUAAAAUGGCAUUUCUCCCAAUUCAGUACAAGAUUUAUUUCCUCGCAUCUCUGCAAAAUCAAUUCCAAAUUAUGAAGACAAUGGUCAAAAGAUGAACCGUACACAGAAAAAUCAUCCAUAAAUAUCUCCAUAAUUUUCUCAAUAUAAUCAGAAAAAAUAGCCAUCAUGCAUCGUUGAAAAGUUGCAGGAGCAUUGCAUAAACCAAAUGGCAUCCUUCUAAAGGCAAAAGUGCCAUAAGGACAUGUAAAUGUGGUCUUCUCUUGAUCCUCUGGAGCUAUAGCUAUUUGAUUAUAUCCUGAAAAACCAUCAAGAAAACAGUAAAAUUCAUAUCCGGCUAUUCGCUCCAAUAAUUGAUCAAGAAAUGGCAGGAAAAAAUGAUCUUUUCUUGUUACCGUAUUCAACUUACGAUAAUCAAUACACACUCUCCACCCUACCACAAGUCUAGAUGGAAUUAAUUCAUCAUUUUUACCUAUGAUUGUAGUUAUUCCACCUUUCUUUGGUACCACAUGAAUUGGACUAAUCCAAACACUAUCUGAGAUAGGAAAGACUAUACCUGCAUCAAGCCACUUAAGAAUUUCAUUUCUUACCACCUCUUUCAUGUUUGGAUUGAGUUUUCUUUGUGUUUCUACCACUGGUUUGUAAUUGUCCUCCAAUAAAAUGCGAUGCAUGCAUAUUGAAGGACUUAUACCUUUAAUGUCAGCAAUUGUCCAUCCCAUUGCCUUCUUAUGCUUCCUUAAAACUCUUAGCAACUUUGUACACUGCUCAUCAUCAAGGUCAGCACUAACAAUUACACGUAAAGUACUAUUUUCUCCAAGAAAUUCAUACCUUAGAUGAGUUGGAAGUGGCUUAAGCUCUAACCUUGGAGGUUCAAUUUCUGAAGGUUGUGAAAACCCUUUUCCUUGGCCAAGAUUUUCAUACAAAUUACCCCUUUUAUAAGGUGCUUGAAAAUCCAAGUACUUGGCCAAUUCUUCAAUUUCUUCAAAAACAUUUUCUUGCUUACCUAAACUCAUUAAACAAUACUCAAGAGGAUCUAAAUCAAGGUUGACUUGACUCAUCUCUUGGGUUAGUUUAUCAAUUGUGCCAAUAGAAUAAGCAUGAUCAGUAAAAGAAGGGUAUUUUUCCAUUUCAUUCAAAUUAAAUUCUACUUCUUCUUCACCUACUUGAAACUUAAGCUUGCCAUUUUUUACAUCAAUAAUAGUACCUGCAGUAGCUAAAAAUGGUCUACCUAGAAUAAUUGGCAUAGAUAUAUCUUCUUCCAUAUCUAAUACCACAAAAUCCACUGGAAUGAUAAAUUUUUGAACUUUUAUCAAUACAUUCUCCAACACUCCCAAUGGAUAUCGAAUAGACCGAUCCGCUAGUUGCAAAGUAAUAUUUGUGCGUUUAAGUUCAUGCAAACCCAAUUGUCUAGCCACUGUUAAAGGUAUUAAUGAUACACUAGCACCAAAAUCACACAAUGCUUUAGAAAAAUCAACAUUACCUAUGGUGCAAGGUAUAGAAAAACUCCCUGGAUCCUUCAACUUUGGUGGUAGCUUAUUUUGAAUAAUUGCACUACAUUCCUCCGUUAGUGCUAUUGUUUCGCAGUCUUCCAACUUUCUUUUUCUAGUCAUGAUUUCCUUGAGAAAUUUCGCAUAAGACGGAAUCUGCAAAAUAGCAUCGGCAAAAGGAAUGUUAAUGUGCAAUUGUUUGAAAAGUUUAACAAAAUUUUCAAAAUCUUUAUCAAACUUAUUUUGCUUUAAUCUUUGUGGAAAUGGAACCGCAGGGGGUAUUGGAAUGGUAGCGGAAGAUGAUGGUCGAUUUUUUCUUGAUUCCUCCCGGCUACUUUCCUCCACUAUCGCCUCUUGGUUCCUAUGCUUUUCUUCUUGUUUUUCAUUCUCAUCUUUCUUAACUUCCACCACUGGAGGAUCUUUUAAUUGCUUACCACUACGAAGAGUAAUGGCUUUGACAUGCUUCUUAGGAUUUACCUCCGUUUUGCUAGGUAAUUCUCCUUGAUUACGAUUAUUCAAAGAACUAGCAAUUUGACCAAUUUGGACCUCUACAUUCCUGUACAUUGUAGUGAGUUGGUCCAAUCUUCCUUCUACUCGCUCAAAUCUGUCUGAAGUAACUUUUGCGAGCUUUUCCACUGCCAUCUCCCAACCAGGUUUAGUUUCAACUUGUUGUUGCCUUGAUUGAAAUCCCGGUGGAUUGGCUGGCCUUGGUUGAUUUCCUUGAUCCUUCCAUCCAAAGUUUGGAUGAUUUCUCCACCCCGGAUUGUAAGUAUUCGAGUAGGGGUUAUUUUGAGCAUUACGAUUGUAAUUAUUAACGAAUUGUACCUGCUCAGAAUCAACACACUCAUUAGUAUCAUGUUCACCUCCACAUAUAGAACAACAUGCUACAUGUGCAUUAGAUGAACUUGGACCAACUCCACUUUGUCUACUUAGCAACUUCAUCACAUUAUUCAUUUGAGUACUCAGCAUAUUGAGAGUGUCCAUUUCUAUCAUACCUGCGUGACGUCUUGUAUUACCUCUCUCAUUGGCCCAUUGGUAGUUGUUUGCAGCCAUUUCUUCUAUCAAAUUCUGAGCUUCUUGGGGUUAUUUACCCAUUAAAGCUCCACCUGCAGCUGCAUCGAUCAUAGUUUUAGUAGAAAAAACUAAACCAUUAUAGAAGGUUUGUAUGAUUAACCACUCCGGCAGUCCAUGAUGUGGACAUUUCCGAAGCAAAUCUCUAAACCUUUCCCAUGCCUCAUAUAAUGAUUCACUUUCUAAUUGGCAAAAACUAGUGAUAUCCAUUCUAAGUUUAGCAGUCUUACCUGGUGGAAAAUACUUAUUUAAGAAUACUCUUGAUAACUCAUCCCAUCCAGUGAAAGUAUUAGGAGCAUGAGAGUGUAACCAAAGUUUGGCCUUAUCUCUCAAUGAAAAUGGGAACAAUCUUAGCCUUAUAGCAUCAUCACUAACUCCAUUCAUUUUAAUUGUAUCACAAAUUUCCAAGAAUGUAGCUAAGUGUGUAUUAGGGUCUUCUACUGCAUUACCUCCAAAUUGAGAUUGUUGAACCAUUUGGAUAAGUGCUGGUUUAAUCUCAAAAUUGUUAGCAUUUACCGUAGGCCUUACUAUACUCGUUUGAGAUCCUUGUGUUCCCGGUAGAGCAAAAUCUCGUAGAACUCGCCUAUGUGCUUCGUUUUCUGCCAUGUCUUCUUCAAAUGGAAGCUCUAUUAAGAUAUCUUCUAUUGGCUGCCAAACCUCUUGUUUCUCUUGAUGUGAUGUACUCCUCCUUUGUCUGUGUAAUGUUCUUUCAAUUUCAGGAUCGAAAUGUGCAACUUCUCGAUUUGAUCGGUGCAUACACUACAGACAAAAACAAGAGAAAUUUUGCAGUUUAAAUUCAACAACUUGAAAUAAUAAAAAAAAAUGAAAAUAUCUAAAGUAAUAGAGAUGAUUAGGCCCUAAUAUUGCCGCUCCCCGGCAACGGCGCCAAAAACUUGACGGGAUAUUUGUAUCUAUACAAGUUUAAUUCCGAUUUUACACCCGUUGGACUGCAAGUAUACAGGUCGCAAUUGUAGUACAAGAUGUGUAUCGGGUCGAUCCCACGAGAAGCAAUUUAAACAAUUACUAAGCCCUUGUUCUCUCUAUUAUUUAGACUUACAAUUAAUUUGAGCAGAGAAAGUCUAAUGCUGUAAUCUACAAAUCUGAUAUACAAAUCUAGUUUAACAAAUACUGAGUACAAAUAGAGAAAUUUUACUUAAGGAAGAUUCUAGGGAUGUAGAUUCCACUUAUGGCAUAAACUACACAAAUGAAUGGAUUUACUCCUUGCUAUUAUUCUUGCUUAACCAGAGAUUUAUUUCCAAGAAUACCAAGUCUCAUUUUCAUGAUGAAAUGGCUUAGAGCAAUAUAGAUUUCCCUAUUUUCAUGGUGAAAUAUUCUACUACUCCGUUUUAUUUCAUGAAAUGCUCAAUAAUCCACCUAAGUGUAUCUCUAUUUUCAUGAACAUACAACUCAAGCUCUACUCAUGUAUUUCAAUUGUUAUUACCAAUUCUCAUUGAAUAAUAACACUAUAAAUAUGCUAUUGGUGAUCAAUCAACAACACGUAAUCACAGCUACACAAGUAGACAAGUUACUACAAGAUAUAACAAGUGUAAAUCACAUUCCAUUCAUAUUAUUUAACCAUAAGCUUCAUCUACUCCCUAGAUUAAGGGGUUUAGCUACUCAUGAAUGAUUUAAUAAUCAAACUCACAAGUUUAUUAAUGCCAAACAUCAUGAAGUACAAGUACAAGAAAGAUAAAAGAAAGCUUAGCCACUUGAAGGUGAAGCUCUCCAAUUCCUGCUAUGCUCUUGCACAAUAUGAUUACAAGUAAAAACUCCAAGUACUUCUCCAAGAACUCCUAUCUAGAGAGAAACUAGAUACCAGAAAGAAAACUAGUUACGUAUGGUAAUCCCUCUUCUCCCCAAUCUUUCUGCAUAAAAAUGUGGUAGAAAUUCCAUUCCUCUCACUUCAUAAUUUCUUCCACUCAGAUUUUGUAAAAAGAGGUCAAAGAUAUGAUGUCUCCUUUUGUCCACAUUCAUUUGGUCUUCUCUUUUGUUGCAGAAGCAUGUGCCACCGAUUUCUGUCCCUCAAAAUAGCUGGAAAGUUAUGAAAAAGGUAAAGAAAAACGGCUAUGGCACUUGCUGAGGAGAGAGACAGAUCCGAGCCUCGGAUCCGAGGAGUGAAAAUUGGAUCCGAGCUCGGAUAUUAGGAUCUGAGGGCUUCCAUGAUGGAUCCGAGGUCGGAUCGUCCUGACCUCGGAUACACUCCGCCAGAAGUACAGACUAGGGGUCGGAUCCCUCUUGUACACACAGAUCCGUGCUCGGAUCUGUGUUGAACAAUUUUCCAGUUUUUCACUUCUUCCCUUUUUCUACAUUUUUGCUCCCAAUUUCUUGUGUACUUUGUCUUCUGAAUGACCCUGACAUUUCUUUCAACUUGUGCAUGAAUUUCAUACAUCAAUUACCUUCACAAUUUCACAAAAUUAACGCAUUAAUCCACUCAUUUAUUAAUUUCUGAACUCUUAAACAAUAUUUAAGCAAUUAUCACCAAAAGAGUUCAAAUAUGGCUUUAAUCUUCUCAAAACAUACCAAAAAUUCAUGCCAAAUUCGUACAAAAUGUACGUUAAAUAUUCACUUAUCAAGGAACCUCUUUAGGAAUUUGAUUGGUAUUAGGAAACCAAUCAAUUAAGCAAUUUGGCAGGGAGAAUUCAGCAUAUAGCUCUUGCUUAGGAACAAAGCAUAGUUAUUCUUGUUUUCUUGACCGAUUGACAAGAAGACAAUUGGAAAGCUUCGAACAGAUUUUUGCAUGGCUUGUUCUCCAUUAAUGGAGAACUAAUUUCAUAUUUCUAGUCAAGGGGACAAUUGAAGAUUUGGUUCAACAAUAACUGUGAGAUCUAAAUUAUUUUAAUUGCUUCUUUCAUUCAUUGGUAUUUAUAUGUUUUUUGCUUUUAAUGGCUAUGACUACUGUGUAUGAUUGAAUAGUUGCGCAAUAUUUAAUUAUUCACGUAGUCUAUUUGCUAAUUGGGGGUAGUUGAAUCCGUAAUUGUUUGAUUACUCCAUCCCGGUAGCAACUAGCAUGAUUGGUUUCAUGUUAGGAAAACGUAUGAUAUAACUUAAAUGAACCCUCGUAGUGUGUUUGUUGGUUAGAGUUGGGCUUUUCCAAUUCUUAUUGCAAUCGAAAAAUGAAAUCCUAUGAUCGUAUUUAGGGUUAUUUCUUGUUUGGUGAAAUAGUUAAUGAUCAUACCUUAACUAUCGAAAAAGUAAGGAAAGGCUGGUUGUUUAUCGCAUGCAUGACAACUAUAACCAAUCUAUUAAUGAGUAAUUGAAUUAUCUUUGCAUCGAUGAUCAGUUGAAUGAACCGUGUCUGAAAAGUUGCACCUUUGAUUAGAAUCGUAUUGGUUAUUGAUUAAUUCAUGUUUAUUUCUGUUAGUUGUUUCAUUAGUUAGUUAAUUAGUUAUUUUAUAUUCUCCAAAAACCCCCCAUACUUCAGACCCUGGAAGAAACGAAUUAUCCCCAAUCCCUGUGGAUUCGACCCUACUUGCCCAAUAUACAAAUUAGAGAUUUUUCGUGAAUAAAUUCUGGUAUAUCGGAUUUAGCAAACUCUUCGGAACCAGGAUGAAUCUAGUAACCCAUUGCACAUCUAGAGUCCCUGCUCCAGUACCAGAAUUGACACGAAGUUGCUUCCGUUGGCAAUUAGGAUUAUUAAUAUUAUUAUUACACAGACUCGAUACCUGUCAAUACUCACCUAACAAACCUCCACCCGAGGAAAUUUUUUUUUAAAAAAAUCUACAUUAGGGUAUACAUUAGCAGAAAAUGAAAAAAAAAAAAAACUUUAGACUGCAAUCUAGUAACAUGUGUCCCAGGUGCACAAAGAAAUUGAAACAUAUAGAGCUUUGAUUGUCAAAAGUAGCACUAGUACUCCUCGGAGUUUAAUUCAAAUACAGAUGAUCAAAUAUGAGUGACGCCUUGCGCAUAGCGGCAAUAGAAAACUAUGAAAGGAUAUGCCACGGUGUGUCAGCCAACCGUCUUUAGAGUUGAAAUUCUUUCAGGAGCUUCUGUGAUUGUAUGGUUUUGUAAUCUAGCAGCAUCAGAUUUUGUGAGGCGAUGCGUUGAUGAAACUUGGGUAUUGGUAUUCAAUCCCAAGAUCUUUCAUGUAAAAUGACUCGGAUGCGGCAAAAGCCUUGGAUUCUCUGCUCCGGUCAACUUGAAAUUGGACUAGUCCCAGCACUUUAGGAAGUUGGUUAUUAGCACAUUUAAAUUUUUAUACUAAUUGUAGUAAGUAAUAUUUGGAGGGACCAUAAGUUCAGGUUGAAAAGAGGCAUGGUGAAAAUCUUUCCAAAUACAGACCCUACUACUUGUACAAAUAAAAGAGAGAACAAAAAUAUAUAACCCAUUAACACAUACUAAAAGUUUUUACAGCAAUUACAUGGUGAAUUCAUUAAAUUAGGCAUUUGGUUGACUUUGACAUGUGUGUCAAGUCAAAACAUUGUCAAAAAUUGCAACUUAUUGUAUACUGAUUUACUCGGCAAAAAUAAAUUUAGUUAAUUAUUUAUUGAUAGGAAAAAACUUUUAAAAUUUUGUUUUUCUUAAUAGAUACAUCGAAUGCCAUUGUUAAUCUCCACGUACUUUGAGGCACCAUUAUUGCCAACCUUGCGUCUAAGCAUUUAUCCAUACAAAAAUAGGUGAUUUUAAAAGCUAAAGACAUUUUUCAACCUUUAAAUGUAUUUUAAUAUGCAUAAACAACACGCUUAACCGCAUGUAUUUAUAAACUUUGCCACUGGAUAAUGCCUAAUUGGCCGUAACAAAUGAAGUUUCGGUACUUGAGGUGACGCACUAGUGAAACCAUGCAUUCCAGGGAUAAGAAUUAAACUUGGAAAUCUGAAAGAUAACUAAAGAAUAAAUAUUAGAAUCAAUAAUAUAAAAAAAAAAAGUUUCCAAAUCAAAUCAAAAUUAUUGAAAAUUGACCAAAGCUCAAAUCCAAAUCAAAUAAAUCCUUACACGUUAAACCCACGAGAAACCUGUUAUCAAGAGGUGCAAUUACCACUUGAUAAAACUCCAAUGUAGCUAUCACCUCGUGGAUCACACAUAUGUUGGGUCCUCUUAAUUAUUUUCAGUUGGUACGAAAUCAUUCAGAUAUGAUUUCCGUGACAAAUUCUGAGUGUAACGCAAUAUUCACCUCAACCAGUUGAGACAUUGUCUGAUAACCAUGAAAUUUGACUCUCCAAUUCUUGGGUUUUGCCUCUCUCUUUAUAAGGUGUAGAAUGUGGGUUUUCUUUCGAAUGAACCUGGUUCUAAAGAAUGCUAACUGGCUGACAAUUGCGGAAGUUUUUGUGCAUAUCUCUACCAUGAAGCCAAUCAAAAUGUGAAUGGACUAGACAUAAAGGGCAGUAGUUUAAAAUUUGUAGUGAAAUUAACUUAAUUACCUCAAUGGGAUUGAACUAAAAAAUGCAAUCUUCUAUUCAGACAAAAUUCAUAAGUUCUAAGUUCAUUAAGAAAGAUCAAUGCCUGUCAUAUUAAUGCAAAAUUAUUGAUAACAACAAGAAGGAUACUUUUAGAGGUGACAUAGUCUAGAGUCCAUGCAUCUAACCCACUCUCUUGACAUAGAUCGGAGUUCAGUGAGCGUUAAACUCAAGUCCAUUGGCCAAAAAAAAAGAAAAAAAAAAAAAAGACUCAAGUCUAUUCAAAAAACCAAACAUUGGACUCCAAACCAGUGAUGUCGAAUUGAUUAUCCAUGGACGCUAAAACCGCCAGAAACAAGUCAUCAAGAGGUGAAACUACCACAUACGACAAUACCCAAUUAUUUAGCAAAUCAAGGAUAAGGAUUAGGACUGUCAAUGGGGCUGAGCCAGCCCGAGCUCGGCUCGUUCGGCCCGACAGAAAACCCGAUGAGCCCUAUCAUUUAGUGAGUCGGUCUGAGCUUGAGCCUAAAAAUUAGGCCCGAAUUAAAUGUGAGCCGAGCUUGGGCCUUAUUAGGCUCAAACCCGAUAUAGGCCCGACCCUUUAAUUACCUAUAUAUAUAAUAUUUAUAUUUUGAUAUUAUGUAUAAUUAUAUAUCCAAAUAUAUUUUUACUAAAUACUAAAUAUAUAUAUAAAUUACAAAACACAAAAAUACAUCUAAAGACUCUUUCAUGAGCUUUCUUGAGAGCCAAUAUUAGUAAUGCAUAACUAAAUCUCUAAUUUUUCUUAUUGGUUGAGUAAAUUUUUGUAUUGGCAUAUUAUUGGUUGAUUUUUUUUUGGUCUACAAACACAAAAAUCAUCAAGCAUGUUCGGAUUUAAAUCACAAGAUUAUAAAAAAAAAGUUUCAACUUUUAAAGAUGCAUUGGCUUAUGAUCGCAUGUUUUAUUACUAUUUUUCAUGCAUUUUAAAAGGAUUAAAUAUAAAUAUUGUUGAAAAUUUUUUUGGUUUAUAUACUUUUUAAGAACUAUUAUUUGUUCAUGUUUAGUUUUAAUAUUAUAGUCUUGUAUAUGUUAAAUUAGUUUUACAACUUAAUAGUUAUAGUAAUUAUAUUAAGAAAAUUAAGGAGUAAUAAGUGAGCAUGGGCUAAACCCGAUUAAGGCUCACAACCCAAAUAUUAUAUGAGCUAAGUAUGAGUUUCACAUUUACGAACCCGAAACUCAUAGCCCGAAGCCCAAAAAUGUUUCAAAUUAAAUGAGUUAAACUUGAACUCAUCAAAGCCCGGCUCAUUAGGCCCGAUUGACAGGCCUAAUAAGGAUCAGACAAGUAUCAGGGUAUUAAUAGUCCUCUAUAUUAUUUAUUUGCAGCUGGUACGAAGUCAAUUAAUCAGAGAUACCCACCAAAUGACACAACUUAAGACUUGAAGGAAAAAUAUGAUUGCUGAAGAAUCGUUAUCAGAAUCAAAUCAUUGCACCUUAAAUACAACUUUUUUGGAUUCAGUUAGGUUUGCAUCGAGGUGGAGAAGAUCUCAAUUACAUACAAGCAAUUAACAGCAGAAGAAACAUAGCUUUAAUAUCUGAUUCUAGUAAUGGUUUCUGGCAAAGAAUACGUUGUCCUUCACGAGUAAUGUUUCUAGAAACAAUCUUUAUAUUUUUUGUGUUUAAAAUAACUUGAAGAAUACGGCAAAAGUAAACUUUGGUUUGUGGACUGAUGAGUAAACACUAUGAAAUGAUGAGUAAACAUCAACACUAUAUGUCUGGAAAGAGAGGAAUUACAUUAUUUUUAGCAACAAGGUUACUAAAAUUGGGGGUUAUUAUAACUUUAUCCCUUUAAACUAUAGUGCUAAUAUCAAUUUACCUUUUUAACAUUAUUUUGCAGGCAUUUGACCUCGCAGUUAUUCUCCUUUUUCAUUCUAAGAGGACCAAGAAAAAAUGUAAAAGGGUUCCCUUUUCUUUUUCAUUCUCAACUAUUAAGAAAAAAAAAAAGAAAUUGAAUAGAGGUUGACAGAAAACUCAAUUUCAGAAAAAAGGAAAAUAAAGAAGAAUCCAAUAUUAUAAUUAAUUUAAAAUAAGUUAGAGUGGGCGGUAGGGGUGAAGAGUAAGUAGUAAUUUUAAAAUAAUAAGCACAUUGGAUUCUGUAUUAUUUUUAUUUUCUUUUUUAAAAUUGAGUUAUCUCUCUAUUUUCUUAUUUUAAGUAUUGAUAAGUACACGAGGAAAAAAAGAAGAAGACAUUUUUUUGACUUUUUUCCCCUUGUUAUUAAAGAGGGUGGAAAAAAGGGAGAAGACACUUUUUUAUUUUUUUUCUUGGUAUUAAAAGGGUGAAAAAGGGGGAAAAAACCAUUCCAAUUUUUUUAAAAUUUUUAAUCAUACAGGAGAGGGAUGUAUUUCUUCUAAAAUAUUAGGUAAAUUAUAUAUAAUUUCCUGUGUUUUCAUCUAUUGCCACAUGAUUCCCAAAACAUUUUAGGGUUUUAUGCGGCUGAUGUAAGGGAAAAAAUUCAUAUUAAUACCUCAAAUUUCCCUUAAGGAGUUUUUAUAUUUAAAUCAAAUUAUUCAAUGAAUAUAUUUUUGUUUUUCUCCUAGUCUCAAAGAGUCUUGCCUCAGGCCUAAAUCAUUUCCGCUAUAUUCCUUUGGCCAAAUUUACAAUCGUAUAUUUGUGUUUGUAGCCGUUGAUUGAACUUUAGUCUUAGGAAAAAUGAUAACAAAUGGAAAGAGUGAGAUACAAGUCAAUUAAAAAACAUGAUUAACACUAGAAUUUGUGAGACAUGGAGACUUGGAUUAUAAAAAGGAUAAGAAAACUUGAAUAGGUGAAAAAAGGUGCAUUAAAACUAUACGAAAGAAGUAGCAUAACAGUGAUAUAGUAUUUGGUGAUGAGCAGAUUCUUGGUGAUAUGUUUUUUAAGUUUGAUAGGCAUUUUAUUACUUUUGGGAAGAUUAUUAUAAUCAUUUUGAGUCCUUAAGAAAAGCAUGGAAGUAUAAUAUUUGAAUAUAGAGGUGGGCAACGUGAGAUUAUCAGAAAUCUUAGAAGAAGUUUUUGAAAUUAUCCUUUGCUGUAAUACUAUUCUUUUUUUUUUCUACUUUGUGAUUAUUGAUUUCCACAUUCACACUCGAAAUGCUAAGGCAAAAAGCAAAAUUCAAGUAGUGGGUUGGUGGCUCAGCUCAUAUGAUUCUGAAAUACAACGAUUUAUUGGGCACAUUCUACCCAGUAUUGUCUGUUGGCAGAUUUGGAAAGCAAGGAAUAAAGCAAUGUUUGAGGAUAUUCAGAUGAGGCCGCUUGCCAUUUGUCGUGCCAUUUUCUCGGAAAUCCAGACCAUUGUGGGAAUUUAUUUCAAACAAGUGUUCAGAGUACAGUCAUUUCAUCAUUUGUAUGAUUGGUCGUAUUCUUCUCAUACUGAGGUUACAUACAAACUUGUUCGUUGGGAAGCAAAGGAAUCCGAUCGGUUCAUAUUAAAUACGGAUGGCUGUUCUAAGGGCAAUCCAGGGAGUGAGUGGAGGCGGUGGGGUUCUUCGGGAUUCAAAUGGCAUACCUUUGAUUGGCUUUUCGGCAUAUCUUGGGGAAACUACAAGUCUAUGUGCAGAGGUUCGGGCACUCCUUAUUGGGCUUCAAACUUGUGUACAUAGGGGUUUUCAAAAUCUCUAUGUUCAAUCGGAUUCUUUAUUAUUAGUUGGAAUUCUUCAGAAUCGCAUUCAAUGCCCCUGGAAGAUUCGACGAGAGAUUAGGCAGAUUUGGCAGUUGGUGAAAGAUCCUGAUCGUUUUUCGCAUUGCUAUAGGGAAGCUAACAAAGUUGCUGAUGCGCUGUCCAAUGUGGGCGUAUUUCAUCCAGAGCAUCAAGUCAAGCUUUACGAGGCCUUUAAUUCGUUCCCAACUAUGGCUCGUGGGGCCAUUCGACUUGAUAGAUUAGGAAUGCCUUCAAUUCGGAAAAGUAAGCGUAUGAAGGGCUGAGAACAAAGGACAACUGGAGCUAAUAUGCGGUUGCGGUUGCGGUUGAAUGAGACAUGGAGGUUUUGUGUGCUUUAUUACCUUUUCAGUCGAUUGCUGUACUUCGAAUUGGUCUUUCUCAAUGUGUAAAAUUUGCUCCUAUCAAUAAAAUAAACUAAUAUUUAAUUAAAAAAAAAAGCAAAAUUCAAGGAUGAAAAUGAAAAAAAAAAAAAAAGACAAGGUUAUAAACAUAGGGAAAGACUCUAUAUUUGAUUAAUGCUAAAAUAUUAUAAAAUGAUUAUAGAAUUUCUUUUUCAUUUUUUAUGAGUGACAUUUUUAUUAAGAAAAUUUAGUAGGGGAAUGAUGGGAUUUAAAAAGUGAAAAAAGAACAAAGAGAUCAAAAUUCAGGAUCUCUAAUUCUUGGGAGUAACAUGAUAAUAUUAUUUCUAAAAAUCCAAUAUCAAAUCCUAUUGGUGUAAUAUAAAGGAAUUUGGAUGAUUGAAGUGUUUAAAAUAUAAAAUACUUCUAAAUUAUAAUAUCUUAUUCAUUAGUCGAAUGUGGAAUCUUAUGUUUGUUGCCCCUUUCUUUUUUGCUUUGGAUUUGGGUUUUGAACUUUGAGUAUGAAUUGAGUAAGAUUAUAGCAUGAGAAGGUUCAUCAUGUUCAUUUAAUUAAGGUCUUCCUGCAUUUAAAAUGGGAGCUUACAUGACAAAAAAAAAAAGAUUAAAAUGGUAAUAAUUUACAAAAGAGCAUCAUAGUGGGAACAUUUUUCCUAAAAAAGGUCAUUUCAGAACUAAAUUCCGUGAAUCCAUGGUUUCAUGUGGGGUUUCUUUUCAUGGACGUGAUUAACAUCAUGUCUCUUAUCAUUUCGAUGAGGAUUAUUAACAUCCAAGUCCUAGAGCCUGAUUGCAUUAGUACUAUCCUUGGCCUUGGGUAUAAUAUCACAAGUUCCUCCCUGUAAAGGUUGCAAUGCGUUUUAAGAGAGUGAGAAUUAAGUAUAUCACGGGAAAAAAAAAAUUAAUGGCAAAGUAACUUACCAGAACAACCAACAGAUGGAGGAGGAUAAUCCAACAAGCAAGUCCUUUGGAAUCCAUCAAUUGGUAGGUUUUAUAUCCCUUGCAACUCCUCCUUUGAAGGAUUAGGCAACAGCAGAAGCAAAUGCCAAAUAUUACAUAUCGAUGAAAAGUGUGCUUGAUUAGAAGGUUCUUUUUCAAAUAGUCGAUUAAAAUAUGACCCCUUGACAGAUAGUGUUUCUUAUUGAGGUUGAAAAAUGAACCAAAUUAUUUGAUACUCAAAUCAAAUUUGGCUAAAGAAAAGUUUGUUUGAACUUAGUUUGCCAACUAAUCAAUUUAAAAUUUAAGAAGUAUUAUUAUGUGUUAGAUUAACUAUCAAAUUUGGCAUUAACUUGGCUUGAUUAACAUAAAAUUAGAAUUUACAAGUAAAAAAUUCAAGUUACUCAAGUUCGACUCAUGCUCGAUUCUAUAAAAAAACUCAUUUGAGUUUGGCUUAAUUAAUAAACAAGUCAAAUUUGAAGACCUUCCUCUUAAAAAAAUUUUUAAAAAAUCAAGUUUGAGUACAGUUUUAAGUUUAUUAAAUAAUCUAACAAGUUUGAAUACUAGAACAUUGAAUCUAGUAGACCUACACAAAAUCACUAAAUUUAUUUUAGACCAUAACUGUAGAUUGUUUAGAAAAAAAAGGACCAAAAUGUAGACCUACCCACGUGAUGCAAACCAACCAGCCACGUGAUCCAUGCUGUAACCUUGCUAGCUUCACUUAGCUAUCGCCUUGUAUAAAUAGCCGUAUAGCCCCCAAGAGUCUUUUCACCACCAAAGUUACAUUUUGAGGCUUGUCAUAGGCAAGGCAUGGCUUCAUCUAUCACUCUGAUCGCAGUCUUUUCAAUUGCCCUGGUAAGGUUUCUCAACCAUCAAUACUGUACUUGAAGUAGUAGUUCAUACGAGAUAAUUGCUAGACUGUAUAGGAAUACUGAUGAAACCCGUGAAUUAAAGCUACCUGAGAAAACACAUUCUUCUUCCUUUUUGCACAUUCAUCUGCAGCUCUAACCAUCGCCACUGAAGGAAUGGAAGCUCUUCAGAUGGCUCUGUAGUUCUAUUCUGAUAAAAUCUUGACUUCCAAACAUUACCAAUGCUGGUACCAUACUUAAACGUCAAUGUAACUUGAGUAAUGGCAUAUGACACUAUUUACCAUUUUUUAGUUGGAGGAUUCAUCCGGGAAAGCUUGAAGGUCAAAUCAAUACCUUAAAAUCAACAAAUGAAUAUUCCUGUUGCCAGUUGAGCUCGUAUUUGGACAUAACUAUCCUUCCCUACAAGGGGUCAUCUUUUACAGUGCUACCAUCAACGUACCUAUAUGGCUAUAUUGACGUUAGUUUCUUUUAUGGUGAUAUUUGCACUAAUGUGCAGUUUGGAUGCAUCACGGAAGCAAGGAAGAAUCCUACGGACUUUUUGCAAUCUGCUGUCAUUAAUGAGCAUACUGAGGACAAUCACCAUGCAGAGCCGUCCCCUUCCAAUCAGAAGAAGACAACUAAUGGUAACACAUUGAAAGACUUUGAGUCGAAGCGUGGCUCCCAUCUCUUCUAUCAUGGCGACGACGCUUCUCCUCUGGUGAAAGACUUUGAGUCGAAGCUUGGCUCCCUUCUCUUAUAUCAUUAUGGCGCCGAGGAGAAACCUCUGAGGAAAGACUCAUUAUUUGGCGCUCCUCUGAGGAAAGACUUUGAGUCGAAGCUUGGCUCCCUUCUCUUAUAUCAUUAUGGCGCCGAGGAGAAACCUCUGAGGAAAGACUUUGAGUCGAAGCUUGGCUCCCUUCUCUUAUAUCAUUAUGGCGCCGAGGAGAAAACGCUGAUGAAAGACUUUGAGUCGAAACGUGGCUCCCAUCUCUUCUAUCAUGGCGACGACGCUAAGCCAAUGAAAGAUAAUUAAUGUCCAGGGAAGCCGCAACUUUACCUCUGUACGGACUACGGACCUGUGUCUCUUCUAGCUGGUCCGUUUUUAUCCAUUGUCUUCUUUCAACCAAGCGUUCCGUAAUAAAUGUCAGUACAGUUGAGUGCAUUUUCUGUUUCUUUGUUUGUUGUUCUUUUUGCCAUUUACCAUAUACAGGAAGUGCACAAAAAAUGAGCACUAUUCAAGCAUUAUAAGAAUCGUAGAGUGAGCGAACCGCUUUACCUUGAUAAUCUAAAAAGAGUUCUGCAAACUCGUACUCUUGUACGAAACCAGGACCAAAUAUAUAUAUAUAUAUAUAUCGAUUCAAUUUUCUAACUAUGUGUGUGGUACGAAUGCACAUUAGAAGUACAGAAAAUUCUCGAGUAAACUUUCACAAAAGAAGGGAAAGAAUGGAGAACUCUUGAAGCGUGAUUGAUCGCUACUCUUAGGAAUUUAAUUAUCCAUACUACACUAAGUAUUUGCUGUAGAGAUAUGGUAAUUUAACUUUAAGAUACAACAAGAGAAGAAGCAGUUGAUAGCAAAUAUCAAGUUUCUCAAACUAAGAAAUGAUCAAAUAAUUCUAGCUAGUUUUGACAUUAAAAGGCUUGUUUAUUUACAGGUAACCUUGUUUUCUUUUUGUCCCAAUUAUUUGACUUUAAACUUGGUUCUGUGACAUGGAUUCUACGUGUUAGUAUACACAACACUAAUCCUAAACAUUAAGUGAAAAUCAUAUUAUGGGUAACUGAGUACCGCAUAACUUGCAAUUAUCCACUUACGCACUCAAUAUUAUUGGGAAAUUACAUGGAUUUUUGUUUCGGUAACUCUAAUUAUAGUCUCAAGAUCCAUCUUAAUUGAAGGGGCCAUUAUGAAUUAGAUGAACAUGAAAUUGUAUUUCGAUUCUCAAGCUAAUCCCUUCCUCUUUCUCCAUUGUAAGGAUUAGUCUCUCUUUUUUUUUUUUAAGUGCUCUAAUUAUACAGGAUUAAAGCAAGUAGCAAUGGUCUAUAAAAGGAUAAAAAGUAAGCAGGGGCAUAUUUAUUAAAACAUGAAAAUAAUAUGAAAUUUUAUAAUACGCAUGAUAUGAAUAAUGAAUUGUACGUCAAUAAUGCCAAUAUAUUUGAAAAGUACAAAGCUGAAAAUACAGCUUCACUUACUAUGUGCAUAAUAAAUAUUUUAGCGAAGAUUUUUUAUUUUUAGUGUAAGUGAGAAAUUUGAACUCCAAACCUUUCACUUACACUCUUUUUUCAUACCAUCCAAUCCAUCCCUACAUUUUUAUGAAGAUGAGCACAUAAUGUGAGUUUUUAUUUUUUGAGGUGAAUAACUUGUUCACAAAAAAGUUUACUCGAUUUAUGUAAAGUUUAAACUUUGGGCUGUCUAAACAACGCAAGUAGAUGGCACUAGGACACAAUUCAUUAUGAUGACUUCAUCCAAGGUAACGAAAAAAAAGUUGUACAAUUGCACUUAAAAUUUGUGAAAUUUAUAGUACUAUUUCAUGGUUUAUCCUCUCAAAGUUAACAACAAAUAAUGCUUUAAACUCCGUUUAAACAACUUAUGAGUGUAAUUCAAAUUUAUUGCUCCAUUAUGUAUGUACAAUGUAUCAAAACAGAAGAGUAGCAAAUUGUGUUUUAUUGCACUUUCUGUUUAGCUAGCUUCAUGCAAAUUAACCUUCGUAGAUUAUAGGUAAAGAAUUGGUUUGCCAUUCAAUGUAUCCAAGAAAUAUGUGUUAGUACAUAAUGUUUAUUUCAAUGGAUGCACAGGUGUAAAACAAAAUUACAAAUUAUUAAGUUUUAAACUUUACAAGUACUUAAAGCACAAUAAUUUUUAUUAAAUUAAAAUUUUCCCUCCUGUGAUUUGGUAGUUUAUCAUAUAACCCCUCUAUAGUUUAAAAAUCUAACACAACGUCCUCAUAAUCUAGGUUAACAUAUCAUCAUUAAUUUUUCUAUUAAAACUAACAAUCAAUAGUUCAAAGUUUAAGUCAAAUUAAUAUAUUGAAAAAUUUACCCUUUCACUAAUCUAAUUCUUUGAGGUAGUUACAAAACUAUUACAAUUAUUAUACACCUUAAACUAUGUAUUUGUUUUCAAGUAAACACAAAAGAUGCAGCAGACCAUUUUUAGCCAAGUUAAUAAAAUUGCAAAUGUAACAAUAUAAAGCACCCUAUCAAAAGUUACUCUAUAUGAUUAAGAAAAUAAUUUAUAUUUAUUCGAAUGGAAAAAAGUUGCCAGAAGAGGGAGACACCAUAGGAAAAAUAGUUUAGAGUGAACUGCAUCAAUCAUGCCUUCCAUCGGGGGGGAAAAAAUGAUAGAUGUGCGUGUAUAUAGAUACAUACACGCGCAUUUAUGUAUGUGCAUGUACACGGACGUGAGGUUGUUCCUUUGAAAAGUAGCUUCUCCUGCAAUAAUCCAAAUUCUAGGACAGUGGCAGAAAUGGAAAAGUAGUAUAGGCUGCACCGAAAUCUACUAAAAUACAAGCUUGAAAUUCAGAUAGAAAUCGAAAUACAUAAAAAGAUCAGAGCUUUUUUUUUUUUUUUUUUUUUGAGGAGAUAAAACGUUCAAAGCUGAAAGCAGAACCAGUCUUUGAGUCGUAGUGUUAUUUAGAUUCAAGUGAAAGACGGGGCACACGACCAAUACAGCAGCCAAAUAGAGAUGGAAACUUGAGCUCUUGGACUCUAUGGCCGAAUGAUAGAGCCCUAGAUUGGAACCAGUGCAAAGCUUUCUGCCGCACUAACAUGGCAAAUAGGGGAGGUCCCGGAAGGCAAUGUGACCAUGGCUCCAGCGAGGGGUAUCCAUGUGACAAACAACUUCGAUCUUUUCACCAUCCUCUCCGCUUAGCAAAAUCCUAUACACGCCCGAUCGUGGCCUCUUGAGCAUGGUGUUAGGAAAUUAGUUUAAUUUCUUUUAGAUAGAUUUCUUGUUUUGUGUGGAAGUAACUAGUUUUUUAAUUGAUUUUGGUUACUUAAAAUAGUAGUCAAGAAAUUUCCUAUUUUAUUUAGGAUUAGAAAUUAUUUCCUAUUCUGGACAAGUCUAGGAAUUAGAAUUGGUUUCCUGUUGUUAUUUGGGUUUUUGAUCAGAUAAUAUUUUCCAUAAAUAUGUGGAUUAGCAUACUAUACAAGAGACACACAAGGGGCACACAAGAGGCGACAUGUAGCCCAAUACAUGGGUGGAGAGAGAGAGUUCUUGAAAGAUGAGAGAUGGUAUAUAAAGAUUAGAUUUUGGUUUAAGUUGUAUUCUUGUAUAGGAUUUUUUUCUCUCAUAAUAAAGAAUGAGUUUCUCUCCGUGGACGUAGGCUCAAUAGUGGAACCAAACCACAUUAAAUAAAUAUUGUGUCGUUUAUCUUUCAUACUUGUGACUUAUUUAUUAUUAAUUAUUGUAUACUUGAUAUCUUAAUAGUUAUUUGUUCUGCGCUUGAAUCCUAACAAAUAGUAAUAAAAGAUUUAAGGAUAAGCUAUGGUACGACAUGUCAUCUUUGGAGUUAAAAUCAUUUCAGGAACUUACAAGAUUGUGUUGUUUUGCAAUCUAUCUGGAGUUGAUCUCGUGGGCUGUUAUGUCAAAAAGACUCCAAUAUUGCUCUCCGACCCUUGAUUUUUCUGGCAAAUUCACCCAAUGACUCAUAGGAUGUGACACAAGUACUCGUCUCUCUCCGUUGAUUGGCAUCCUCUCACACUCUCAAAGUGUAUUUUCCAUCAUCUGGGCUUUUCGAGAUCCUUGAGGAAUCGAAAAGUGUUCAAGAAUGUAAGGGAGUUGCUCUAGCUGUAGCAACUGACAAAAUUAUCCUUGAUUGCUUAUUCUGUCUACAGGGCUGAAUGCACAUGCAUGUGGCAACAGUAUAGCGCCUGUUAAUGGAGUCUUGGUGCUAUAUAUGGCCCAUUCUUAAGCCAUGUUUUGUUUGAUUGGUUUCUAAAAGCCAGUGAUCAUACUGAGACCGGAUUGCCCCUGACGAAUUUGAAUUAUGGAGGCGAGUCCAUUAUUUGAUCAAGAACCACCCAGAUUUACUAGAUGGCAAGCCAAGAUUUCAAUCUCAUCGAGCUCUUUUGCAUUCAUUGUAUUGCAUGUACAAGACCAUUAGUUUCGUUAUGUUAACAAUAGUUAUAGAUGCACAUGCAUUAACAAAAAAAGUAAUUUUAGUUUAUGUACAUGACUCAGGAAAAAAUAUACCAAUAUAUAGUAAUUCUUGAUAUAUAUAUAUAUAUAUAUAUAUAUAUUGAUUGCUAGUUCUUGUACGUAACUCAGGGGAAAAAAUUUUAGUUCAUGUACAUAAAUCUUGACGUAUGUGUAUACCAAUUUUUUUGAAAGUUAACUCAACCAAGCACAACUGGACCUGCGCCAAUCCCUAAUCAAAAUUUGAUGCACAUGCCAUAAAUUAAAAUAUAAAAAACUUAACAUUGGAGAACUAAAUGCGGCAAAAGAAUAAAUAAUAUAAGACUAUUGUACAACAUCAACAUAUGACACAAGUCUAUUGUACAACAUCGUCAAAUUAAGAAAAUAAACACACUCAGAAUACAUAGAUGUUCUGUACAGUCCCUAAAACUUUUUUUUUUCUUUUUACUAAUUUGAUCCGGCCCACAGAACUCUCGUCUUUACCGUUACUAUUUCAACUUCUAAUUAUCUUUAGGGAAUUAAGAAGGCCUUACUGUAUAAUAGGUCUGAAGAAAAGUUAAUACACUGUUAAAAUAAGUGUAGAAGAGUUCAGCCAGCCAUGUCUUUGCCUUGUUGUUAUAGUGUGCUUGAAUUUUCUCCUUCACAUUAUGAAAAUGGUGACAUUGUGCACCCCGCAAGUGUUUAUGUCUUUAUAAACCUUCAACAAUUCGUCAUCACUGCCCAAAGUUGUGAGCAAUAUCCUUUUUUUCCCUUAGUUCUUUCACAUCCUUGGGGUUGUCGAUCAGCGAUUUCAUGAACUCAAUAUAUGCUGUCACUGCUCGGUCAGUGCUGGUACUUGGGCACAUUUCAUAGGCAAUCAUAUUUAAAAAGAAAACUUUGGUGUCAAUCGAAACAAACCAAAUUGGAACUUCAAGUGUUGCAUAGAAAUAACCUGAUUUGAACUUGAUGCCCUUCGAAGAAUCAGCACUGCUGGUCCUAAAGUGAAUUCCCUUGGCCUUCAACUCCGUGGCUGAACGAAAGCAAUGAACGUAUUUUUUCGUGCUAGAAUCAUUGUCAAUAUUUGAUCUUCUCCACCGCAGAAAACAUGGCAAAUUAUGAAUAUACUCGUGAAGAUUGCUGCAUCUGCGAAAAUUUUUGAAGUGAUUGAGACAGACAGCGUCAUUGCUGGCCCUAGAUUUUGGAGAAAUUGGUUUGUCUUUACAGGAUUCAGAGACAAGAACUGGCCAGAAAGCGUCCAGAAGAUGAUGGGGUAGGUCCUUAUCUCUGCUAGCUAUUCCACUCCCCUUGUAAUUCCCGAACACAGUCCUGUUCAAGAACUCGUUGAGCACCUCUUCACCUUCUUGUUUCCCAUAUCUCAAACACAUCAGAAACUUAAGAAGCUAGAAAGGAAUUUGAUUUUCAAGUAAAACAUGUCACGAAGUACAAUCGCCGAUACCAAAUCACCAAGAAAUAGCGUGUGAUGUAAAAGUUUGCGGCACUUUUGCAUCUAGAAAUUAUGUCGUUGAUAAUGAAAUAGGCAUCAGGAAGCAUCAUUUGUCACUACAAGAAAAUUGAUUUUCAAUGACAAGCCAUUUCUGUCACAAAAAAAUGAAAAGUCGUCACUGAUAACUUUUAUUGACAACUUUCUAGUUGUCACAGAGUCGUCACUGAAGGCCCGUCGGUAAAAGUACAUAGUGACGACCUUAAAAGUCGUCAGUGAAUGGGACUGUUUUGCGACAACUGAUGUCGUCAAUAAUUGUUGUACUUUUUAGUGAUGACAUAGUAUCUUGUCAAUGAUAUACAAAGUAUUGUUGUCACUAAAACUAAUUCAUAGUUGUCAUUGGUAUAGACUAAUUACUGACAACAGGUUGUUAUCAAUGGAGAAUUCUAUGACAACAGGUUGUUAUCAAUGGAGAAUUCUAAUUCAGUGACAACACUUUAUCACCAUGAAAUUUGAAGAUUUUCCUACUACAAUUAUAUCUAAAAAUGAAAAAUAAUAUAUCUUACAUGCCAUUAAAAAACAAAUAAAAGUUGUAACUGCAUUAGAAGCUGCAUGCCAAUAUACCACAAAUUAUCUCCAAAUGUCAUAUAAGUUCUAGAUCGUAAAAUAAAUGUUUCAAUAAGGGGUCUAGGAGUCCCAAAUUUUACAUCAAAUUAAGGUCGUUUUACAAAAGACUACUGAAAUAAAGAAAUAGAAAACUCGUGAGUGAGCUGCAUGAACAAAAGACAUAUUCAACUCCAAUGUCGGUCAAUCAAACGCAUGGACUCUAGUGUUGGAAAUUUUAGUAAUAUUCAUUGAUCUUCCAAAAAGGUUGAAUGAACUGCCAUUUUCUACAUUAAGGAAGGAAAAUAAGUAGUGAAUACAAAGACGAGCAAAACAUCAAAGUAAAAGCAACUUUGGUUAGCUUAUCCACCCAAAAAUGCAGUUGAUUCACAUGAACAUAACAAAUUAAGUAUGCAGAGGCCCCGUCCUGGGCCGGGACACGUGGUAGCCCAGGUGCGGUCAAACUGGGCCUGAGCCCCAGGCCCUGGCAGCCGUCCGGGGCUGCGUUGCUAGGGCUCCUGGAGGGGCUGAGAAUCCAUCCCGAAGAGGUCGGAGACAAUCCCCCCAAGUGCGGGAUAAGGGCUAUUCUGGGCAGGUCCCGAAACGUACGGAGGUCGGACUUCCGCACAGGUAUAAAUGGUAGAACACAUCAACUGUACAAGGUACGCUCACUAUUGGCAAAUUGCUCCCGGCUGUUUAUACUUCCCGUGAAUUCUUCUCAUCGGAAAACUAACUUGGUCGUCGGAGCGCCCUCGAGGACCGACCUCGGGCCCCCCGUUGUUAGCUCAUUCUUAUCUGUUUUGCAGGCUUGGAGCCAGCUCUUCCAUCAGCAUCCCGAGCUCAUCAGUUCAGCUCGGUCCGGGGAAGCUCAGCGCUUCUUCAGUUGGCGCCGUCUGUGGGAACCGGAAGAGGUAAGUGCAGUUGUGCUGAUGGCGAGGACGCGAUCCAAGCGAGCGGUAGAGAGCACCGGCCCUGGAGGCGGUGAGGGGUCCCAACGAAGAGAGGCUGAGGCAUCCCGGGGCGCCGGGGGCUCAGCCCUUUUAGGAGAAAGGAUGCAGCAGAUCCUCCAGUUCGUGACGGAGAACCUCCCCAUGCUGGAAGACAUCAUCCGGCAGGCGAAGGAGGGGGAGGAGGCUGGAGGCGCGCAGACCUCCAAGGCGAAGGGGAAGGAGAAGGAGCCGCUCCCCGAACCCUCGAAGGAUGAGUCGCACGACCAACCCCCCAGGAGGAAACGGCCACGGACGCCGCCUCGCCCGCGAGCCUCGGAAGUCGGAGACAGCGAAAGGUACUCCCGCUACAGGUCCACUGGGGGCAGGCCGAGGGGCCCCUCGCCGAGGAGGCCUGCGAGGAAUGGUCUUGCCCGCUCCCCAGCCCGCUCUGCCAAGAGCCGACCGCGCAAUCCCCUUCACUUGAAGCCUGUCCAAGACGAGCUCGAGCAGAUCUUGCGGCCGCAGCUGUACGCGGACAACUACUCCACCUCGCCUUUCCCCCGGGAGAUAGAGGAUUAUCCCCUGCCCCGGAGGUUCAAGAUCCCAAUCAUCGAGAUGUAUGAUGCUUCCACUGACCCGGAAGACCACCUCUCGGUUUUUCUGACGCACAUGCGUCUGCAAACCGCAGCGGAUGAGAUCCGUUGAAAGACCUUCCCUAUGUUCCUGAAGGGGAAAGCUCGGCUCUGGUUCCAGGGCUUGGCACCAGGAUCUAUUCGGAGUUUCCCCGAGCUGGCUAGACAGUUCGUCGCCCAGUUCGUCUCCUCGAAGACCUACGCGAAGAACGCCACCCACCUGAUGUCUAUCAGGCAGAAGCCCGAUGAAUCGCUGAGGAACUUCAUGACCCGCUUCAACGCGGAGAGCUUGCAGGUCAGGGACAAAGAUGAAAAAGUGGUAAUGGCCGCCUUCACGAACGGGCUCAGGGUAGAGGAGCUCUUCUACGAGUUGGCCAAAAAGCCUCCCAUAAACCUGGAGGAGCUCCUAACCCGGGCGCACGCGGCCGCCAACGCAGAGGAGGCAGGUCGCCUGAAGAAGGAGUCAGAUCGGGAGCUCGGAGAUCGGAAGGGUCGGGCGAACCCCCAAGAGGGCAAGGACAUCCCGGCCAAGAAGAAUGUGUUUGAUCGGCUCUCGAAGGAGAAGGCGCCUGCUCCGCCGCCACUCCCAGAGAAGAGCUACACCCCUCUGACACGGCCUAGAGCUCAGAUCUUGGCUGUUAUGGAGGCGGAAGGGCUGGGAGAUCGGCCGCCUAAGAUGGGGACACCUCGGAACAAGAGGAACCAGGACCGGUACUGUGCCUUUCACCGUGACGUGGGACAUGACACGGAGGGAUGCUGGGCCCUACGGAAGGAGAUCGAGGAUCUGAUCCAGCGUGGUUUUCUGGGACGGUUCGUACGCCAUGGCAGGUCGGGCCAGGAGUCCGGGCGCCAUUAUUAUGGAGACCGGCGUGAGGGACAGCGCCGCGACCGCCCUGAGCGGCGUGACGCUCCUCGGGGCCACUCUCCCGACCAGGACAUCCAGAACUUGGCGGGGGUGAUCAACACCAUCGCCGGAGGCCCCACGGGGGGGACAGCCAUACAUCUCGGAAGAGCAAGCGACCGCCCCCCGAAGGGGACGACUCCUUGAAACGCUUGCGCAUGGACGAGGAGAUUACCUUCGGACCAAGGGAUGCGGUCCCCCUGAUUUCCGAGAACCACGAGGCCAUUGUGAUAGACAUCGUCACCAACAACUACCGGGUGAAGAAGGUGUAUGUCGACCAAGGUAGCGCGGUUGACAUUAUGUUCUAUUGGGUGUUCAAGGAGUUCGGACUGAAGGAUGACCAGCUGACCCCGGUUCGGACACCUCUGGUGGGCUUCACUGGACCACCCAUCAGCUCGGAGGGGAUGAUCACCCUGAUGGUCACGGUAGGACAGGCUCCCAAAUGCCGGACCGUUCCCGUUAACUUUGUGGUGGUCAAGCAGUCGUCCCCGUACAAUAUGUUCCUUGGGAGACCUUCUUUGAACGCCCUCCGAGCUAUUUCCUCCACUUUCCAUCUCAGCGUCAAGUUCCCCACCCCUGGAGGGAUAGCCGAGGUGCACGGCGAUCCAGAAGUAGCCAGAGCUUGCUACCUGGCCACGCUCCGCGGGCAGGAAAAGAUGGUCGCCCAGACAACCUGUUUGGAGCCCUACAUCCCGGGGGAUGAGGCCCAUCGGCUGGGCACCCAGGAUGAGGUUGAGGAGUUCCCCCUAAGGGAGGAUCGGCCCGACCAGGUUCUCCGCAUUGGAACCUUGUUGCCCGCCAAAGAGAAGGAGGGCUUGAAGGCCCUGUUAAGGGAAUACUCCCAAGUCUUCGCUUGAUCGGUGGAUGACAUGCCCGGGAUUCCGACAGAUCUGGCAGUCCACCAUCUCAAUGUGGAUCAUCACUUCAAACCAGUGAAGCAGAAGAAGAGGAGAUUCGCCCCCGAAAGGAAUGAGGUGAUCAGGGCGGAGGUCGGCAAAUUGCUGGAGUCCAAGAUCAUUAUGGAGGUCUACUACCCGACCUGGCUGGCCAAUCCCGUCCUGGUGAAAAAGGAGGACCAGACCUGGAGGAUGUGCGUUGACUUCACGAACCUCAACAAGGUCUGCCCGAAGGACUGCUUCCCCCUGCCAAGGAUCGACAGGUUAGUGGACUCUACUGUGGAUUUUGAUGUCUUGUGUUUUCUCGAUACUUUUAAGGGGUACCACCAGAUCGAGAUGGCGGAGGAGGAUAGGGAGAAGACCUCCUUCAUCAUAGAGGAAGGAACUUAUUGCUACCGGACCAUGCCAUUCGGGCUGAAGAACGCUGGAGCUACCUACCAGCGCCUGGUAAACAAGCUAUUCCAAAAUCAGAUCGGGCGGAGUAUGGAGGUGUACGUGGAUGACAUGAUCGUUAAAAGCCGAACUGAUCAGCAGCUCGUCCCCAACCUGAGGGAAAUCCUGGAUAUCCUUCGAGAGAGCAGGAUGCGGUUGAACCCGAAGAAGUGCACCUUCGGGGUCAGGUCCGGAAGGUUUUUGAGGUUCUUGGUGUCCCGAGAAGGGAUCCGGGCAAACCCGAACAAGCUCCAAGCUAUAAUGGACAUGGCCCCUCCGAGGAAUGUGAAGGAGGUUCAGCGGCUCACCGGGAGGAUGGCCGCAUUGAGCAGGUUCCUCUCGCGUUCCGCGGUUCGGGGGCUACCCUUCUUCCGCGUCUUGAAAGCGCCGAAAGAUUUUCACUGGACUGAGGAAUGCCAGAAAGCUUUCGCCGACCUGAAGGCUUAUUUGGCUGAGCUGCCCACUCUGACCGUCCCAGAGCUGGGGGAGACCCUAUUCCUGUACCUGUCCGCCUGCAACGAGACCGUCAGUGCGGUCUUGGUACGGGAAGACGGGAGGGCUCAAAGACCGGUGUACUACGUCAACCGAGCUUUACAAGGGCCAGAGACGCGAUACACGCUGGCCGAGAAGUUGGUUCUUGCCUUGGUGCAUGCUGCUCGCAAUCUCCGCCCUUACUUCCAGACUCACAGCAUUGUAGUCCUGACUGACCAGCCCUUGCGUCAGAUACUCACCAAGUCCGAGGUCUCGGGCAGAAUGACCAAGUGGGCCAUCGAGCUGGCUGAGCACGACCUUAGUUAUCAGUCUCGUACAGCGAUCAAGGCUCAAGCCUUGGCGGACUUCCUUGCCGAGGGGGCUAGCUUGACCCUGACCGACCUAAUCCCCACACCCACGGACACCCCGACGGAGGAGCCGUGGGUGCUGUUCGUGGACGGCGCCUCGAGCAAGGAGAGGAGCGGAGCUGGCCUGUUCCUCACCUCGUCCACCGGGGAAGAGCUGACCUACGCCCUUAGGUUCGACUUCCCGACAUCCAACAACGAAGCGGAAUAUGAGGCCCUGUUGACAGGGUUGCGGAUAGCCCACCAAAUGGGCAUCACCGCGAUCCGGAUUCGGAGCGACUCUCAGCUCGUCGUCCUCCGGAUCCGUGGGGAGUAUGAGGCCAAGGACGAUGUAAUGAAAAAGUACCUGGUUAAGGUACGGGAGGCAGUAGCCCUGUUCGGGACUUUUGAAAUCGAGCGGGUGCCAAGGUCCCAGAACAAGCGCGCGGAUGCCCUGUCAAAGCUGGCAUCCUCCUCGUUUGCCCACCUGAGCAAGGAGGUCUUGGUAGACGUGGUGAAGCAGAAAAGUAUCGACCAGGUCCAGGUCCUGGCGAUAGACGGCUCGGCCACCUGGAUGGCUCCCCUCAUUGACUUCCUCAGCUCGGGUGCCCUCCCUGAGAACAAAACCGAGACUCGCCGAAUCCAGUUCCGAGCUGCCAAAUACGCCUACGCCGGGGGAACCCUCUACAAGAGGUCGUACUUGUCCCCCUGGCUAAAGUGCGUGACUCCCGAGGAAGGUGACUACGUUCUGCGCGAAAUUCAUGAAGGUAUAUGUGCGGCACAUGUGGGGUCCCGGGUGUUGGCCAAAAAGUGCCUCAUCUUGGGCUACUACUGGCCCUCCGUCUUCCGAGAUGCCGCAAACUUGGUACAGAAAUGCCGAGCUUGCCAGGUGCACGCCUCGCUGCGCCAUCAGCCAACUCGGGAGAUGAUCCCCAUCCAUAGUCCUUGGCCCUUCGCUCAAUGGGGGAUAGAUCUCCUGGGUCCCUUCCCCCGAGCCCCGGGGAGGUAUGAGCACCUCGUGGUGGCCAUAGACUACUUCACAAAGUGGGUGGAAGCGGAGCCCCUGGUCUCUAUCUCCGGGAGGGCAAUUCAGAAGUUCUUCUGGAGGAACAUAGUUUGUCGCUUUGGGAUUCCGCACGUCCUGAUAUCUGACAACGGGCGCCAAUUCGCAGAGAACCCAUUCAAGAGCUGGUGCGCUGAGAUCGGGAUCGACCAGCACUUUACGUCAGUCGGCCAUCCCCAGGCCAACGGCCAGGUGCAGAAUGCCAACCGAACCAUCCUCCAAGGACUGAAAACCAGGCUGGAGCUGGCCCAAUCCAACUGGCUGGAAGAGCUCCCUAGUGUCCUCUGGGCUUACCGCACCACGCCCAGGACGGCCACCCACGAGACCCCGUUCUCCCUCACUUACGGGGUAGAAGCAGUGGUCCCCGCAGAGAUCGGCCUCCCCUCGCUCAGAACACAGAACUUCGUGGCGACAUCCAAUGACGAAGAGCUGCGGUGCAACUUAGACAUGCUCGAGGUUAAGCGUGAAGAAGCGGCAGUUCGAAUGGCUAGGUACAAAAGCCAGCUCGUCCGCUAUCAUAACGCCAAAGUGAGGACUAUACGGUACCAACCGGGUGACCUCGUUCUAAGGAAGAACUCGAUUAGCCGAGCUCACGGAUCCAACAAGCUCGACCCAAACUGGGAGGGCCCAUACCAGGUCCUUGAGGUGAGCCGAGCUGGCUACUGCAAGCUCGCUGACAUGAAUGGAUCUGAGGUACCCCGUACUUGGCACUUCUCCAAUCUACGACUGUUUGUAGCGUAGGGUAGACCAGGGUGUUCAAGUGUCUGUUCUCUGGAAUCUGAAUUUUUAUUUUUGUCAUUCAAUAAAAGUUCGACUUUAAAAUUUACAUUUCCCUUGUUUCUGUCUACUUUCAAAGUUUUUCAAGUUUGCACCUUGCACUAGCACACUUAGCGUUCCCUCGCUAAGUGUCCUAGUGGGGGGCUAAGGGUAGUGAAGGGGAUCAAGGUGAAAAGAGAUCAAGGUGAAAUGUUUGGCCCAGGAGGUCGGCACAGAGGUGAAAAGUUCGGCCCAGGAGGUCUGCACGGCCUGAAAAAACUUGGAAACUGGGAAGGGUUCUGAAAACUCCGUGCUCGGCCCAGGAGGUCGGCGGGAAGGAAUUCGAAACCUGAUACUCGACCCCGAGAGGUCGGCAUGGGUUAAAGUCUCCAAAGCUUCCAAGUUAGUGCUCGACCCUGGAGGUCGGCACGAUCGGGAGCUUGGAUGGAAAGUGAUGCUCGACCCCGAGAUGUCGGCAUGGGUUGAAGUCUCCAAACCUUCCUGUGCUCGAUCCAGGAGGUCGGCUCGAUCGAGAGCUCGGAUGACAGGUGAUGCUCGACCCCGAGAGGUCGGCACGACAGAGUUGGGAGCAAGCAAGAAAUGCGAAAUAAGUCUCUUCGAGUUUUAUAUAUGCAUUCAAAACCUAUCUAUUACAAAGCUUACAAAAUCUCUGAGCGGCCUAUCUAUUACAAAGCUUCCGAGUUACCUAUCUGCUACAAAAUGUGCUGAGCCAUGAGGAGAAUACAGCUCGAACCCCCUUCUUCUUGCUGGUAGUUCGUCUGGAGCAGGAGCUGAAGGUACACCUUAAACAUGCUGAGAGGCGUAUGGUGAAGGCUUUCCAGACGGGGGAACCUUUCCGUCUCAGAUGGACCUCCAAAAGCAUUUUCAACUGGAGCAUGGUCACAUCCUUAUAAGAAAACGGAAAGGGUUUCUGGGGUGGCCGCCGCCCUAAACCACCGGAUCCUUCCCGGCAGCCCUGCCGGGAGACUUGCUCUCCUCCAAGGGGACCUCCGCCAGCUCGGCCCCAACGUUGGUUCGGCCUACCAACUCCUUCAGGGCAUGCCCCUUGCGGUACCCAUCGAAGAGCCAGUCCAGCCUCUCCUCGGCCGCGGGAUUGUAGUCCUUGCAGUCCGCCAAGUUGAAGCCAGGAGGGUUGAGGCUCUUCACCUUGUCCAGGGCCCGCGUAGCGCCGACCUGGAGGAUGGGCAGGUUAAGGAGGGCGAUGUCCUCCUCAAACUGCUCAGAAGAAAGGAACUCCCGAACAGCCUUCUUCCGCUCCCGGCUGACGGUGCCGGAGAGCUCGAUGGCGUGCUCCUCCUUCAGCUUGGCCACGCCGGUCUUCUCCUGGUCGAUCUCCGACCUGGUGGAGGCGAGCUGGACCUGAGCGGUGUCCAGCUCCUUCUCGGCCUUGUCCAGUUUUGCCUUGAGGGAGCUUGCCUCCUUAAGGGCCUGGGAGAGUUUCUUCUCCGUCUCCAGAUUCUUCUUCCGCAAUUUCUCCAGGUCGGGAGACAGUUCGGAGAAGCGGGUCGCCAGGGCGGCACCAGCGGCGUUGGCCUGAAGGGGAAAGAGGACAGGUCAGCACGUCACACUACUUAACCGAGACACGGAGGCAAAACUAUCCCACGGGCUAGACUUACUUGAGUUUGGGCGGUGUAAUACGCGCCCAAGAGCUCGGAAGGGUCGGCCGGCUCCAUCCACCUCCUGUCGUGGGGGAGGACCGAGCCCACCAUCAGCUCGCGAGCCACCUAUGGAAACUGGGCUCGGUCGUUGAUGGAGAGCUCUCAGGACGGGCAGAAGUGGCGGGGGUCAUGCAUCGUGGGGGCUUGGCCCGGUUUCAAGGGAGCAACGUGGCGGAAGUGCCACAAGUUCGGAGGAGUUGACUCCUGGGCAUGCUCCUCGGCGGAGCCCACGCCCAGGUGGACUGGCCCCCCCGAGGCCAGCGGGAGCGGAGGGGCCUGAGCUGGAACCAGCGUGAGUUUCUUCCCGGGCUGGGAGGGCUCGUCCCUUCUACCCCUCUUCUGCCCGACCGCCUUCUUCUUGCUGGUGGCCUGCUUGGAGGGGGACGGCUGCGGCGCCUCUUUCUGGGGGGCUGAGCCGCCCCCCGGGGUGGGAGCCCCCCUUGGGGCCCCCUGGGUAGUCCCGGGCUGGGGGGCGGAGGUGACCUCCUCAAUAGGUGCGCCCAGCAACUUGGAGAGGUUCCUCACUGCAACGAACACAACCAGAUAAGCAAAAGGCAGGGCAGUUUAGAAAACCACAAUAUACUAUAAACGCAACAGGGGCAAAGCCAGCGUUACAGGUGUCGAGUUUGGGCUCGGGGGUUACCACUUCCCCAGAGGAUCCGGACAACGUCCCUAUCAGCCCGGCUGCGGAGAUCUGCUUAGUGGAGAACCUGGUGGCAUCGAGCUUCACCUUGGAGCCCAACAGCUGGCUGAGGGUAUCGUAGUCCAGGUCCUCCGGGUAGGAAUCGGCCUUGACCCCCCAACCUUCCACACAUUGGGGGGAAAAUGUGUGGAUUUGACGAAGAAGAAAUCCUCCUUUCAAUCCUUCACGGAGGAGGGGAGUCCGUGGAACAACUCCUGGGCACCUUUCCCUCCCUUGGUUUGGGAACCCCGGCGGGAGAAGUAGUACCAUCCAGGGAGGGCGGUCUUAAGGAUGAAGGCGGCUCGGAAGAGGGAGAGAGAGUAAGGGAUAUCGCAGAAAAGGCAGUAGAUCAGGAAUCCAGUGAUGAUCCUGAUAGAGGUGGGGUGAAGUUGGGUGAUUAUGAGUCUCCAGUAGUUCAAAAUCUCGGUAAGAGCUGAAGGAAUGGGGAGACGGAGCCCUGCGAAGAGCUGCUCCCUAUAGAUGGCUACGAAACCGGGGGGAGGUCUGCAGGCUCGGUCGUCGGGCCCGGCCGCCCUUGGCUCGUAUGCCGGAGGAAUGGAGUAAGACUUGGCCAGCUCGGCCACGGCCUUGGGGGAUAGGGUAGCCUCUUGCAGGUCUGCAUACCCAUAGGAGAACUCGGGAUCAUCCCCCUGCUCAGAAGCAGGGGUCCCCUCAGAGGGAUCCCUAUCCUCCCCAGCUCCACCCUGGGCUCCGCCGGGGGAGUCAUGUGGAGACCUGGGGGGAGAGGCGGAGGUAGCCUGCCGUUCGAUGAGGGCAUCAAGCUCGGCUGCCUCCUCAACGGCUCGGGCUGAAGGAGAGUGGGUAGAAGGAGAACUCAUAAUGACUAUGGGGUCAAGCAGGUCAGGGUUAGAAGCGGAGGAAGAGGAAGGAGGAGGAGGGGAAGGCGACGGCGAGGAUGAGGACGAAGAUGAGGAAGAAAUGAAGAUUCUAGUGGCUCUGCGACGGGCCGGAGACGGGGUUGCGGUGGAAGUAACGUCGGAGUGACCCGACAUAAAAGUCAGGAGAUGGCAGAAGGAAGAAGGAACACUGAAGGAAAGGAAAAGGAAAAAGGAAUCACAAAGGGACUUACUGAUGACGGUCAAGGCAGAGAGAGGAUGGAGGACUCGCCGGAGUCUGGGCGCGGGACACCGGAGGUUGCUGAAAAAUGGAAAUACGAAUGCGCAAGGAGAGUGGUAAUGCAAAAUGCGCAAGGGGAGGAGAAAAUGGCAAAUGGAGUCGGUUGAAAUCCGAUUACCCCUAUUUAUAAGGGGAGAAAUGGGGGGAAGACGGUUGCGUGGAUUUGAACCGACUCCCAUGUGAACGCCUUUAAUGCGGGUACGAAAACCGAAGAGGCGUGACAACUGAAAGGACGCGGGCGCAGCGUCCCUAUGACAGCACUGUACCAGAGGUGACCUUGGCAGGGUAGUGCGCGGCCUUGGCCUCCCACGUGGAAGAGGUAGAUUAGGUCUGCCUGACAGCCUUACCUAAUCUAGGGGGCUAGUGCAGAGGCCCCGUCCUGGGCCGGGACACGUGGUAGCCCAGGUGCUGUCGAACUGGGCCUGAGCCCCAGGCCCUGGCAGCCGUCCAGGGCUGCAUUGCUAGGGCUCCUGGAGGGGCUGAGAAUCCAUCCCGAAGAGGUCAGAGACAAUCCCCCCAAGUGCGGGAUAGGGGCUAUUCUGGGCAGGUCCCGAAACGUACGGAGGUCGGACUUCCGCACAGGUAUAAAUGGUAGAACACAUCAACUGUACAAGGUACGCUCACUAUUGGCAAAUUGCUCCCGGCUGUUUGUACUUCCCGUGAAUUCUUCUCACCGGAAAACUAACUUGGUCGUCGGAGCGCCCUCGGGGACCAACCUUGGGCCCCCCGUUGUUAGCUCAUUCUUAUCUGUUUUGCAGGCUUGGAGCCAGCUCUUCCAUCAGCAUCCCGAGCUCAUCAGUUCAGCUCGGUCCGGGGAAGCUCAGCGCUUCUUCAAAGUACAUAAUAAAUCAUUGUUAAUCAAUUGGCCGUGUACAUAACUUCAAUUCAAGUAAAGUUCAUUGCAAAAGGCAAUUGAAACAAUAUAGUUUUGGCAAAAGCCAUCUUUUACUAUCUCCCUAUAAGAGGCUUCCAGGCAAGUUGCUUGCAACAUAGUACAAGUGAUUAGCCGCAUAUUAAGUAGAUAUAAGCAAUGAGAGAAACCGUCAAUUUUCCCAUCCACUUUCCCACAAAUAAGCACAUAAAUAUUUGUCUUAUAUCUGACUGCUGUUUCUAAGUGAAGAGUACACAAUUAGCAAUCAAGGUUUACAAUAGGUAAUCAAUACUCUUGACCAAUAUUAGUCUAGCAUCACUUACAGCAAAAGGUUAGUGUAUACGGGCCACAUAGAACAGUACAUUUUCAUCUAGAACAACACAUUUUCAGAAUUGAUUUGGAAGAGCAAAUUAUAAUUGGCCACGACAAAAAACCAAAGGAAGAAAAGAAUCAAAAUUAAAGAAGAAAGACAUUUUCAUGUAUGAAAACAGAGCCAAUAGAUGACAUCAGCUUUCAUCUAUUUAUCUACAGAAUUUGAUCAACAUAGUAAACCACCAGGAUGCUUUACAUCGAAGUAGACAGUGUUGGAAAAUUUUCACAUCAAGUUUAACAAAGGAAAUUUGAAUCAAGAACAAUCUGGACAUAUAGUCUGGUCAUAUGUUUAUGGACAUCCAUCACAUUUCAAGGCCUUCAUUCAUCAGACAUAUCCCAAAUGGUAUUUUUCUUACUGAGUUUUGAGCUGAUGUGUCAUCAACCAUUGCAGUCUUCUUCCUACUAAAAUGAGUCAUGUCAUUUAGCUCGAUCGGUCCAAUUAACCUUCCCUCUUUUGCUUCCAAUAGCACAGCAAUAGUUAAUGAACCAAACUUGCAAUAUAAAAGACCAGCUAGUAUAUUUAAUUUCCCGUUCAGCUUUAUGCCGUAGAAAAGAUUUUGUUCCAGCUGUUUGAGCAGUUUUUUGUUUUGAUCUAUUUAUCUUAUUUUGCUCACUUAUCACCUACACUUGUGAUUUCAAACCUUCAUCAAAAUAACAAAGACAUAUCGAGAUUGAAGUAUGUUAAAUGAUCGAAUAUGUGCCAGUACCUUAAAUUUUGGACUACAAAAGUAGUCGCACAAGUACAGCCAAUCAGAUUCUUCAACAUAUUCAGGACAAUUAGGAUAUGGAAGCUUACAAAUAGGAUCCUUAUCUUAAAAAGCAAACCUAAUAAAUUCAUUGACUCCAUCUAAAUAUUUAGGAUCUAGGUAAUUCUUAAUUGACAUCCAGCUCCUAUCCAUAUUUAUGCAGCCCUUUAUCCUAACAUCAAGAAUAAGAACAUAUAAUAUUUUAUUGAAGACAGAGCACUAUGUAUGGAAACUUAAAUUUGCCAAAUACCAACAAUGAAAACCCAAUCAAAUAAAACAAAUUUUCACUAAAGUCCAUGUCAGGUACAAAUAACAACAAUUCAUUAAAAACAAGAUAGAUUAUGUACCAUUACAAAAGAUGCAAAAGAAAGCUCCAAUUAAUUUAAGCCAUUCCUAAAAUUAUACAUCUCAAACUAUACAACAUCAACUCCUAAGUCUGAAAAAAAUAACCGAAGCAGAUUUCUAGUCAUGAACACCUCUCCAUAUGACACAUACCCAGCCUACUCAAUCAUAUUUAAUUUGAGGAGGAAAAAAACUGGGUCAAAUCAAGCACAUAACAUCCCAUCUGUUCCUGUUCUGCGUACCCAUACAAAAGCCCCAAUUAGCUUGUUAGAUAAACUAAACCUACCCCAAAAACUAGUGGCAAAACACAUCUAAUUUAAUGUGUUCUAAGUCUGUUGGAUAGGUUUGUCUAAUGAGGGAAAGAAGCAGAAAGUGUGAUCAACAUUUUACACUACCAACGACAACAACCAGAAAUUUCGAACCGCUAGUGAAUUUUUGUUCAAUUCUCCCCCUACCAAGUCCAGCCGUAGCUGGGUUUUGUACAAAAAAUAGUUGGCAAAUAGCAAGUCCUUCCCAAGUGGGCCAAGAAGUAGAGGAUACAAUUAAUUUAGGGGAUUCAUGAUAACUAGGCAAAAAUUUUUCCCUAAGUUAAAAUUUAGGGCAAUAAAAUUUCAGGGGAUGAAAAGAUUAAUCAUGUAAAUAACCAUAAAAUUACACCCUCAAUGCAGAUUCAACAAGAAUGUGAGUAGAAAUUUUCAGAAAAUAAAAAAAAAACAAGUGUAGGGCCAAAAUAUUUGCAAAUUAUCUUCGAGACAAGGAAGAGAGGGAACACGCUGAAAACUCACAGAGAUCUAAUCGGCAUCAACCAAACCGAAUACCUGAAUGGCACUAGAGUGGGUGGUGCUAGGCUACGUUGCUGGAGCUGAAGCAAUCAUGCUUCAGCACAAUGGCAUCAAAAAGGCAGUUAUUAAUCUACGAAACAAUUAUUAAAUUGUAAAAAUUGAAAGGCACAAGAAAGACAUAAUCUGAAAUAAUCAAAACUAUUGGAAAAAUAUUGGAGUCCAAAUCGAAGAGAUCGACAGCUAGAAUCAUGUGAUCAAGAGGAGCCACUACCACUUAAGAGCACUGAAUUCUUUAUCAAUCUAAGAAUCAAAAUCCAAUCUAAGAAACAAUGGUGUAAUAUAAUAUGAAAUUACUAAACACCUGAAAUCGAGCAGAAAUACAAUUUGUCAGGCCUAGAAUCCAUAUAUAUCAGGGGCCUCUCCAGAACUAAACAAGUAAAUCCAAUCUAAGAAACAAUUAUUAAAUUUCAAAGAUUGAACUGUACAAUAAAGACAUAAUCUAAAAGAAUCAAAAUCCAAUCUAAGAAACAAUGGUGUAAUAAAAUAUGAAAUUACAAAACACACGAAAUCGAGUAGAAAUACAACUUGUUAGGCCUCGAAUCCAGAUCAGGGGCUCUCCAGAGCUAAACAUGUAAAUCCAAUCUAAGAAACAAUUAUUAAAUUGCCAAGACUGAAAUGCACAAGAAAGACAUAAUCUGAAAGAAUAAAAAAAUUAUAUUUGAAUAAGAUUGGAAUCCGAAUCAAAGAGAUCGAUAACCAGAAUUGUGUGAUGAUGAGGUGCGGCCACAACACAAGAAAAACUCUAUUGUUCAUCAAUUAGGAAACACUCAAUUCUUUUAUUCACUCAUUAACCACCACACGAUUAUAUUUUCUAUAAAACUUUCCAAAAAUUACAAUCUAAACCGGCUCAUAGUCUCACAAAAUAUGUAGUUCAAAACUCAAUUUUCUUUAUUCAAACCCAAUUUCUGAGCAGGUCUAGUCAAUGUCUGUUCAACUCAAUUGAUUAACUCGGACGGAUUGCCCACCGGAUCCUCGGUUCAAUGUUUGGAAUCUGUUGGUCCCGUAUGGUUUAAAAACGGUGUUAUAUGUUGAUAGAUAAUUGGGAGACAAGGUGGAUAAGGAAAACUCUCGUGAAACCAAUGCGUUCUGAUUUUCAACUACAUAUCUUUAUGGGAUAAGACUCAGAGAGCUGGUUUUUUUUUUUUUUUUUUUUUUUUGUCGAUACGAUAGCUUUUUACACUAUUGGGGAGGGGGAGGAUCUGAAAAGGUCCAAGGAUAAUUUGAAGAGGAUUGAAUCACCACCAGACCAAACGAAUGCACUAUAUACCUACCUGGAUUUUUUUUUAAAAUAAUGCCACAUUUAAUUGAGGCACCCCAUCAAGUUUUAAUACUUUGAUGGUGGUCACCAAUGCAAAGGCUGGUGGUUGACUCAGAGAGCUGGCGUCUGCACAUUUCUGGACCAAUCUUUCAUGGGAACAGUAAGGACGGUCCCAGAUGUAGAAUAAAGGGGUAAUUUCAGAAACCUCUGCUAAGGUUUCUGAUAGUCUCGCUAUCCUUCCCUAAGAUUUUCAAAAUAUCAAAAACCUCCCCUAAAACUAAUUAGCUAGUAACAAAUCAGCCCAAUUCAAAUACAAAAACAAUCUAAAAUUAGUGUUAGGAGAGAGAAAACAAUUUAAUUCCAUAACUACCCUCAAGUUUUGCAUUAGAGAGUUAAUUUACUAAGAACAAUAUACAUUUCUUUUAACUUUAUCAAUUGCUGAUCCAUGAAUUUUAAUGUUGAGAUUUUGCUUAAUAGUCGAACCAUUUGCUUAUGGAUGCUGGUUGAAUAUUUUAUAUUCUUAGAUUAGUUAGUCAUAAAUUGAAAAAGUUCUUGAUCUUGAAAGCUUACUGGAGAGAUAUUUCUUGAAAAUUGCCACUAAUACUUAACAUAUGUUUUUAUUUGUAUCUUGGCAAUAGAUGAUUCGAAUAGUAGCCAUUGUUUGAAUUUGAUUGCUUGAUUUGUGUUCUCAUGCUUGAGAACAAGCAUUGUUUAGGUGUAGAGGAAAUUGAUAGGUCAUAAUUUGUUACUAAAUUUAUAAUUAUUUUUCCCUUGAUUUUACCAAAUAUUAUUUUAAUUGAUAGAUUCUACUUAUAUUUGGUUAACGGUGCCAAUUGUAGGAAAAUGAGCAAAAUAUGAUAAAAGGGGUAAUUUUCCAAGAAUUACUGUCAAGUCUAGAGAAGUUCGGGAUUCAAAGUCGGAAAGUCGGGAUUGAUAUUGGGCAGUUUCCCAAUCCAAGUCAAAUUCCAAAACUUGACAGCUACUGAAGUUUCCUAUUUCUUUGCAUUCCACGUCAAUCUCGAGCAAUUGGGAGAGUUUUUAGGAAAUUGAAUUGUAAUAGGAAACUCUUUAGGAAUUUGAUUGGUAUUAGGAAACCAAUCAAUUAAGCAAUUCGCCAGGGAGAAUUCAGCAUAUAGCUCUUGCUUAGGAACAAAGCAUAGUUAUUCUUGUUUUCUUGACCGAUUGACAAGAAGACAAUUGGAAAGCUUCUAACAGAUUUUUGCAUGGCUUGUUCUCCAUUAAUGGAGAACUAAUUUUAUAUUUCUAGUCAAGGGGACAACUAAAGAUUUGGUUCAACAAUAACUGUGAGAUCUAAAUUAUUUUAAUUGCUUCUUUCAUUCAUUGAUAUUUAUAUGUUUCUUGCUUUUAGUGGCUAUGACUAUUGUGUAUGGUUGAAUAGUUGUGCAAUAUUUAAUUAUUCACGUAGUCUAUUUGCUAAUUGGGAGUAGUUGAAUCCGUAAUUGUUUAAUUACUCCAUCCCGAUAGCAACUAGCAUGAUUGGUUUCAUGUUAGGGAAACGUAUGAUAUAACUUAAACGAACUCUCGUAACGUGUUUGUUGGUUAGAGUUGGGCUUUUCCGAUUCUUAUUGCAAUCGAGAAAUUAAAUCAUAUAGUCGUACUUAGGGUUAUUUCUUGGUUAGGAAAAUAGUUAAUGGUUAUACCUUGACUAUCGAAAAAGUAAGGAAAGGCUGGUUGUUAUCGCAUGCAUGAUAACUAUAACCAAUCUAUUAAUGAGUAAUUGAAUUAUCUUUGUAUCGAUGAUCAGUUGAAUGAAUCGUGUCUGAAAAGUUAUACCUUUGAUUAGAGUCGUAUUGGUUAUUGAUUAAUUCAUGUUUAUUUCUAUUAGUUGUUUCAUUAGUUAGUUAAUUAGUUAUAUUAUAUCCUCCAAAACCCCCCCAUACUUCGGACCCUGGAAGAAACGAAUUAUCCCCAAUCCCUGUAGGUUCGACCCUACUUGCCCAAUAUACAAAUUAGAGAUUUUUCGUGAAUAAAUUCUGGUAUAUCGAAUUUAGCAAAUUCUUUGGAACCAGGGUGAAUCUAGUAACCAUUGCAUAUCUAGAGUCCCUGCUCCAGUACCAGAAUUGACACGAAGUUGCUUCUGUUGGCGAGUAGGAUUAUUAAUAUUAUUAUUGCACAGGCUCGAUACCUGUCAAUACUCACCUAACAAACCUCCACCCGGGGAAAUUUUUUCAAAAAAAAAUCUACAUUAGGGUAUACAUUAGCAGAAAAUGAAAAAAAAAAAAAACUUUAGACUGCAAUCUAGUAACAUGUGUCCCAGGUGCACAAAGAAAUUGAAACAUAUAGAGCUUUGAUUGUCAAAAGUAGCACUAGUACUCCUCGGAGUUUAAUUCAAAUACAGAUGAUCAAAUGUGAGUGACGCCUUGCGCAUAGCGGCAAUAGAAAACUAUGAAAGGAUAUGCCACGGUGUGUCAGCCAACCGUCUUUAGAGUUGAAAUUCUUGCAGGAGCUUCUGUGAUUGUAUGGUUUUGUAAUCUAGCAGCAUCAGAUUUUGUGAGGCGAUGCGUUGAUGAAACUUGGGUAUUGGUAUUCAAUCCCAAGAUCUUUCAUGUAAAAUGACUCGGAUGCGGCAAAAGCCUUGGAUUCUCUGCUCCGGUCAACUUGAAAUUGGACUUAGUCCCAGCACUUUAGGAAGUUGGUUAUUAGCACAUUAAAAUUUUUAUACUAAUUGUAGUAAGUAAUAUUUGGAGGGACCAUAAGUUCAAGUUGAAAAGAGGCAUGGUGAAAAUCUUUCCAAAUACAUACCCUACUACUUAUACAAAUAAAAGAGAGAACAAAAAUAUAUAAGCCAUUAAUACAUACUAAAAGUUUUUACAGCAAUUACAUGGUGAAUUCAUUAAAUUAGGCAUUUGGUUGACUUUGACAUGUGUGUCAAGUCAAAACAUUGUCAAAAAUUGCAACUUAUUGUAUACUGAUUUACUCAGCAAAAAUAAAUUUAGUUAUUUAUUGAAAGGAAAAAACUUUUAAAAUUUUGUUUUUCUUAAUAGAUACAUCGAAUGCCAUUGUUAAUCUCCACGUACUUUGAGGCACCAUUAUUGCCAACCUUGCGUCUAAGCAUUUAUCCAUACAAAAAUAGGUGAUUUUAAAAGCUAAAGACAUUUUUCAACCUUUAAAUGUAUUUUAAUAUGCAUAAACAACACGCUUAACCGCUUAAGUAUUACGGUAUUCUCUUGUGUUAUCCUGAAAUUUUAGAUUUGUACAUGUAUUUAUAAUUUUCAAAGUCACAUUGUCUAUGAUGCUACCACGAUUCUCUUCCCUAUUUAAUUUACUAUCCUUUUGCAACAAGAUUGAUACUUGAGACCCUAGUUAAGAAGUACAUGGGGCAUUUCAUCAGGCAAACUCCUUAUCAACUACUUACUCACUCUGACAUAGUUUUAUCUUCAAAAAAGAAAUUUUGGUUGAAUACUAAUACAGAAGAUUAGUGCCAAUUAACAAAUAUUAACUUAUGAAUGGUAAAUAAAUAAGAAGAGUUGUCACUCUACUUUGCACUCCAAAAUUUGUAUCACUUUUCCGCUUUGUAUGCUAAAUUUUAAUUUUGAAUACUUUACAUCCUAAAUUCUUAAUUUUGGACACUCGUAGCUUAAUCUCUCAAGUUUAUUCCAUUUAAAUACAAUCAAUGAUAACUUUAGUAAAAUUAACGGUAUCAACAGCUCAAUAAAUCAAUGACAAUAUACUGAAAGUGGUCAAAAGAUGCUAAAAUAUAGUAGCAAAAGUAAAAUAAUACACUAUUAUUAAUUUGCAUCAACUUUUAUCUUGUCAAUUUUACUAACAAUAUUAGUAAUUAUACCAUAUAAAUCAAUAACAAUCUAUCGAAAGUUGUCAUAUUAAACAAUUCUCAACUCAUAUAUCCUUUUUUAUUUUGUUUUUCUUUCCCUUUGUAGAACUGGAAGCCAUUGGGAAUUUUGAAAAUGACGCAAUUAAAAGCAUUCCCUUGUGUCCAAUGAUGGAGCCAAGGGGGGACAGAGGGGGGCCCAUGGCCCCCCUAAGUUUUGAAAAUUUUAAUUCAUAAUAUGUAAAUAUAUGUGUAAAAUAAAAUUGACCCCUCCUAAAUUUUUUCAAUUUUAGUUUAUAUUAUGAGAGUUGAGAUAUAUAUAUAUAUAUAUAUAUAUAUAUAUAUAUAUAUAUAUGAAUUAGUCAUCUUUGAAUUAAUUUUUUUCUUCAGAAAAAGUUAUUUAAUUUUUAUUGUACUAAUUAUUUAACUUUCAAAAAUUAAACAUAUAAUUUGAUGUUCCAUAGUAAAUUGACCCAAUGUAAUGUAUUAGAAUAAAAAGACCCAAUUCAUAAUUUUUAAUGGCCUAAAAAGACCCAAUUCAUAAUUGUUAAAAGCAAGAACUAGUACGUCUAAGAAUAGAACUUCAAUAUUUUGAGUUCGACAUUCCAAAUCAUCAUGAAUUGCAAGAAUUAUCUAGUAUUCAUGAGUUAUGUCAAGACUUGGUGAAGACAAGAAAAUCAGUGAUAUAUCUUCUUAUUGACAGAUUUAUUAGAUUUGUUAUUACUCUUCCUAUAUCAACUACAACUACAGAGCGGACAUUUUCAAUUAUGAAAAUAAUCAAGACAAAGCUCCGAAACAUGAUGCAAGAUAAUUUCUUGAAUGAUUGUCUAACAGGAAGUUGCUGAAAAAUUUAGCAAUGAUUCAAUCAUAGAUGAAUUUAGUUCUAUGAAAGAGCAUAGAGCUCAAUUUACUUCUAAAAAAAGAUAUUGAAAUUUCAAAUUAUGUUAACAUAACUUUUAUCUUUUUUCAAUUGAAAAUAGUUACAUUUAUAUUACAUGGUAUAUAUAUAUAUAUAUAUAUAUAUAUAUAUAUAUAUAUAUAUAUAUAUAUAUAUAUAUAUAUAUAUUGCAUAGAUGACAUAUUGGAGAGCAUCUUCUCAUAAUGUGCAAAUUGGAUGGUUUGUGAUGUUAUAAGAUAUUUAAUCAAAAGUUAUCUUUUUUGUUAUGACUAUACCGCAUAUUUAUGAAUAGACAUACCUUUAUAAUUAAAUUUAAUAUUUGAUAUUUUUAGAUGUCAAAUAUUUGAAUAGAAGAAAAUUAUUUUGAACAUAAUAUAUUAAAAUAAUUUUAUUAGGAAAAAAUUUUGGCCCUCAAAAAAAAAAAAUCCUGGCUCUGUCACUGCUUGUGUCCCGGCAUACAUCUAACAGUAGCUAAAUCAGAACGGCCCGUAGAAAAAGCUGUCCAAGACAUAUUCUCACCGUGGCUAGCUAUUUCAGAACUCGAAGAAGAAGGUGCCGAAAAAUAUGUCACAAUUGUAAAUCAAAACACGAAGAAAAAGGUGUCCAAGACGUUCCAAAAGGCUGCCUCUCCUAAUCUUCUGGUGGGUAUAAUGCUGACCGUGGUUGCCAGUUUGUCUUCAAAAUGGUACAUUUUUGGUACUCUAGACAAUAAAUAAAUAAAUAAAUAAAAACUUUACCUGCAUUUGGUAUUAAGUAAUUUUUCACUUUAAUUUUCCUUAAUUGUUGUUAGCUGUCAUACAUUGGUAAUUCAAUUUUAAAGUCAAAAAAUUUAAUUGAUUUGCAAUGAUAAUAUGGAACCAAAUUGGACAAAACUCCAAAUAUAAGGGACAACGAUAGUUUUCUUGAUGUGCACAUGCAAUUCAUGUGAUCAGUCAUCGGUUAGCUCUCACGAAUUACCGUUUUUAAGUUAACAUUUAUCAUUUUUCAUGAAGAUAAGGAGAAAAUUAGUUGAUUGUAUAGAUUAGGUUCUACAUUGGUGAUGAUAAACUUUGCCACUGGAUAAUGCCUAAUUGGCCGUAACAAAUGAAGUUUCGGUACUUGAGGUGACGCACUAGUGAAACCAUGCAUUCCAGGGAUAAGAAUUAAACUUGGAAAUCUGAAAGAUAACUAAAGAAUAAAUAUUAGAAUCAAUAAUAUAAAAAAAAAAGUUUCCAAAUCAAAUCAAAAUUAUUGAAAAUUGACCAAAGCUCAAAUCCAAAUCAAAUAAAUCCUUACACGUUAAACCCACGAGAAACCUGUUAUCAAGAGGUGCAAUUACCACUUGAUAAAACUCCAAUGUAGCUAUCACCUCGUGGAUCACACAUAUAUUGGGUCCUCUUAAUUAUUUUCAGUUGGUACGAAAUCAUUCAGAUAUGAUUUCCGUGACAAAUUCUGAGUGUAACGCAAUAUUCACCUCAACCAGUUGAGACAUUGUCUGAUAACCAUGAAAUUUGACUCUCCAAUUCUUGGGUUUUGCCUCUCUCUUUAUAAGGUGUAGAAUGUGGGUUUUCUUUCGAAUGAACCUGGUUCUAAAGAAUGCUAACUGGCUGACAAUUGCGGAAGUUUUUGUGCAUAUCUCUACCAUGAAGCCAAUCAAAAUGUGAAUGGACUAGACAUAAAGGGCAGUAGUUUAAAAUUUGUAGUGAAAUUAACUUAAUUACCUCAAUGGGAUUGAACUAAAAAAUGCAAUCUUCUAUUCAGACAAAAUUCAUAAGUUCUAAGUUCAUUAAGAAAGAUCAAUGCCUGUCAUAUUAAUGCAAAAUUAUUGAUAACAACAAGAAGGAUACUUUUAGAGGUGAUAUAGUCUAGAGUCCAUGCAUCUAACCCACUCUCUUGACAUAGAUUGGAGUUCAGUGAGCGUUAAACUCAAGUCCAUUGGCCAAAAAAAAAGAAAAAAAAAAAAAGACUCAAGUCUAUUCAAAAAACCAAACAUUGGACUCCAAACCAGUGAUGUCGAAUUGAUUAUCCAUGGACGCUAAAACCGCCAGAAACAAGUCAUCAAGAGGUGAAACUACCACAUACGACAAUACCCAAUUAUUUAGCAAAUCAAGGAUAAGGAUUAGGACUGUCAAUGGGGCUGAGCCAGCCCGAGCUCGGCUCGUUCGGCCCGACAGAAAGCCCGAUGAGCCCUAUCAUUUAGUGAGUCGGUCUGAGUUUGAGCCUAAAAAUUAGGCCCGAAUUAAAUGUGAGCCGAGUUUGGGCCUUAUUAGGCUCAAACCCGAUAUAGGCCCGACCCUUUAAUUACCUAUAUAUAUAAUAUUUAUAUUUUGAUAUUAUGUAUAAUUAUAUAUCCAAAUAUAUUUUUACUAAAUACUAAAUAUAUAUAUAAAUUACAAAACACAAAAAUACAUCUAAAGACUCUUUCGUGAGCUUUCUUGAGAGCCAAUAUUAGUAAUGCAUAACUAAAUCUCUAAUUUUUCUUAUUGGUUGAGUAAAUUUUUGUAUUGGCAUAUUAUUGGUUGAUUUUUUUUUGGUCUACAAACACAAAAAUCAUCAAGCAUGUUCGGAUUUAAAUCACAAGAUUAUAAAAAAAAAGUUUCAACUUUUAAAGAUGCAUUGGCUUAUGAUCGCAUGUUUUAUUACUAUUUUUCAUGCAUUUUAAACGGAUUAAAUAUAAAUAUUGUUGAAAAAUUUUUUGGUUUAUAUACUUUUUAAGAACUAUUAUUUGUUCAUGUUUAGUUUUAAUAUUAUAGUCUUGUAUAUGUUAAAUUAGUUUUACAACUUAAUAGUUAUAGUAAUUAUAUUAAGAAAAUUAAGGAGUAAUAAGUGAGCAUGGGCUAAACCCGAUUAAGGCUCACAACCCAAAUAUUAUAUGAGCUAAGUAUGAGUUUCACAUUUACGAACCCGAAACUCAUAACCCGAAUCCCAAAAAUGUUUCAAAUUAAAUGAGUUGAACUUGAACUCAUCAAAGCCCGGCUCAUUAGGCCCGAUUGACAGGCCUAAUAAGGAUCAGACAAGUAUCAGGGUAUUAAUAGUCCUCUAUAUUAUUUAUUUGCAGCUGGUACGAAGUCAAUUAAUCAGAGAUACCCACCAAAUGACACAACUUAAGACUUGAAGGAAAAAUAUGAUUGCUGAAGAAUCGUUAUCAGAAUCAAAUCAUUGCACCUUAAAUACAACGUUUUUGGAUUCGGUUAGGUUUGCAUCGAGGUGGAGAAGAUCUCAAUUACAUACAAGCAAUUAACAGCAGAAGAAACAUAGCUUUAAUAUCUGAUUCUAGUAAUGGUUUCUGGCAAAGAAUACGUUGUCCUUCACGAGUAAUGUUUCUAGAAACAAUCUUUAUAUAUUUUGUGUUUAAAAUAACUUGAAGAAUACGGCAAAAGUAAGCUUUGGUUUGUGGACUGAUGAGUAAACACUAUGAAAUGAUGAGUAAACAUCAACACUAUAUGUCUGGAAAGAGAGGAAUUACAUUAUUUUUAGCAACAAGGUUACUAAAAUUGGGGGUUAUUAUAACUUUAUCCCUUUAAACUAUAGUGCUAAUAUCAAUUUACCUUUUUAACAUUAUUUUGCAGGCAUUUGACCUCGCAGUUAUUCUCCUUUUUCAUUCUAAAAGGACCAAGAAAAAUGUAAAAGGGUUCCCUUUUUUUUUUCAUUCUCAACUAUUAAGAAAAAAAAAAAAGAAAUUGAAUAGAGGUUGACAGAAAACUCAAUUUCAGAAAAAAGGAAAAUAAAGAAGAAUCCAAUAUUAUAAUUAAUUUAAAAUAAGUUAGAGUGGGCAGUAGGGGUGAAGAGUAAGUAGUAAUUUUAAAAUAAUAAGCACAUUGGAUUCUUUAUUAUUUUUAUUUUCUUUUUUAAAAUUGAGUUAUCUCUCUAUUUUCAUAUUUUAAGUAUUGAUAAGUACACAAGGAAAAAAAGAAGAAGACAUUUUUUUUUUACUUUUUUCCCCUUGUUAUUAAAGAGGGUGGAAAAAAGGGAGAAGACACUUUUUUAUUUUUUUUUCUUGGUAUUAAAGGGGGAAAAGGGGGGAAAAAACCAUUCCAAUUUUUUUUUAUUUUUAAUCAUACAGGAGAGAGAUGUAUUUCUUCUAAAAUAUUAGGUAAAUUAUAUAUAAUUUCCUGUGUUUUCAUCUAUUGCCACAUGAUCCCCAAAACAUUUUAGGGUUUUAUGUGGCUGAUGUAAGGGAAAAAAUUCAUAUUAAUACCUUAAAUUUCCCUUAAGGAGUUUUUAUAUUUAAAUCCAAUUAUUCAAUGAAUAUAUUUUUGUUUUUCUUCUAGUCUUAAAGAGUCUUGCCUCAGGCCUAAAUCAUUUCCACUAUAUUCCUUUGGCCAAAUUUACAAUCGUAUAUUUGUGUUUGUAGUCGUUGAUUGAACUUUGGUCUUAGGAAAAAUGAUAACAAAUGGAAAGAGUGAGAUACAAGUCAAUUAAAAAACAUCAUUAACACUAGAAUUUGUGAGACAUGGAGACUUGGAUUAUAAAAAGGAUAAGAAAACUUGAAUAGGUGAAAAAAGGUGGAUUAAAACUAUAUGAAAGAAGUAGCAUAACAGUGAUAUAGUAUUUGGUGAUGGGAAGAUUCUUGGAGAUGUGUUUUUUAAGUUUGAUAGGCAUUUUAUUACUUUUGGGAAGAUUAUUAUAAUCAUUUUGAGUCCUUAAAAAAAGCAUGGACGUAUAAUAUUUGAAUAUAGAGGUGGGCAACAUGAGAUUAUCAGAAAUCUUAGAAGAAGUUUUUGAAAUUAUCCUUUGCUGUAAUACUAUUCUUUUUUUUUCCUACCUUGUGAUUAUUGAUUUCCACAUUCACACUCGAAAUGCUAAGGCAAAAAGCAAAAUUCAAGGAUGAAAAAUGAAAGAAAAAGAGACAAGGUUAUAAACAUGGGGAAAGACUCUAGAUUUGAUUAAUGCUAACAUAUUAUAAAAUGAUUAUAGCAUUUCUUUUUCAUUUUUUAUGAGUGACACUUUUUUAAAAAAAAUUAGUAGGGGAAUGAUGGGAUUUAAAAAGCGAAAAAAGAACAGGGAGAUCAAAAUUCAGGAUCUCUAAUUCCUGGGAGUAACAUGAUAAUAUUAUUUCUAAAAACCCAAUAUCAAUCCUAUUGGUGUAAUAUAAAGGAAUUUGGAUGAUUGAAGUGUUUAAAAUAUAAAAUACUUCUUAAUUAUAAUAUCUUAUUCAUUAGUCGAAUGUGGAAUCUUAUGUUUGUUGCCCCUUUCUUUUUUGUUUUGGAUUUGGGUUUUUGGCGUUGAACUUUGAGUAUGAAUUGAGUAAGAUUAUAGCAUGAGAAGGUUCAUCAUGUUCAUUUAAUUAAGGUCUUCCUGCAUUUAAAAUGGGAGCUUACAUGACAAAAAAAAAGAUUGAAAUGGUAAUAAUUUACAAAAGAGCAUCAUAGUGGGAACAUUUUUCCUAAAAAAGGUCAUUUCAAAACUAAAUUCCGAGAAUCCAUGGUUUCAUGUGGGUUUUCUUUUCAUGGACGUGAUUAACAUCAUGUCUCUUAUCAUAUCCAUGAGGAUUAUUAACAUCCAAGUCCUAGAGCCUGAUUGCAUUAGUACUAUCCUUGGCCUUGGGUAUAAUAUCACAAGUUCCUCCCUGUAAAGGUUGCAAUGCGUUUUAAGAGAGUGAGAAUUAAGUAUAUCACGGGAAAAAAAAAAAUGAAUGGCAAAGUAACUUACCAGAACAACAAACAGAUGGAGGAGGAUAAUCCAACAAGCAAGUCCUUUGGAAUCCAUCAAUUGGUAGGUUUUAUAUCCCUUGCAACUCCUCCUUUGAAGGAUUAGAAAACAGCAGAAGCAAAUGCCAAAUAUUACAUAUCGAUGAAAAGUGUGCUUGAUUAGAAGGUUCUUUUUCAAAUAGUCGAUUAAAAUAUGACCCCUUGAAAGAUAGUGUUUCUUAUUGAGGUUGAAAAAUGAACCAAAUUACUUGAUACUCAAAUCAAAUUUUGCUAAAUAAAAGUUUGUUUGAACUUAGUUUGCCAACUAAUCAAAUCAAAAUUUAAGAAGUAUUAUUAUGUGUUAGAUUAACUAUCAAAUUUGGCAUUAACUUGGCUUGAUUAACAUAAAAUUAGAAUUUACAAGUAAAAAAUUCAAGUUACUCAAGUUCGAUUCAUGCUCAAUUCUAUAAAAAAAGCUCAUUUGAGUUUGGCUUAAUUAAUAAACAAGUCAAGUUUGAAGACCUUCCUCUUAAAAAAAUUUUAAAAAAAUCAAGUUUGAGUACUGUUUCAAGUUUAUUAAAUAAUCUAACAAGUUUGAAUACUAGAACAUUGAAUCUAGGAGAUCUAGACAAAAUCACUAAAUUUAUUUUAGACCAUAACUGUAGAUUAUUUAGAAAAAAAAGGACCAAAAUGUAGACCUACCCACGUGAUGCAAACCAACCAGCCACGUGAUCCAUGCUGUAACCUUGCUAGCUUCACUUACCUAUCGCCUUGUAUAAAUAGCCGUAUAGCCCCCAAGAGUCUUUUCACCACCAAAGUUACAUUUUGAGUCUGUUCAUAGGCAAGGCAUGGCUUCAUCUAUCACUCUGAUCGCAGUCUUUUCAAUUGCCCUGGUAAGGUUUCUCAACCAUCAAUACUGUACUUGAAGUAGUAGUUCAUAUGAGAUAAUUGCUAGACUGUAUAGGAAUACUGAUGAAACCCGUGAAUUAAAGCUACCUGAGAAAACACAUUCUUCUUCCUUUUUGCACAUUUAUCUGCAGCUCUAACCAUCGCCACUGAAGGAAUGGAAGCUCUUCAGAUGGCUCUGUAGUUCUAUUCUCAUAAAAGCUUGACUUCCAAACAUUACCAAUGCUGGUACCAUACUUAAACGUCAAUGUAACUUGAGUAACGGCAUAUGACACUAUUUACCCUUUUUUAGUUAGAGGAUUCAUCCGGGAAAGAUUGAAAGUCAAAUCAAGAACCUUAAAAUCAACAUAAGGAAUAUUCCUGUUGCCAGUUGAGCUCGUCUUUGGAAAUUAACUAUCCUUCCCUACAAGGGGUCAUCUUUUACGGUGCUACCAUCAACGUACCUAUAUUGACGUUAGUUUCUUUUAUGUUAAUAUUUGCACAAAUGUGCAGUUUGCAUGCAUCACGGAAGCAAGGAAGAAUCCUACGGACUUUUUGCAAUCUGCUGUCAUUAAUGAGCAUACUGAGGACAAUCACCAUGCAGAGUCGUCCCUUUCCAAUCAGAAGAAGACAAGUAAUGGUAACACAUUGAAGGAUUUCGAGUCGAAGCCCGGCUCCUUUCUCUGGGGGUAUCAAGGCAACGAGGCUGAGUCUAAGUCUAAGGAGGAGAAGCCUCUUAUGAAAGGCUUUGAGUCGAAGCCCGGCUCCUUUCUCUGGGGGUAUCAAGGCAACGACGUUGAGUCUAAGUCUAAGGAGGAGAAGCCUUUUAUGAAAGGCUUUGAGUCAAAGCCCGGCUCUUUUCUCUGGGGGUAUCAAGGCAACAAUGCUGAGUCUAAGUCUAAGGAGGAGAACCCUCUUAUGAAAGACUUUGAGUCGAAGCCCGGCUCCUUUCUCUGGGGGUAUCAAGGCAACGACGCUGAGUCUAAGUCUGAGGAGGAGAAGCCUCUUAUGAAAGACUUUGAGUUGAAACCCGGCUCCUUUCUCUGGGGGUAUCAAGGCAACGACGCUGAGUCUAAGUCUAAGGAGGAGAAGCCUCUUAUAAAAGACUUUGAAUCGAAGCCCGGCUCCUUUCUCUGGGGGUAUCAAGGCAACGACGCUGAGUCUAAGUCUGAGGAGAAGAAGCCUCUUAUGAAAGACUUUGAGUUGAAACCCGGCUCCUUUCUCUGGGGGUAUCAAGGCAACGACGCUGAGUCUAAGUCUAAGGAGGAGAAGCCUCUUAUAAAAGACUUUGAAUCGAAGCCCGGCUCCUUUCUCUGGGGGUAUCAAGGCAACGACGCUGAGUCUAAGUCUGAGGAGAAGAAGCCUCUUAUGAAAGACUUUGAGUUGAAACCCGGCUCCUUUCUCUGGGGGUAUCAAGGCAACGACGCUGAGUCUAAGUCUAAGGAGGAGAAGCCUCUUAUAAAAGACUUUGAAUCGAAGCCCGGCUCCUUUCUCUGGGGGUAUCAAGGCCCUCUUAUGAAAGACUUUGAGUCAAAGCCCGGCUCCUUUCUCUGGGGGUAUCAAGGCAACGAUGUUG
This 157149-nucleotide long non-coding RNA is filed under the name Coffea arabica (coffee). RNAcentral describes it as "long non-coding RNA (CARA_LNC004138)". The stretch from base 100172 to 100278 matches the Rfam family "Plant small nucleolar RNA R71". Lineage: Eukaryota; Viridiplantae; Streptophyta; Magnoliopsida; Gentianales; Rubiaceae. The record is from RNAcentral.